Molecule: long non-coding RNA, 150391 nt
Filed under: Triticum aestivum (bread wheat)
Lineage: Eukaryota; Viridiplantae; Streptophyta; Magnoliopsida; Poales; Poaceae
Description: long non-coding RNA (TAES_LNC010293)
Rfam family: Small nucleolar RNA Z247 (bases 62698-62836)
Source: RNAcentral
CGCGGGUGGUGCGGGCCGGCUUCCUCGGCUGCUUGGGCGGCGAGGAGCAGGCGGAUUGCGGCCGUGGGGCGGCGAGGUCAUCCUCCCUCCGCUCCAGAUCUGAAGGUCCGGCUCUCCUCUCCCCUAUCUGCUCUCUGCCUCCGCUGGCUUGGUCGAUUUGGGGCCUCUGGCCGCUGGAUCCGGUGCCGGCGGGGUGCACCCCAAACUGGUGCUGUGGGUCGAGCCCGGGGGAACCCCCUCUUUGGUCUUCUCCAGUACGGCGGCGGCGGCGCCUUUUGGCGUCGUUCUACUCCCUGGAGUUGCCGUUGUGGGCUCCUCUCCACACCCCGGCCAAGGCUCCCGGGCGAAAGCUCGAAUCCCUGUUGGAUGGGCAGCGGCGGCGCCAGGUGCGUCGUGCCCUUCUUGGAGGCGCCGCCUAGGGAAGAUUGGCGCUUUGGGGUUGUGUGCAGCAGCUGGUAGGUGGGCGGCUGGUGUCCAUCGAGUCCCUGUGGCUCGGUAGCUCCUUCACUCCGGCAACUCUUCCGGCGGCUUACCCUCUACGAUUGGCCGCCUUCGGUGUCUGCGGUGUUGCUGUUGUGUGUGCUCCGACCUGUGGUCGUGCUCCGUGGCGGGCCCAGUCUCAAGACCAACCUUUGCUCAAGCUCUCGGGUGAGCGUCUCUUCAUUCGACGGUGCGGCGCCUUCGAGCCUAGGCGAGGGGAAGGGAUCCCUUUCGAUGUUAGAGAGGGCAAGUGUUUGGAUCAUCUCAUCUGCUGGUUUCCUCCCUGUGUUCGAUUCCUUGCCGGUGCUCCUCGAGGCUGCACUUGUAGCCAUAUUGGUGCCUUGUUGUAGUGGGGCUUAUCCUCAACUAGCAGUUCUUCAUAGUUCAUCUUCUGUUUGCUGGUUGUUGGAGUAGCGUUGUAAGCUGUUCUUACAGCCCCCUUGUAUCGUUUGGCCGAUGUGGUGUGGUGUUCUUGUUUCUUGUAUUCCUGGCCGGUUGAUGGCUUUGUUAAUUCAAAGCCGGGCUCUUCUUGAGCCUUCGUUCUAAAAAAAAAUCUAACGCGGGGGGUAGGGGGUCGACUGAGACUUCAUAAAAAAUCAGUCGACUGAUUUUUAGCCCUUCGGUUAGUGCUAUACUAUACGUCGAUGAUUGGAUACUUAUUUGUAUAGAACUGGGAGGGUUUGGGGGAGAAGGGAAAGAAGUCAUCGGCUUUCUAUUUAUCGUCGUCCUAGCCGAUGUGACGUGGGCCCGGACCAUUGUUGACUGUGCAUGCGAGCUCGGGCUGGCCUGUCUAUGUGGCUGGCUGCCGACGUGCAGGUGUGUCCAGUACUGAGAUUUUGUCAUGUCUACACAGGGCCAGCCGUCGUGGAGGUCUUGGUAGCCAGGCCCCGUUGCAUGUUUCUAUUUCAGAUUUNNNNNNNNNNNNNNNNNNNNNNNNNNNNNNNNNNNNNNNNNNNNNNNNNNNNNNNNNNNNNNNNNNNNNNNNNNNNNNNNNNNNNNNNNNNNNNNNNNNNNNNNNNNNNNNNNNNNNNNNNNNNNNNNNNNNNNNNNNNNNNNNNNNNNNNNNNNNNNNNNNNNNNNNNNNNNNNNNNNNNNNNNNNNNNNNNNNNNNNNNNNNNNNNNNNNNNNNNNNNNNNNNNNNNNNNNNNNNNNNNNNNNNNNNNNNNNNNNNNNNNNNNNNNNNNNNNNNNNNNNNNNNNNNNNNNNNNNNNNNNNNNNNNNNNNNNNNNNNNNNNNNNNNNNNNNNNNNNNNNNNNNNNNNNNNNNNNNNNNNNNNNNNNNNNNNNNNNNNNNNNNNNNNNNNNNNNNNNNNNNNNNNNNNNNNNNNNNNNNNNNNNNNNNNNNNNNNNNNNNNNNNNNNNNNNNNNNNNNNNNNNNNNNNNNNNNNNNNNNNNNNNNNNNNNNNNNNNNNNNNNNNNNNNNNNNNNNNNNNNNNNNNNNNNNNNNNNNNNNNNNNNNNNNNNNNNNNNNNNNNNNNNNNNNNNNNNNNNNNNNNNNNNNNNNNNNNNNNNNNNNNNGGCCUGCGAGCAAUGGCGGAGGAGGACGUCGUGAGCUCCAAGAGGCACGACUCCGACGAUGACGCGGCGGGAGAAAAAAACCAUUUCGGUGUCGCUGAUGUAGAGGACUGUGGUAGCCGGAGGAAGAGGGGUUGAUGGCAGCAGUAGAUUCAUGGGCAUUCAAUGAGCGUCAGUCGAAACAAAAAAAACAAAAAAGAACUCUAGCCGGCAUUCGGCUCUUUUCCUUUUCUUAAGACUUUUGUUCGUUCGUGUCGUCGAUGACAGACGGUUCGUUGGUUUACAAUUGUCGGUCGAAGCCCGUCGCCGCUGUUUCCACACCUCCGUGGUGGGGGCCGGGGUGGCGGCGGGCUGUGCAUAGUACCAGACUUGGGUCCAGACUUGCAUAGCCUGGGGAAGAGCUUGGAAGAGGAAACAAACCUUUUCGCUCCGUUUCAUCGUUGUUGUUCCGUUUGCAUCGUUUUGCUUCUUCUUGGUUGAACUUUGCACUGCCGGUUUUGUGCUUUGUGGGCGUUGUCUCCUGCCGAUAGCCGCCAUGGAUUUCUGUUUUGCAGGGACUGUUUGCCUCACUUGGGCAAGCGAGAUUCUCACGUGGAUGGAUGAGAUAUGGUGAUGGGAUAUGGGCGCUGCUGGAGGCAAAAUUGUGCUAACUUGGCGAUGAGCUUUGCCACAAUGCCACACCUGCAGCUACAUGACUGAAAUCAGGGUACGCUCUUUGCCACACCAUGGCUCUAAGAUUUACUGCAAGUGCUUAGUAGAGCGGCAUCCAUUUCGAUUAGUUUGAGCCGGAGCGAGCCUCUCAUUCCUUUUCCGUGCAUGUGAUAGCAGUGCAAGUCGGAGAGACGAGACCUUUUCUAAAAUAUGCUCCAACUCUCGUGGCGUUCUACGUAUUAGGGUAUAUUUGGCACUUUGGUUAGAGAACAAGUAGAGUGCAAUGGAUUUAGUGUGUUGGUAUUUAACGCUUGAAAUUGAAUUGGGCGCCACUCGAUUCCUACGAAAAAGAGGAAGGCGAGGCACCUAGCUAGGCGGCGGCGACCCCAAUGAGGCCAUGCCAAGAACAGUGCCGGAGACAAGGGAUGGCGUGGCUGUCUGUAGUGUCGCCGUGGAAGCGAGGCGGAAUGUUGAAAGGUGUUGGUAGAAGGGGGAAGGGGGUGUUCAUACAUGGUGGGCUACCGAGGCGAUAGGGCAGCGCGACACCNNNNNNNNNNUGAGCAUUAUCUAUUACACAAAAGGUAAUCGGACAUUAUCCUUAUUCAUUAUUAACCAACCUCCCAAAUGAUAUGCUUGUGGCCGACGAGAGGUCGCUGACGAGGCAGCCGAGAUCCUCCCAGUCGGUAGAUCUGGUCAUCAUUGUCCACUAGGCAAAGAUCCGAAGUGUCCAUCCCGGGCACGACCGUUGGGGCCGUCCGGUGUGCGGCCACCAUGGAUGCCGAGCAUGUGGACGUCGUGGCCAUCCCACCUAGCGGAGGCGUCGCCAGAUCUGUAGGGAGGCUAUGGUGGAGUGGGUGUGGGGGAAGGAGAGGUAGAGGUGGGGGAUCGCCGUCGGCUGUGGAGAUUGGGAGAGGGGUGGAUUUGAGGUUGAGAGUUAGGUUUAGGGGUCAAAUUUAUAGGGUAGGGGACGCGAUGGGUCAUUCUGGGCCGACAAACUAUUAGCCUCGUGGACACUUGAUAGGCAGGCCAAGAGAGUAUGUCAUUGGUAAAAUGAGUUUAGGUUAAUUAUCUUUGCUCAAAUAAAAAUUAUGGUAUGGUAUGGGUAUGGGAAUAAGGCUUCAUGUCUGGGACUAGACUAAAUCUCAAAUUUAGGUAUCUUUCUAAAACCAUCUGCAAUUUUGUAGGCAUUAAAUGCAUUUCUCUCUAUUUACUCGAUAUAUUUGAAAUUUGAACUACAUGUACCUUAAAAUGGUCACCAAAUUAAAAGCAAAUCAUGUUCAAGCACUUAUGUAACUCAUAGCCUCCUGUCAAAAAAUAAGAAAAUUUUAAAUAUUUCUUUAGAAAAUUCCAUACAAUUACAAGCAUCCUAUAUGUUUUAUUUUCCUAUAAAAUCUAAAUGCGGUUUAAAUACAAUGAGAUUUUGUAUGGGUUCAUCAUAUUAUCUAAUGAGACUGUUAAAAAUCCAUACAUUUUUGUAAUUUUGUAAGCAUACAUUGAUUUAUAAUUCAAGCAUCUCCCAACAAUUGUUUUAGAAUUCGAAGGGGGAGGAGGAAGUAUGUAGUCCACAUCAUGGUUUGUUCAUCAUUUUCACUUGAUUUUGUACUGCAACUAGAUAUUGUGGCAACAUACACUAAUAUACCUGCAUAUGUUCCAUCUUUUUAUGUAAUGAUUUGUCUUUCUUAUUGUUUUGAACACAUCAAAUUAAGGUACCAUGUGGGGUGCCUAACAAAACUAUUGAUUUCAAAUGCCCCAAACUUUUCUACAUGCCAGAUCCGUUAUUUGUUUGUUCAUGUCAAAUAAGCCGAGGACGCUUCAGUCAGUGAGUUUCGUUGCAGUGAUGUAAAGUGCUCAUACUUUAUUAGUACUACUCAAGAAAAUAACAACAAUCCCCGGUCGCCAGUGUUGACGUAUAAUGUGCUGACUAUUCUCUCUCAUCAGGUUAGUCUUUUGGUUGCUUUGGUUAGAGUAUGCACUUCUACAUGGUAUUGAAGCCAAGAGGUUUUGAGAUCAAGACCCGACUGACGCAAUUAAAUUGCAGCACACUUUCGGUCGAUAUUUAGGCCUGAAGGAGCCACACAUGACGAUGGCGAGAUCUAGCUCUGCUUUCAUCGAGACGGCCGCUCAUCCGUCAACGCUCCCCGCGGCGUCUGGAAACGGCAGCAACUAGUAACUGAAGGCGAGCGCAAGGCUGUAAAUGGUACUCUACACUUCACUGUAAAUGGUACUCUACACACGCACACGUUACCGGCAGUGUUUAAUCGCUUAUGAACAUUGCAUUGUUCUCUCUUCGGUUCGUAUAGAAAGAGUAGAAAAGAAAAUAGUGGCACUAUUCAUAUGUCUAGUGUAAAAAGAGCUGAAGAAAAGGAGAUUUGAGUGCGGCGUUUCUGCUCCCGAGCUCAUCUUCUCNNNNNNNNNNCACAUGACGACGGCGAGAUCUAGCGCUGCUUUCAUCGAGACGGCCGCUCAUCCGUCAACGCUCCCCGCGGCGUCUGGAAACGGCAGCAACUAGUAACUGAAGGUGGGCGCAAGGCUGUAGAUGGUACUCUACACUUCACUGUAGAUGGUACUCUACACACGCACACGUUACCGGCAGUGUUUAAUGGCUUAUGAACAUUGCAUUGUUCUCUCUUCGGUUCGUAUAGAAAGAGUAGAAAAGAAAAUAGUGGCACUAUUCAUAUGUCUAGUGUAAAAAGAGCUGAAGAAAAGGAGAUUUGAGUGCGGCGUUUCUGCUCCCGAGCUCAUCUUCUCCCUCCGCCACCCUCCCCCCCCCCCACCCACCCCGAAAAAAAUCAAAACAAAUAAUAAAAAAAUCAGAAAAUUCUAAUUUUUUUUAUGUGCUAGAUAAGUUCAUGUGUAANNNNNNNNNNNNNNNNNNNNNNNNNNNNNNNNNNNNNNNNNNNNNNNNNNNNNNNNNNNNNNNNNNNNNNNNNNNNNNNNNNNNNNNNNNNNNNNNNNNNNAAAAUCAGAAAAUUCUAAAAAAAUUUAUGUGCUAGAUAAGUUCAUGUGUAAGGUGCGCUUCAAAUUUUAACUCAUUUGGACAUCUCAGCAAAAAAGAUAAAUUCAGAUUUUGUAAAAAAAAUUACUGUUCACACACUGUUCUGACCCGAUUUGUGUUUUUUAAUGAGAGCUGCUCAGAUGUCCAAAUAAGUUCAAAUUUGGAGCGAACCUCACGCAUACAAUUGUCUAUCACACAAAAAAAAUUGGACUUUUUAGUAUUUGUUUUGAUUUUUUUUCUGACCAGGUGCAAAUGAGCCUGGGCACCGAAUUGGAUUUUCUAUUUUGUUUUUGCUUUAGUAGCGUAAUAAACAUUGUAAUGAAAUAAUUUACUUUUUGUGAUUUUUUCCUUUUUUUUGUUUCGAUUUGUUCGUGUUAAUGGAUUCCAGUGUUUCGGAUUCACUCUCUACCAACUACCAACGCUCGAUAGCACCUUAAAAGUUGUAUUCUUUUGGAAUAGAAAAACAAGUGAGUUGAUAAGAGAAGUGUUAUACAAAGCAUGGAUGCAUAUGAACCCAUUUUUAUAAUCUUAAAGGAAAAUUACAAUUGUACUUUGCGUCAUUGUAGACACAACGGUGCGCGCGCCAGCUGCACGGCCUUGAACCAUCUCUCUCGCAACAAACGGUGCUCGCAUACGUAGCGUGCUCGUUGGCGCACAACUAAUAUUGCCGAUGUGUUCUCGUCUUGUAAUGAAGAGAAAUUGAUAGAGCACCAUUAUGCGAGACCGGCCAAACCUUGCCAUCAUGCAGACAUUUGGAAGGAUGUUGCAUUGAUAUCUCUACCAACAAGGUGUUCCAAUGUGGAAGUAUCCAUGAGCAAAAGUGAAUCAUCAUUCUUAAUUAACACAUGAUUCACUAUAACCAAGUAGUAUUUAUGAUUGAAAUCUUCUUUUGAAGUAUAUCCAUAUAUGUACUAAUGUUAUGAUCUUAUAUAGAGUACUAGUGACAUUGUUUACAUAUAAAAGGAAAAUUGCCCUUCACUUCACUAAGCGUGAUGAUGUAUAUUUGGGGUAUUUCAUAUGGACAGACGAAAAGUGUUUUUGGGCACUGGCGUGCAUGGAAGCUUGGCUUUAUUAGCUACAACAAAAGGAUCGCCCUUUCUGGUAUGAAUAUGUCAAACAAGUAUCGUAUGCUAUUACAAGUAAGGAUUGAUUUCGUGACUUGGUAGGUAAUUAAAUCCAAAGCACAACAGCCUCUCAAUCGACUGAAUCCAUCCAAAUGGUUACCCGUUCUUCGUUUGUAAGAAAAGGAAAAAUAAUAAUAACCCAGUAUUACAAGCAAAGCUAGCUAGCUCUAAGAGAUACCAACAAUUGAUUCCAUGAAAAGAAUAUGAUGCCUCUUGUUUUGUGAAACAAUAGUAUGCCGCUUUGCUAGCACAUUUUGAUCAUCAAAUCGUCCAAAGUGCGUGCGUGAUCUCGCCGCCCAAGCGGCACCCGUCCCUUGCUCGCCUUUGGCUGCUUGCGUGCCGGGGGCGUUGGCAGAUGAGCGGUGAACGUACCAAGGUGCAUGCACGUCCAUGAUAUCCUCAGGCUGGGUUUAAGCGUCUGCUCGAGUCUAUAGAUGAUGAUGAUGAGUCACUAAAGUUGCGACGAAAUACUUCUGACCACAUCUGCAGACGAGUAGACGUUCAGUGACGCGGUGUGCACGGCAUUGGCCGGCACUCGUGGUGGCCGGCAGCAGAUGGGGGACGACGCUCGCAGCGCCAACGCCAGGUCCCGGCCUGAGUUCUGGAGCCCGGCCAGCCAGCGCUCCUGGAUGCUGACGAUGCGCUGGUCGACGGGGGUGAGAGGGCGGCGCGGUGGUGGGUGAGGCGGAGCCAUCGAAGGAGAGGAGAGGGAGGGACGGUGAGGGAGAGAGGGAGCGAUGGGAACAGUGCGGGCGGGGCGGUGACUGGACAGUGGGGGAGAAUUAUGAGGCGUCCCGUCCGUCUCCCGCGUUGUCCCAGACGUGCAACCCCCUUGCACGCAUUGCCGCGCCGAGCCAGGCUCGCGGGAAACUGCCGAUUCCGCAGUUUCCGCCGGGCCAGGCUGCAGCCUGCUUUAAGGUCCGUGCGGGCCACAAACCGCAUCGAGUCCAGACAACCAAACAGACCUCGCACAUCCCGCGCGGCCCUGGUUGGGCUGUACGCGGGCAACCAAACACCGAAAUCACUAAUUAAGGAGUACUCCUUGCGAAGAUCACUCCAACUUCCAUAGGUUGUGACAAGUGGCGCGCUGCAUGUGCGCCACUUGUCGCAAUCUGAGAGUUUUCCCUUUUUCGUAUAUUUGUUUAUUCAAAAUGUUUUAUCUCUUAAACCGUGCGUCCAAAUCUCGAACCGCUUUCGCCGAUGGAUUCGUCGCGUCGAGAUCUUCAAAACUAGAUCCCAUGUUGAUAGGUUUUGACGAACUUUUUUUUCACAAAAAAACCGGACAAAAAAACCAGAUGAAAACACCGAUCAGGAGCACGGGUUUUUUUCCUUUUCGAAAGAGGCAUGCCCGUGCCUCUGAUCAUCUUCGUGCCCGUAACUCUCGCGAAAGCAUAACCGUGCCUCUCGCGGAAGCAAAACCGUGACUCUUGCGAAAGAAAAAAAAACAAAAACUAUGUUUUUUUUCAUUUCCAAUAGGCACAGUCGUGACUCUUGCGAAAGCAAAACUGUGAUUGUCGCAAAAGGAAAAAAAAUGUGUUUUUUUGCGCAAAGGAAAUGUUAUUUUCGAAAAAAAAAUUGGUCGAAAAACUAGGGAAGACCGGUAGAAAACCAAAACAUCGAAAAAAACCCGUUUCAAAAGCCGAAAACGCGUGCGGAAAAAUUUAAAAACAAAAUCCGGAGAGAGCGCCAGAACACGACACGUGGCGAAUGGUUGAGAGCACGCCAAGGGCACUGAUAGUUGCGAGGCUCCCGAAGGAGCGCUUGUUAAUUAGUUGCUCUCACCAAACACGCCCAUUAUUUCUAUCAAGAUCAGGUGGAUAUAGCGCGCACGGUGAAGCGAUAUCCAUGUGGGAGAGUUCGUUCGUUCUAGCGUCCGUGAACCGGACCAAACUCCUCGCGAAGCAAGGCCAAAGCUGGCUGGUAGCCUUCUUUUCUUCUCAUCGCGCCCUAAGGAAGGAAACGGAGCCGAGGCUGCAUUGCACUUUUGAGGUUGGUGUCGUGGUGCAACCGAGCGGUCAUGUCCAAAAACUUAUGUCUUCAGGCACAAUCUGACAAGCACCGUUGGCGUCGCGAAGCCAGGCAUGCGACAGUGGGAGCGCACUGGCAGUAGCACACAGUGCGCGUCAUGCAGCUUGUAGUCGCCCGCAAAUGUGGUCAAACACAUUUUGUCGCAGCUUCUUAUGGAUAGAUAUAGGCGGCACACCAACAGACUCACCGUGAGAUCAACAUUCAUCUAUAGACAUGAAGCUUACAGCCUAAGGAAGAAAUAAGCCGAGGGCGCUCUAGUCAGUGAGUUUCAGUUACUUGUUGCGGUGCUGCCUGGAAAAGUGCUGCUAUUUUAUUACUACUCCAGAAAAGAACAACAAUCCCCGGUCGUCAGCAAGCAAGCAACUGACGCAAGGCGAGGGAGGAGCGGCCGGCGCCGCGCGGACGGCGAGAUCUCGGCGCUGCUUUUACCGAAACAGCCGCUCAUAUGCCAACGCUCCAGGCAGCGUAGGGAAACGACAGAAACUGUAGUAGUAACCGAAGGCGACGGUGGGCCGUCGCCGCGCAGGAUGGCAAGGCCGGCCGGGGAGCAUUGGCUUUGACCGAAACGGCAAUCGCGUCACUGCGGAUGGUAGACUACAGCCGCAGCUAGGGUUUUUUCCUCUCGGGGCGAUUCUGAUCGCCGCCCUUGAGAUUUUGCCUUCCCUGCCCCCGUACUCCUCCCUGGCCCUCCUCUGGCGAUCGAGAGCUGCUUGUCUCUUCGGUCCUUGGUGGGGCGGGGGAGUGGGAGGUGCCUAGGGUUCCUGCAGAGGCCCGGUUUCAUUGUUGAUCGGGUUAGGGUUCGAGGAGUAAUGGCGUCAGACGGAGCAUCGGGUCGCGGUCAGGACCUACAGAUCCGGAUGAUGUGACGGCACUGAUGAAGGAACUAGGUCUUCGCGAGGAGGAUCUAGAUGACGUGGUGUUUGAUGAAAAAGAAGCACCGGUAGAGGCGGCGCGGUGGAUUGCUCUCGCUAGGGUUCACUCGCCAAAGACCUAUAGCCAAUAUUGGUUUUUCAAAAACAUGAGGGCAGCUUGGGAUCUUGCUCAGGAGGUGCAGUUCAAGCCUUUGGAAGAUAAUCUAUACACGGUGCAGUUCUCUUGCUUGGGGGAUUGGGGGAGAGUCACACGUGAUGGUCCAUGGCACUUUCGAGGGGACGUUGUUAUUAUCAAACCAUAUGAUGGAUUGGCUAAACCAUCAACGGUUUUGCUGGACACAAUUGAGAUUUGGUUGCAGAUCCAUGAUGUACCACCCUUAUACGCGGGCCAAUAGCUCCUGUGCGACGUUUUUGAUGUGAAUUUGCUUGAGUGCGAUGUUGUUCGAGUGAAUGGCUGUGGUGCGACACAUUUGAGCAGGUAAAUAGCCCAGGGCCACAUGCGGUGUUAAAUUUGGUUAAAUUGGUCGUCAAGCAAGCCCGUUUAUGUUAGGACAUGUGGGUCCAACUUAAUUGCUCCUCAAGACAGCUGACCGUGCCCUGCCGCCCGACCGUGCCGGGCCCGCCACUCUGCCCCCUCCCCCCUUCUUCUCCGAUGGCGGCGGAUCUUGCGUUCUCAACGGCGGCGGCGGAGCCCUUGUUCUCAACGGCGGCGGAGCCUUCGUCCUCAAAAAAUGGUGAGUGAGAACACUAGUCCCCCUCCUGUUCCUCUCUCGGCCCCGUAGAUCUCAGCUCGUUUCCUCUGUUUUCACUUGUUGAAUCGAUAGGUUGUGAGGGGAGCCCGUGGGCAUACUGAGAUGGAGCCGCCAGAUUCAACUUCGAAUAGGUAAUGCUCGUCUCUCCGAUCCAAUUUUGCAUGCAAUUAGGGCCUAGUCUGCUCUUUCUCACGGGCUCACACUGUCCGCCACUGACAGAGGGGAUGCUGCCCCUCGGACCUUUGAACUGACGGUCAAUUUCUUUCCAUCAAAGGCAAAAUUAGUUGAUGGUAGCAUUUAGAACAUUGAGAGAGACACAAUUGUUAAAUGGGAGGUUGAGUUUACAGAUAUUGAUCCACAAGUUCUACAGAAUAUGGGAGAGAAGGCAGUGAAGAAAUGGGUGGAAAAAAUUGGGGAGAAUGUUGUUUGGUGGUCCAGAGCAAGAAGUAUCACUGUUGCGGUUUGAUGAUUGGAAAGGAGAGUAUGUGAGAAUGGAAGAUGGUGAACAGAUUAUUGAAGAAAUCGAUCGGCAAAACGGCUAGACAAGCAAACGAGCUAAUAUUUUUGCUGAGCUGGUUGAUCUGAAUAUUUUUUCGAAGGUUGGAUAUGUGCCAUCACAAUUGGCUGCGCAGAUGGUAGAUGAUGAUUGGGCUACACAGAGGCCACUGAUUCCCAUGUGUACUGAACUUACAGUAAUAGCCGAAGAGGGACAAGUGACUGGAACUGAAACUGAAACUACAACAACUGUUGAUUGGAAUGUAGUUGAAUUAGAUGAGCCUACUGAUUUGGUCAUUGCACCAAUGCCUGACAUUGAGAUGGCCAAACUUUUUGGCAUUCCAGUCGAUGACAGAGAUAAGUAGGAGAGGGGAGAAUCUAGUUUGCCUGCUAAUGUUGAUGAAGAUGUAGAUGGACAAUUGAUGGAACAAGCUGCAGAUGAAGUAGAUGAUGCACAUGAUGAUGAGCUGGUGCAUGUGUAUGACAAAGAAAACCCUGUCAUUGAAGUGGCAAGUUGUUCCCAAGCAUGAAGGAGUUUAGGAUGUGUUUCAAGACUUAUGUAGUGAAACAUGAGUUUGAUGCCAAGACUGUUUGGACUGAUAGGAACAAGUUUUAUGCGAGGUGCAGAGGAUUUGAUGGUAGUGUCAAGCCUUGCAAGUGGUACAUAUCUGCUAGACUGCAACCUGAUGGAAGUACUGUCAGGGUUAACCAAAUCCCCAAUCAACAUACUUGUAUUACAAGUUCACAGAGAGUAUCAACCAUGACAUCACAACUUUGGGUUGCAGAAAAGAUCACCCCAAUUUUAGCCAAAACACCAAACACUAUUGCCAAGAAACUCAAAGUAGACUUGGAAAAGAUGUACCCCAUUAAACUGAAAUAUACCACAGUGUGGAAGGCAAAACAAAGGACAAUGAAAAAUUUAUAUGGUGAUUGGGCAAAUACAUUUAGGAUGCUUUACAACUUCAAAGCAGAGGUGGAAAAGAGGUCACCUGAUAGUGUUGUGGAGAUAGAUACAGAGGUAUGAGCCAAAGGUGAAGUCAAGUUCUCCAAGUUUUUUAUGGCUUUGAAGCCUUGCAUAGAUGGCUUCAAAGCAAGGUGUCGUCCAUAUUUGAGCAUAGACUCAUCAUUUUUGAUAGGCAAGUGGAAUGGUCAGUUGGCAGCAUGCAAUGCUCUAGAUGAACACAACUGGAUGUUUCCUAUUGCUGUUGGCUUGUUUCAGUCAGAAACCGAGGCUUCAUGGACAUGGUUCAUGAUCCAGUUGAAAAGAUGCCUAGGGCCAGUGUCACCUUUGGCUAUACACACAGAUGCAUGUAAGGGGCUUGAAAAUUCAGUGAAAAAUGUUUCCCACAUGCUGAGCAGAGGGAGUGCUUCGGUCAUUUGUGGAUGAAUUUGAUCAAAAAAAUUAGAGGAGAAGAAUUUGGGCGCAUGUGGCCAGCAGCAAGAUCUUACACUAGACAGACACACAAAUAUCAUCUUGAUAAGAUAAUGGCAGCAUGUGAUGAGUUUGGUCCAUGGCUGAACACCUACCAUUCUUUGUUAUGGUACAGGUCAGCAUUCAACACUGCCAUCAAGUGUGACCACAUCAACAACAAUUUGGCAGAGAGUUUCAACAACAAGGUGAAGGAGUUAAAAGAUUUGCCUGUGCAUGACAUGGUUGACCAACUCAGGAUCAUGCUCAUGCGGUUAUGGGAAUUGAAAAGAAGGAUAGGUGAUUGUCAGCAAGGUGAUAAGCUUCCAGCAGUGGUACAACAGGUGGUCAAUAGGAGCAGAAGUCUUUCACAUUUGUUUGUUGAAAAAUCUUCACCUUGGGGUGCUGAAGUUAGAGAUAACAAAACUGGAAGGAGACAUGUUGUUAACACUGAAUUUCAUGAUUGCACUUGCCUCGAGUGGCAACACACUGGUAAACCAUGUGAGCAUGCCAUUCUUUUCUUAGCAUCCCAACCGAAGAUAAACAUGCACCCAUAUCUGCAUGAAUAUUAUUCGGUAGCAAGAUUCAAAGUUGCAUAUGCUACUCCAAUUCCAGCCUGAAGUGGAAAUUGAAUUUUCCAUGUGUCCUCCCUUGACGAAAAGAAAGGCUGGCAGGCCUAAACAGAGUAGAUUCAAGGCAUGGUUUGAGAAAGGUGGGAGUAGUAAGAAGGGAAAGAAAGAUGAAAAGCCAAAAAGGGCCCAAAAAGGUAACAAAAACAGAUGCAAGUUGUGCCAGGAACUUGGGCACAGAGUGGGAUCUGUCAAAUGCCGUUACACUCCUGAUAAGCCAAAGUAUGUUCUUGUUUAUUUGUCUGUGUUUUGAUUUGGUGCUUUUUUCCAAUUACUAUAUCUAUAACAUUUUCUGCAUAUGAGGAAGCGAGCAAGUCAGCCCCUUGUUGUUGAACAGUGUUGGCCAACAAAACAAGCAAGAGUCAAUGGCGGUAGAAAAAAGAGAAGUGUGCCUGAGCCUGAGCAAACUGAAGAAAAGCAUGCUGCAGUCAACAUUCAGACUGAAGAAACUGAUGUGGAGGUGCACACUGAAGAAACUGAAUUUGAGCGUGUCGAGGUUCAGACUGAAGAAACUGAACCUGAGCGUGUCGAGGUUCAGACUGAAGAAACCCAUGUUGAGGUACACACCAAAGAAAUUGAAACUGGUGUCAACAUUGAGACUGAAGACACUGAUCACGAGGGUAUUGGCGAGGUGUUGAAAAGACCAGUGAAGAAAACCAAGAUAAUCAGUGAAGUUGUGUGUGUAGUAGAACCAAAAAUAAGAAGGGCUAAGGCGAAGAAGGGCACACGACGUGGUAGGAAGAAGUAGAACAGAGAACAGUUUGAAAAUUUGGGGCAUGUAAUAAUAUUUGUAACUUGGUGCGUACUGGUAGUCACUAUGUAUCCCCAUAUUUCUAUUCGAACUUGUUUGUCUAAACCAGCCAAAUAAAAUUUAAAUUUAAAUUUAAAUUUGGGCUAUUGAUGUUUUAGUGCUAUCUAAAGUACCUCAACUGAAAUAUGUUUGCUUGCUGAUCAUUACGAGCCCUUUUGGUAAGUUGAACUACCCGUUGAACUCAUAGUCAUGAAAAGUGUGUUUCAAAUGACCUCCAAAGGUAGGGUAAACGGCCUCAUAUUUAAGCAAGUUUUUUUGGCACCUUGUCUAAACCAGCCAAAUAAAUUUUCUACACAUCUAUUCUACCUAUAUAGUGUAAAUCUAAAGUCUCACUAUUUAUUGAAUUAAUUUUCUAUUUUUUUCAUUUCUUUUUGAAAAAACAAGCUUUAAUAGAAAAUUAUAUAAAACAAGUUUAAAACAUGAAAAUGAGAAAAGUAAGUUCAGAUCUUUCUUAGUCAAUCCAAAAUGAAGUUUUGGUGAGGUUUUCACACUUUUCAUUUUCAAAACUCCACCUACUCUCGGGUGCCCACUACUCUCUCCCUUGAACUCCAUACUACAUUGUUUGAGGAAUGACAAUUUUGUGAAGGAUUUUUCGUAAAAAUGUAUGUAAACCAUAUUUAUAUUUUUUUCUCAUUACUAUACGACAUAAUAAGACUAUGUGCGCAAGUUUAAUAUUUUUUUUUGAUUUUUUUUGAAUUAGUUAUGCUCAACCCUAAUCAGUCAAAACCUCUCAAAACCCCUCUCAAAACCCCUCAAACCCCCGCACACUACCUGGUCGUCGAUCGUUGUGCGUGGACGGUUGAGAUCAGGCGCUAGGGUUAGCUACAGUGUGCAGCGAUCCGCAUGAGACGCGCUGAUUGGUUGACGCGGUGGGGUUUGGAUCAGCCUCUCUCGUUGGAGCAUCAGGACCGUUCAUUUGAAUCCAACGGCAAGAGAUGAUGCGGUGCAUGGACCAAGCCUACGCAGUGCCCUUUCCAUCGUUGCAUGCGUGCCCGUGCCUGCCCGCAGCAUGCAUGCCCACCCGCAGGACUGCGCCCAUGCGUUGCAUGCAUGCCUCGACGUAGCCCUACUCCGCCACCCCUAUCAACGCGGCAAGCUGUCGCAUGCCUACCAUUAGAACCGAUGCAGUGUGGCAUCAAAGCAUGCACCCGGCCACAAUGCAGCAGCCCAAUGAAGACAACCAAAAAGCCAACGCUGCAUGGCGUGGUGUGCACGCUGUGCAUGGCGUGCUCCUCUUUGAGGACGCAAUACUGGCAUGGGGUAUCGAUGUGGGUAUCGAUGCAGUUCAAAUGGCGUGCUGCCCGUUACAAGAUGGGCAAAAGAAGGCGUCCAUUAUUGUCACGUCUCCCAUCGACCGAACCUUGCCCUCUAGCCAGGCCCUAGCAAGAUGAGCAAAUUAAUGGGCAAUGGCAUGCAUGCACGGGCGGCACACGCAGAGAACCCGGGGAAGGCGUGUCCCUUGACCCACGACGGCACAGACGCGUGCGUGAGCCUGUCCCCCUUGACCCGCGACCGGUGGCACAGAAGCGUUGCAGUCCGUUUCCCACGGUCAUGCUCGUGUACACACUUUCAUGGGGCGCCACCAAACGCCGCCCGCCCAUUAACCCCCCAUUAAUUCUAGGGUUUCGACGGGGUGAAACCACGUCGCACUUGGGCUAUUUAAGCCGGGCACUAUCGUCCUCUCCCUCCUCAUCCAUCAUACCCCAUCCUCUGCCUCCUCUGCCCUUCUUCUUCCUUCUCCAUCAAACCCGACCGAGCACUCGAGCCACCCCGCCACCAUGCAGUACACCGCACCCACCUACCGCUUCCCCCCAACCGUGCCAGAAAGGCUCUACCCGGCCAGAGUGUAUGUAGAGAGAACCCUUAGGGUUUGGGCGAUCUCGAGGUGGAGGGGCGCAAGGGAGUUAACGGAGUUCUUCCUUGCGGCAGGCUUCCGCCACCUCCCCCGCGGCCCUCCUCGGAUGUACCAUGUUGAGGAGGUCAACCACAACGGCGUUGUGGUUGGGCUCCUCGCCAUGUUCACUAACCCUUUCGAUGCUUUCCAUCUCCUCGGGCGAGCGUAUUGGGUUGGUUGUGAGUUCAUAGCUUUCGCCACCUACAAUAUCUUCACCGACUUCCAGAGCAUCUUCCCCAACAACGGCGUUAUGCACACGCUCCCGUACCCCAUCAACAACGGGGAGGAGUGAAGGACGGCGCCCGGAGGAGCGAGGUGGCGUUGUUCCCCCGGAGGAGGAGAAGAAGAGCCCGAAGAAGAACCCGCGUUUGGUGCCCCCCGAUCUAUCUAGCUUAUCGUAUUAGUUUUUUUUAAGUAGUAAUCGUUAUGCUACUAUUAUUAAGUUGUAUUAGUAUUUUAAGUUGUAAGGCUAUCAUGGAGUUGUAAGGUUAUCGUGGAAUUAUGGGUUGCAAUCGUUAUGCUACUAUAUAUAUUGUGUGUUUCAUGCUAUUAUUUGAAGAUUGCUAUGGGUUGUUCUUGCUUAUUAUUUGUGUAUUGCUAUGGGUUGCUACGAGCCCGGGUUGCUACACCUCAAUCUCACCACACACACACCAUCUUCAAAAUAUUGGCCAAACCAUGGACAUGCACGCCCCAUGCAACUAGGAGCCCCAUGCAAACCCACUAUGGACAUGCCACUAGGAAAUGCAAACUAAUUUACUUCAUGCAACUCAUUUAGUUCAUGGAACCGUAGACAUGCAUAAAAACAAUUAGCAUUUGGUUUUAUUGCAUCAAAAAAUGAUACAUCACAAAAUUUAGUGCAAGAAAAAGGCCAAAUUAAAAAUAAGUAACAUUUUAUUUGCCGAAGUUAGAGGUGGGCUGGUGCCGCUACGCGGGUGGGCUGGUGCCCCUACGCGGGCGGGCUGGUCUCUAUUUUGGGCAUGGUUAUUUUCUCAGGGCCCAUUUUCUCAUGGCCCAACAUCUAUUCGGCAACCCAGUUUUGUUUUUUUACUAGAAACUGAAUUUGGGUGUGUACUCUGUUAACUGAAGAACAAAAACAGAGGAAACAGAGCAUGAACACUGAAUAGGGCCCCUGAGAAUAUCAGUACAAUAAUUCAAGCAAGUUUUGCUUCACACGAAUUCAAGUUCAUCUAACAAAUGAUCCCUGGCUAACUCAGACUACUGGGCCCCCCUGAAACUAGCUGACUAACUAACUGAAACUAUAACAAAUUCUAGCGAUUGAUGAACAUCAAGUAAAAUAAACCCAUAGCAAUGACACAACCAUAAAAUGCUCCCGCCAUCUUAUUUGCUUGCUGCUUCAAAUCGAUCAGAUGCUUUAGUUGCUUGCCGAUUUUCUUCAAUUCACACUUCAGUUCUGCACUGUGCAUCAUCGGAUCGGCUCUGUCCGCCAAAUUGGGGGCUUGUUCCACGGCAAGGCGCCCCCCAAAAUUGAGCUCUUGGGUUGGGGUUGAUCCCUCCAAUUUCAACCUUUCAACAUAUUUGUUAAGCCACUCAAAAUGCCCACAUUUCUUCAGAACCUGAAAACAGGGGGCCGGCAGCGCAUGAAUCCUAGAUCCACCACCCAGAUCCACCGCCCUAAUUCAAGGGAAAAGGAAAGAAAUCGGGAGAAAUUAGACCAUAGAAUUGGUCAAGAACACAGAUCUAACUUGCCCCGGCUGUGGCUUGCUCAAACAUUUCACAAACUCGCGCCCACGGUUGCCAUUUUCUUCCCUCACACAAGUCAAACGCUUAAGAGGCUCCAUGCGCGGGCAAUCGGGGCAUCUUGUCAACGGCAGUGGACCAUACUGCGUCCAUGAUUGGCGGGUGGCUGAAGUCGAGCUAGACAUCACUCGCCGGCGGCGCGCUUCGUUGCCGGAGCAGAGGAAGAAGAAGGUGGGAAAGGAAAGGGGCAGGGUAAGCAAUGGAGGAGGGCGGGCUGGCUCGGGUCGGGGCACGCUGAUGAGCACGGGCAUGCUUGUGUGGAUAAGUUGUGGGUCCCACCCGCACGCGAGUAACUGGUGGGUCCCGGUGUCAUAACUCAAAUCGCUAACCCUCAUGUUUUUUAUUUCACGGUUAAACAGAGCCAUGUCGCAUUGGAGCUAUUUACACGCUCAAGUGUGUCGCAUCACAGCCAUUCACUCGAACAACGUCGCACUCAAGCAAAUUCACAUCAAAAACGUCGCACAGGAGCUAUUGGCCCCUUAUACGCUCAUCUUGUGCCAUCUUUAGCAGCAAAAGUCAGAGAAGUCCUAUACGCCGAGCCACAGUCACAAGAUUUCACGGGCAAUUUCCAUCGUGUGUGGGUCAGGAUCAAUGUCAACAAGUCGCUGAAGAAUGUUGUGUCGAUGAUAAGGGAUGAGAAGCGCCAAAUAUAUAGGCUAAAAUAUGAGAAACUUCCAGAUUGGUGUGCAGUUUGUGGUAUGCUUGGACAUCAGUUUAAAGAACAUGGCACUGGAAUCCACCCUCCGUCAUCCUUGGUUUUCAAAGAUUUGCGUGCUUCUUGUGUUCUCAAAACCGGACAGGGGCUGGGAGGUGGUCGAGGCCGUAGAGGCGGCCGGAGAGGAGGCCGUGCUGGUCGUGCAACCGAGCCGCGCCAUGAUCAUGACAAAGGCGGCGACAGGAAAGAGGGUUUUGGCAGUGCGUCAGAUACAUUAUGGAUGAUGCAAAUAAUAACAGGAAGAGGGCGCCGACCCAAACGCAACAUGUGAUACAGCCGGGGAGCAAUGCAACGAGCGACACAAGCCAGGGAGGGAUGCUCUUGCUUCCAGCUCCCUCAACGGUUCCAGCUAGUCCGAGCAGUAAACAGGACCAAAAGAGGACCAAGAUGAGUACAGAUGCAAAGGAGGAUGAUUUGGAAAAUAGUGCCGGUCUUGGCAAGAUCGUCUCUUCAUUGGCGGGCUCCUUCGAGGGGCGCCGCCGAGCCCAAUGAAUAUUUUCUGUUGGAACUGUCGUGGUGCGGGCAAAGCCGCGACAGUUCGAGAGCUUCGCGAUUUCGCGAGGAUUUUUGCCCCUACCCUCUUAUGCAUCAUUGAAAGGCAGUUGGAAAGUGGUAGGGUAGAAGCAUUAGCUGGUACGUUGGGUUUUGAUAGCACUUAUGCUGUCAGCAGUAGAGGAAGAAGUGGAGGAAUAGGUUUGUUUUAGAACAACUUAGUAAAUGUUGAAAUCCUUGGUUAUUCUGAUUAUCAUCUUGAUGUAUCAGUCGAGGAACCAGGCAAAGAGAAGUGGAGGAUGACAUGUGUAUACGGGGAGGCGCAGACACACUUGAGGCAUCAAACCUGGACAACUUUGAAAAACGUCAGUACUUUGAGCACCCUUCCUUGGCUCUGUUUGGGAGAUUUCAACGAAGUAUUACGUCCAGAUGAACAUCAUCGGAUUGGACAGCGGAGUAAUGCUCAAAUCCAGGCUUUUCGUGAAGCUUUAGAUGUUUGCAUGCUGCUUGAUUUAGGCUAUAAACGUAAUUUCUGGACCUUCAUGAAGAAAGUGACGGGAAGAACCUACACACGUUGUAGACUUGACCGAGCUCUUGUAAAUUUUGAUUGGCUGUCAAUGUUUCCCUUGGCAUCGGUAACACACUUGACGGGAGUCACUUCAGAUCACUCUCCUUUGCUGCUAAAUCUGGAUCCUGGAAUCAACGAUCGCGUCAAUCGUCCUUUUAGAUAUGAAACAAUGUGGGAGAGACAUGACAGUUUUCGAGAUGUAAUAAAUCAAGGAUGGGGUGCAAGCCCGCCAUGCGCGACAGUAGAUGAGCUGCGUCAGAAGCUACAGAACCUUUCAAGCGAUCUGGGAAGGUGGAGCCGUGAUACGUUUGGAAGUGUGAGAAAGGAGAUAAAAUCAUUGAAGAAAUCCUUGGACGAACUAAAGAACGAUCCCUUGAGGACAUGCCCUUCACAUGCAGAGCUUAAGAUCAACGAGAGGUUGAUAGAGAUGUAUCAUAGAGAAGAAAUUAUGUGGCGUCAGAGAGCGAGAGUUGAGUGGCUUUCAGCGGGAGACAAAAACACAAAAAAAAUUCAUAUGCGAGCCAAUCUCAGGAGGAAGAAAAAUAUGAUCAAAGCCCUUCAGAAUUCGUUGGGAGUGGAGGUAUCCGACCCUGGAGAGCUAAAGACUUUGGCUAAUGAAUUUUAUCAGUCCUUAUAUCUCUCCGAGGGGGUGCAAAACAUGGACGCUGUUUUAAAUCAUGUGCCACAUAAGGUGACAGCAGCUAUGAACAUGGAACUGUGUGCUCCAUAUACUAAGGAGGAAGUCAAGAUUGCUCUCUUCCAAAUGUUCCCAACCAAAGCACCGGGGCCUGACGGAUUUCCUGCACAUUUCUAUCAGAGGCAUUGGGACGUUUGUGGUGAUGAGGUAACAAGCAUAGUGCUAAGAAUUAUAAGCGGUGAGGAGAGCCCAGAAGCCAUCAAUGACACCGUGUUUGUGUUAAUCCCAAAGGUAACUACCCCUACAGUGCUUGCUCAAUUUCGUCCUAUAAGCCUGUGCAAUAUUUUGUAUAAAAUAGCCUCAAAGGUGAUAGCCAAUCGAUUAAAAGUGUUAUUACCUGACAUAAUAUCGGAGGAGCAAUCUGCUUUUGUCCCCGGAAGGCUCAUCACUGAUAACAUCAUUUGCGCAUAUGAAUGUUUGCACUUCAUGAAGAGGUCCAGAUCAGAGUCCAAUAGCUUCUGUGCUCUGAAACUGGAUAUGAUGAAGGCGUAUGACAGAUUAGAGUGGGACUAUUUGCGAGGGAUCAUGACAAAAUUGGGUUUUGACGGUCACUGGAUAGAUAUUGUCAUGCGCAUGAUUUCUUCUGUCUCUUUUUCGGUGUGUUUCAAUGGAGAAAGGCUAGAAUCGUUCAAGCCUACACGAGGUAUCCGGCAGGGAGACCCGAUCUCCCCCUACUUGUUCUUGAUCGCAGCAGAGGGCCUCUCGUGCCUCCUUAAAUCAAGUUCUCAGUCGUCUCCGACAGGUAUUCAGGUGGCUCCUACGGCUCCUACCGUUAACCAUCUCCUGUUUGUAGAUGAUAGCCUGUUGCUAUUCAAAGCCAGUGGGGAAGGAUCAGUUCAGGUGUCAAACCUACUUGAUAUUUACUGUAACGCUUCGGGACAGAGGAUGAACAAUGAUAAAUCUUCGAUUUUCUUCAGUAAGGGUUGCCCGGCACAGUUGGGAGACACUAUAAAGAACAAUUUGCAGGUCCAGAAUGAAUCAUUGAGUGAGCGCUACCUGGGUAUGCCAACAGAUGUUGGUCACUCGAAGAAUGGUACGUUCAAAUAUCUGCGAGACCGUGUCUGGGCAAAGAUUAAAGUUUGGAUGGAGAAAUUCUUGUCUGCGGCUGGCAAGGAAAUUUUGAUUAAAUCGGUUGCACAAGCGAUCCCAGUAUACUCGAUGGCAUGCUUCUGUCUGCCAAGAGGUCUUUGUGAGAGCAUCACAUCAAUCAUUCGUCAGUUCUGGUGGGGCUCAGAACAAGGGAAGAGGAAGCCGAGUUGGGUAGCAUGGGAUAUCAUGACUCUGCCAAAGCAUUUAGGAGGUUUGGGGUUUCGUGACUUGGAAAUCUUCAAUCUUGCAUUACUAGCAAGGCAGGCAUGGCGUACACUCACAGACAGUACAUCUCUUAGCGCCCGGAUUCUCAAGGCAGUAUAUUUUCCUGAUUGCUCUUUACUUCAAGCUGAGCUGGGAGCCCACCCAUCAUAGAUAUGGAGGGCGAUAUUGGACGGGCGUGACAUCUUGGCACAAGGUUUGGUGCGCAGAAUAGGAGAUGGUGCAUCCACUAAUAUUUGGCAACACAACUGGAUACCGCGAGACAAUUACAAGCGCCCUAUAACAGCUCUCGUCCAAAAUCCACCGGACCAAGUAUCACAACUCAUUGAUGUUACAUCGGCUAGCUGGAAUGAGGGCCUGGUCCGAACGAUUUUUACUACAAUCGAUGCCGAGGCAAUCCUCAAGAUCCCUUUGUGCACGCGUCGUGUGGAAGAUUUUUGGGCGUGGCAUCAUGACCCUAGGGGGAGAUUUAGUGUUCGGUCUGCUUAUCACAUGAUUCUCAAGACUAAGCACGACAGGGAAGCAUGGUUGCAUGAGGAGGGAGGCACAUCAUAUCAGUUCAGUGACACCAAUAACUGGUCCAUGAUUUGGCAUAUCUAAGUACCUUCGAAACUCAGGAUGUUUCUAUGGCGAUUGGCCCGUCAAUCCAUGCCAACUGGGACUGUUUUGCAACACCGUCAUAUGUCAACCGAAAACACCUGCUUACUCUGUGGAGCAGUGGACACAUGGAAGCAUGCACUGAUGACCUGCCCUAUGUCUGCGAGUAUAUGGGCGCUGGCUCCGGAGGAUUUGGUGCAACACAUGGCAGAGCGAGGAGAGGAGAACCGAAAGGAUUGGCUCUUUGCUAUACAUGAAAUAUUAACCAAAGAGCAGUUUGAUCGUUUGGUGGUGUCCCUUUGGGCAAUAUGGGGAGCUAGGAGGAAGGCCAUUCAUGAGAAUAUCUUCCAAUCUCCUCACUCGGUCAUCAGCUUCAUAUCUAGCUACUUGGGGGAGCUGCAGGUGAUCAAUGCCAAAACCCCGGCUGUGACGACGCAGAGACGCGUCAACCCAAGGGGGUGGCUGGCCUCGUCGGCGGGGAAUGCCAAGAUUAACGUCGAUGCGGCUGUAUCGAGGCAAGGGUUCGGCUCAAUUGGAGUGAUUUGUAGAAAUCAUGAAGGCAUGUUCAUCGGCGCGUCAACUUGUGGCUUCAGCAACAUUGUAGACCCACCGACUCUCGAAGUUCUAGCCAUUAGAGAAGCCUUGGCACUGGCAGAUGAUCUAUAUUUGAGGCGGGUUGAGGUUGCAUCGGAUUGCAAAGUGGUCGUGGAAGACUUACAGAAGGACAAUCUAGCGAGCUACGGUGCAAUUGUACAUGAAAUAAUAGCUCACUCUUCGGUUUUUGAGUUCUGUAAUUUUAAACAUGAGUCUAGGAGCUACAAUUAUGAAGCUCACAACUUAGCGAGGCAUGCAUUAUCUCUCGGUGGUGGUCGCCGUGUGUGGUUAGGCCAUCCCGGGAACCUAUCUUUCGUCCCUGUAAACAUUGUGACGACUUAAUAAAGCCUCGUGACGUUGCCUAAAAAAAAGAUGGUAGACUACACUGCGGCGUGCCACGCCUUAGAACUCAUCGCGAUAAAGGGCGCUUGCGGCUUGCAUCGCGUGCUCGGCGUGCAGCGGUGUUUAAUCACUUACGAACAUUGCAUUGUUCUGUCUUUGGUUCAUCGAAAAGUACGAAAAAAAUAGUGGCACUAUUCAUAUGUCUAGUGCAAAAAGAGUUUAAGCAAAGUAGAUUUUUUUUAAUUUGGUAGCAUAAUAACAUUAUAAUGAAAUAAUUUAUGUCGUUUGAUUUUAUUUUCUUUGAUUUUCUUUGUCUUCGUGUUCAUUAGGAUUCCAGCGUUUGGGUGUCACUUUGCUACCAACCACCAAUGGUCGAUAGCACAUUAAAAUUUGUAUUCCUUUAGAAGAGAAAAACAAGUGAGUCGAUAAGAGAAAUGUUAUACAAAGCAUGGAUGCAUACAAACCCACUUUCAUAAUCUUAAAGGAAAAUUACAACGUUACUUUGUGUCACUGUAGACACAGCGGUGUGCGCGCCAGUUGCACAACCUUGAACUAUCUCUCUGGCGACAAACGGUGCUCGCGUAUGUCGCAUGCUCGAUCGGCGCACAACUAAUAUUGCUGGUGCGCUCUCGUCUUGUAAUGAAGAGAAACUGAUAGAGCACCAUUAUGCGAGGUCGGCAAAACCUUGCCUCCAUGCACACAUUUGGAAGGUUGCUACAUUGCUAUCUCUACCAACAAGCUGUUCCAAUGUGAAAAUAUCCAAUAGCAAAAGUGAAUCAUCAUUCUUGAUUAAUAAAUGAUUCACUAUAACCAAGUAGUAUUUAUGAUUGAAAUCUUCUUUUGAAGUAUAUCCAUAUGGGAGUACAAAGCUGCGCAUGCUGGAACCGUGAACGGGAUUGUACACACCCAGCUUGUCUUGAGGGAAAGUUAGAACACCCUACGGAGGAAAAGAUAACAGAGGCUGCAAAGACUUGAACCACAAGCACCGUUCUUGUUGCAUGCAAAGCCACGCACGCGUGUGACAGUAGGACAUGCAGUGGUACGCUGAGUCACUCGACCUGUUCUGUGAAUGUGGUCGACCACAUUUUCGUUGCUUCGGUUAAGGAUAGGCAGCAGGCACCAAACGGUGACUCAUUGUUUCUAUCAUAUGAUCAGGUGGACACGGCGUGCUCGGUGAAGCGAUGUGUAUAGGCGGGCGUGAACUGGACCAUUGGUAGCCUUGUUUUCUUCUCAUCGUGUGUGGUGUAGAUGAACAAGCCCUAUGGAAGGUGAGGCUGCAUUGCACAUGUGAAGUUGGUGUCACGCUUCAACCAAGUGGUCAUGUCCAAAAAUUCUGUCAGUGGGAGCGCACUGGCAGUGGCACACAGUGCGCGUCAUGCGUCUUAUACUCGCCCGCAAAUGUGGCCAAACCCGAGAAGAAAAAAUCCCCCCUUGCCCCCGCGCCGUCCCCCCCGCGGGCGGCUCGGGCGGCGGCGCCAGAUCCCGCCGCGGGCGCCCUCCCCUUCCUCCUCCCCCCUCCGCUGCUGGCCGGGACCGCCAGGGCGAAGCCCCUCGCGGUGGCUGGCGGCGGGGGAUCUCUCCUCCACGUCUUGGUGCUGGUGGGCGCGGGGCUCCCUCCCUGGGCGGUGGCGUCGGGCGUGCACAGGGUCCGGCGGCGAGGCGGCUCCUUCUCCGGCCGGCGGCGCACUACGGUGCUGCGGCGGUGGAUGGGGGCUUGGCCCGCGGCGGCGGUGCCCCGUGGUGGUGGCGGGGGCCCGGCUUCGGUCCUCCGGUGGUGCUGCGGGUGAUCUUCCUUCCCCAUCGCGGGUGUGCGGUGGUGUUGCUCGGGCAACGGUGGUUCCGGCGGCGGCGCUGCGCCGGAUGGUGAGGAGGCGGCGGCACAACCACAUGGCUGUGGGCUGGCGCGGUGACAGGCGGCGGCGCCCUUCUGGCCAGAUCUGGGCCCUUUUGGGCCCCAUCUGGAUCUGGGCGGGCCUGGCCGGCGGCACCGACGGACGGAGGAGCGGCUCGUGCGGGGGGUUCCGGAGACGGAGGCACGCGCACUGCAGCGCGGCAAUGGGAGCUUCACGAGCCCUAUCUGGCUCGGCCGGGCCGUGGGCCAGGUGUGCUUUCCUUGUUGCGUCCGGCCGGUGACCGCCAUGGGCCGUGGAGGUCGUCCCCUCCCGUGUGGCUGCCGAUUUUGCCGCUCAUCGUUCCCGGUUGUCUCCUCUCGGCCUCAUCGGUUUCGCUUCGCCGCUUGGUCGUGUGUGACGGCUUCGACGGACGAAGGUGCGGCUCGUGCGGGGGGUUGUGAAGACGGUGGCGUGCUAACUGCAGCGUGGUGACGGGAGCUUCACGAGUCCUUUUUGGCUCGGCCGGGCCGUGGGCCUUGUGUGCUCCUAUUGCUGCGUCCGGCCGGUGACCGCCAAGGGUGGUGGAGGUUGUCCCCUCCCGCGUGGCUGCUGAUUUUUGCCGCUCCUUGUUCCCGGCUGUCCCCUCUCAGAUCCGUCGGUCUCGCUUCUCUUUCCAUGGUGAGACGGCGGUGGUGAUCUAAAGACCGUGGUGGCGCAUGUUGGUGGGCGGCAAGAUUGGUGGAGUGCGACGGAGCGGCCGGGGAUGUGGAUGUGUGGCGGAUGGGAGAAACCCUGUCGGCUUGGCCGGCACCGACGCGGUGACGCCCGCGGGCGCCACCGGUCCUUCCUGAAGGGCGCCGGGCUUACCUCUUCCACACGCCCCUCCAUGUACCGGGGGAAACCCUAGGACUAGUCCGGGCAACAGCGUCGGCAUCGUCGCGUUCCUUCCUGAAGGUGUUGCUUGGUAUGCGGCGGUCUGAAGUGCUAGGAGCGUGGUGGAAAUUCUCCGGCGGGCGCAGCGGUUGCGGGUCACCAUCGUUUUUGUCGACCCGACUCUGUUGUCAUUAGUUUCUUUUUUUUUCUCUGUUAUUUCUUUUGGGCUUGCUUGUGCUGUUUGCCCCAGCAUCGGACUAUUAGUUGUAUCGUGUGGUUGCUAUAUCUAUAUAGCGGGGCGAAAGCCUAUUUCGAGAGAGAAUGUGGCCAAACCCAUUUAGUCGCAGCUUCUUAAGGAUAGAUAUAUGCGGCACGUACUGACUCACCGUGAGAUCAUUCAUAUUCAUCUAUAGACACAAAGCUUACAGCCUAAGGAAAAAAGAAGCCGUGUUGCAGUGCUGUAAAGUGCUGCUACUUUAUUACUCCAGCUAGCAAGUAACUGAUCCAAAGCGAGCGAGGAGCGGCCGGCGCCGCGCCGCCGACGAGAUCUCAGCGCUACUUUAUCUGAUAUAGCCGCUCAUCUGCCAACGCUCCCGGGGGCAUCCGGAAACGGCAGAAACUGUAGUAGUAACCCAAGGCGAGGGUGGGCCGGCGCCGCGCGGGAUGGCAAGCCCGGCCGAGGAGCCGCGAGCAGGAGACCUUGUUUCGACCGAAACGGCGAUGGCUUCACUGUAGAUGGUACUUUACACCUUUACACCGCGGUUUGCCACGCCUUAGAACUCGUUGCGAUGAAGGACCCUUGCAUCGUGUGCUCGGUGUCAGGCGCGUUACUGGCGUGUGUACACCCGUUACCGGUAGGAUUUAAUCGCUUACGAACAUUGCAUUGUUCUCUCUUUGGUUCAUAUAGAAAGAGUAGGAAAAAAAUAGUGGCACUAUUCAUAUGUCUACUGUAAAACGAACUUAAGCAAAGGAGAUUUUAUUUUUGCUUUAGUAGUAAUAACAUUAUAAUGAAAUAAUUUAUGCAGCUUGAUUUUAUUUUCUUCGAUUUUAUGUGUCUUUCUGUUCAUUAGGAUCCGAGUGUUUGAUUGUCACUUUGCUACCAACUACCAACGCUCGAUAGCACCUUAAAAGUUGUAUUCUUUUAGAAGAGAAAAACAAGUGAGUCAAUAAGAGAAGUGUUACACAGAGCAUGGAUGCAUACGAACCCACUCUCAUAAUCUUAAAGGAAAACUAGCAUUGUAAUUUACGUCACUGCAGACACAGCGGUGCACACGCCAGCUGCACGGCCUUGAAGUAUCUGUCUUGCGACAAACGGUGCUCGCGUACGUCGCGUGUUCGAUCGACGCCCAACUAAUAUUGCUGAUGCGUUCUCGUCUUGUAAUGAAGAGAAAUUGAUAGAGCACCAUUAUGCGAGACCGGCCAAACCUUGUCAUCAUGCACAAGUUUGGAAGGAUGCUACAUUGCUAUCUCUACCAACAAGGUGUUCCAAUGUGGGAGCAUCCAAGAGCAAAAGCGAAUCACCAUUCUUGAUUAAAGCAUGAUUCACUAUAACCAAGUAGCAUUUGUGAUUGAAAUCUUCUUUUGAAGUAUAUCCAUAUAUGUAGUAAUGUUAUGAUCUUAUGUACUAGUAAAGUAUGUCCAUAUAUGUACUAAUGUUAUGAUCAUAUAUACUAGUGAGAUUGUUUACAUAUAAAGGAAAAUUCCUUUCGCUUCACUAAGCAUGAUGAUGCAUAUUUGGGGUAUUCCCUAUGCAUGGAUGAAAAGUUUUUUUGGGUACUGGCGUUCAUGCAAGAUUGGCUUUAUCAGCUACAACAGAAGGAUCACACUUUCUGUUAUGAAUAUGUCAAAUAAGUAUGGGAUGCUAUUACAAGUAAGUAUUAAUUUCGUGACAUGGCGGAUAAUUUAAUCCAAAGCACAACAGCCUCUCAAUCGAUUGAAUCCAUCCAAAUGGUUACCCGUUCUUCGUUUGUAAGCAAAGGAAAAAAUAACAUCCAAAUGGUUACCAACAAUUGAUUCCAUGAAAAGAAUAGCAUGCCUCUUGUUUUGUGAAACAAUAGUAUGCCGCUUUGCUAGCACAUUUUGAUCAUCAAAUCGUCAAAAGUGCGUGCGUGAUCUCGCCGCCCAAGCGGCACCCAUCCCUUGCUCGCCUUUGGUUGCUUGCGUGCCCGGAGCGUUGGCAGAUGAGCGGUGAACGUAGCAAGGUGCAUGCACGUCCAUGCGAAUGACGCCCUUGAUAUCCUCAGGCUGGGUUUAAGCGUCUGCUCGAGUCUAUAGAUGAUGAUCAAACGAUGAGUCACUGAAGUUGCAGACGAGUACACGCUCAACCACAUCUGCAGACGAGUACACAUUCAGUGACGCGGUGUGCAUGCCAAUAUGUGCGCAUCCUACUGUACAUAGGAAAGAAAAGAAAGUCCCGCUGGAAGCUUCAAGCACACGCACGGUUGCAGCUGUUGCAUGCGACGUUAGGAGUGCCCUGGCACACCGCCCGCCGCUUGCACUCGCUGCGAAUGUAUUUGUCAAACGUGUUUCGUGGCAACUUCAGUUAGAUAGGCGCUAGUGGCUCAUCGUGAGGCCAUCAUCAUCCAUAGACACGAGGAUAGAGAGGCCGACACACACAUGGACGGACGGGUGCCUAGGUGCGGCCGAGAACGCGCUCCAGUCACAGAGUUUCAGUUAUUCGUUGUUGUGCUGUAAAGUGCUGCAACUUCACUGCAGAAAAGAACAACGAGUUGCUCACGGAUCGCCGGAGCCCCGCCUCCUCCGGUGGCAGCUCCUCUGCGCAACGUGAGGAAACGGAAGCAACCAGUAACCGAAGGCGCGCGAGCGAGAGCGAGGACGGACAGGCGCCGCGUGGGCGGCCAGAUCGCGCACUUGGUAAUAUUAUUGACUCCUUUUGCCUUUGGCGCUGAUACUUUGUAAGCUGCCAGCAGGAAAAGAUUACUUGUUUCAGCAAGUUAGGCUCGGUUGUAGUUCUUUUUUGAUCUUAUAUUGUGUUUUGGUACGAUCGAUAUAUGCUAGAUAGACAUUUGGAUUCAAAUCAGAAUAGUGUGAACAUGACUCGUCGAACUAGCUAGUUCAGUAUAUUGAGUAUCUGAAGUCAAUUUUCUUCAAGAUUCAUUGCAUUCCUAAUUAUUUACCACAAGUUGUUAGCUCACCUGAUUCGAUUGGUAUAUGGGCUCUAGGUAAAGGGCCUGCACGAAAAGACUAAUGAGGUUAAAGUUAGCUAACUUAGGGCGGUGAGUUCUGCUGGUGGCCGACAUUCCCUAGUUAUCUCAUCUUUUGUAAGGAUUGUUUGACACACAUCCAAAUAUUGGGGUGAUGUAUGCUCAGUGCGUUGCUCUGUCCCUAGUUGUAAGAUUAGCGUGCUGGGAACUUAUCCAAACUAGUCUUUUCAAGAUUUAAGAUGUAUCUUGUUCAAUAUAUCCUUUAUAAAUUCUAGGAUUUCUGAUGUAUUAAACUGUUGCUGACUUGAUACAUGCACGGUGCUUUCAGAUACACGGCAGUGACGGUCUAGCGAGAUUGAUGACCCAUGAUGAUUCCGCAAGGCGCCGAGGAGGGAAGCACCUCCUAGAUCUCAGAUUUGCAAGCACCAAGAUGAAAUGGCAAGCCGAGCCGGCCGGCCAUGUUAGCCCGUGCGUUGUUCGUUGUUUAGUUGUUUUCGGGCGAAGUGCUGCUAAUUGCUGAUAUGGGUGUUGAUAUAGUGGUGCGCACGUGCUGUACAAUUGUUGUGCCCAAGUGUUGGGAGGCUGGUGGUAUUAAACUCAUCAUGAACCGCUAAGCUAGUGCUGGAACGAAAUUCUAGUAACCCCGUUUUAUGUAUGUGUUGUACCCAUCCGAGCUAUGAAAUGCAAUGAAUCUUUCGGCAAAAGGAUAGCUGUUGCUGCUGCAAAUUUCCAGUUACGUACACAUUUUGUACAUGAAUAUCUCAAAUGGGGAUUUGAAAUUCUGGGGUCUACCUGCAAGUCUUUGGGUGGUUCAAUCAGUAUGGGAUAUUUUGUGUCUGGCUCAUGAACGAGGCACGCACGUUUGAAAAUAUUGUGUGCGGCAAAGCUCAAUGGCUCUCCCCUCUCCCUCCUCUCCCCUCCCCCUUGCGGCGGCCUCGGUGGCUGGCGAAGCUCCGGCGGCGCCCCGGCCUCGUGCUCCCCCCUCCUCCCCAUCCCCUCCUCGCUGGUUCCGCUCCGGCUCAUGNNNNNNNNNNNNNNNNNNNNNNNNNNNNNNNNNNNNNNNNNNNNNNNNNNNNNNNNNNNNNNNNNNNNNNNNNNNNNNNNNNNNNNNNNNNNNNNNNNNNNNNNNNNNNNNNNNNNNNNNNNNNNNNNNNNNNNNNNNNNNNNNNNNNNNNNNNNNNNNNNNNNNNNNNNNNNNNNNNNNNNNNNNNNNNNNNNNNNNNNNNNNNNNNNNNNNNNNNNNNNNNNNNNNNNNNNNNNNNNNNNNNNNNNNNNNNNNNNNNNNNNNNNNNNCUGUCCUCUUCGGGCUAACAAGUUUUGGGCUCUUGAUUCCGACGGAUCCGGCUCGGAUUCUGAGGCGAACUCUCCCCCACCUCGCUUGUCCCCGGUGUGCUCUCCCCCUGUGGCUGCGGGUUGCUCGCCGACGCAAGUUCGCGCCCGGUGGGCAGGGGCGGCCAGUCCGGUCUGCCGUGGUGUCGGAUGGCUGGCGCCGCGUCUCGCGCGGACGGCGUCGUGCUUCGUGCUGGUCUCCGGGCCUAGUCUUGCCGCGAUCUGCGCUGGAGUCGGCCUCGCCCUCUCUGGUGGGUUCGCGUGCUGGCGCGCCCGCGAGCCCGUCCUCCGCCUCCAUGGCGGCGCCGGAGUCGGCCCCAACCCUAGAUCUGGGUGCGGGGGCGGCGUUGGUGCCCCCUUCUGUGGUGCGGGCCCCGGUGGGCUCUGCUGGGCCUGGUGGGCCGGCUUCGUCCUUGGCCCUGGCAUCUCUUUCUGACUUUCCCCCCUCCCUUCUGUGGAUCCUGGGCUGCGGACGGCCCAGGUCCAGCCCACCUCUUCUGUUAGGCCGUGCCCCAGUUCGGGCCUGGCUCGGUCGGGGUAUUUAUGGGUGCGGAGAGGUGCAGCUCCCCCAUGCCUAGGGUUUCUAGCCUCCUCAUCUGAUCUGCUCCGCCAUCGUUUCCCAAUCCGACGCUUCAUCAGAUCCGCCCCUCCUCCUCCCCUCUCCCUCCCCUUUGCUGUGGUGGCGGCGAUGGAUCGAUCCCGCGCGUCCUCAAGUGAGGCGGUCUCCGGCCAGAAGCGGGGCCAUGGUGGAUCUGGCGAUGCAGAUGCGGAUCUGGAAUAUGAGGCGGCUCUUCGCGCGAAGCUUCAGGCCUCGAUCGCUCCGGAGGCGGGGUCGACGGCGGCGUCCGUUGGCUUUCCCCGUGCUUCUGGGUCGGGCCUUUCGGCGCCUCCCCCCUGCUUCUGGUGCCCCCUCGGUGUCAGCUGAUCCCUGGGAGGUGGCAGCGACGGCCAGCCGGGAGGGUUCGUCGGGGACCGCCCUGGCGCCCUCUUCGCUGGGUGCUGCCCCCCGGGGCGGAGCCCCGGUGCGUGCUCAGGUUGGGGGCGGGGCGUCCCGUUUCUUCCCCAGAGGCACGUCGGGGGCUCCGGUUCGGCGUCCUUCUGGCCCCGUGAUGGGGCGGGGCUCCGGCUCUGGGCCUGCUGCGGGUGGGCAUGGCAUCCUCCCUCCUCCUCCUCGUGGUCGCAUCCCUCCCCAAUCUCAGGUCUCCAACCCCAUCCUCACAUGUUUUGCAUGCAUCGUCCUGGCCACUUCCAAUCUCGGUGUGAAAACCCUCCCUUAUGCCUCAUCUGCCGGGAAGAUGGCCACCUUACGGUGGACUGUCAGAAUCGUAUCAAGCCUCCUUCUUUUGUCCAUUUUGGCACUGGUCUUCCUGGAUGUACCUCUUUGCACUUGAUAGGGAGAUCCCUGAGGCCGCCCCCAUUCCUUCUCUGUCCAAUGUUGGUAUUAUCUCUGUUCAGGAUAAACGCAUCUCCCCUCAAAUUCUUCUUGAUGAGCUCAAGGUCUGGGAUGAGGGUGGAUGGGAUUGGCAGAUUCGCCAGCUCUCCGAGUUCGAGUUUGCAGCGACCUUCCCCUCUAAAGAGAGUCUCCGGAUGAUAUCUUCUUGCUCUAGCUUCACUCUCCCCUUGAAUCAACUCGUGGUCUCGGUUCAAGCUGCCUCUAAUGGAUCCAAGUCUAUAUCCGCCUUGUCUGAUGUUUGGGUGCUGGUAGAAGAUGUUCCUCCAUCCAUGUGCACCUCGGCUUUCCUGAUGGCUUUCAGAGUUCUUAUUGGCAAGCCCAUUGAGGUUGACCAAGAUUCUUUGGCGAUCUUGGGGCCGGCCCGGCUCCGGAUUUGGUGUGUCGACCCCGUGUGCAUUCACGGCUCCCUUGACGUCUUCCCUGCGGUGGGUGGUUCCAUCUCCGUGUGCGGGUGGAGGGGGCCUCAGGCCCGGUGUCGCCCCCUCCUCCUCCACCGCCUCCAGCCUCUGACAAUGGAGACAAGAGCAAGGAGGGGGAUGGUUGGCCCGAUGACUCCUUGCACGGGUCCGAUACCCGUUUCACCCAGUCGGAGUGGGAUGGCCUCUCACCCGAAGAUCGGGACAUGCUAAAGGAGAACGCGCCCGCUGGCAAGGGGGGCCAGGGCUCGGCGCAGGAUCUGAGUGGAGGAGAGGCGGCUGCUGGCGGGGACAAGGGCACGCCUUUCUCUGCGGUGUGCUCCAACCUCCCCGCUCGCCCCGCGUCUCCCUCCCUGUCAGGCAUUGAAGACCUCCCCCCGACGGGUUCUGCGGCGCUCAAAAAGAAGAAGAAAUCCUCUGUUAAGAAGUUCUCCGCCAAGAGCCGCGCCUCUGGUGACUUCAGGCAGUCUGCGGUCGGGCUGUGCCGCCGGCUAGAGGCUGACUUGGGUCUGGCCUCGGGUCCGUCUUCCGCUGCGGCCUCUCCCAGUCGCGCGCGCCCUGUUCCUAUGCGUUCAUCGGCGUCCACGGCUCGUAAGAGUGGCCGUGUCUCCAACAAUGGCGAGCGGGUGGUCGAUCGAGAUGCUCAUCGUGCGGCGGCUCGGGAUCUGCCUCCUACAGGUUCGUCCUCUCCUCCCUCCCCCUCCUCCCCCACCCCCGUGAUUUCCUCUCCUGCCCGUUUAUUUCUCCCCUCUCAAUCUGAUGCUCGUUUGCUUAAUAUUUUAAACGAUGUUGGUAUUUUUUUAGAUUCUAGUUUGGGUUCUCCUUCAUCCUUUCUUAGUAUCAUUAGGGCGAAUGAAAUCGCUCAGGCAGACAUUGCGAGAGCCAAGGAGGCUAGGGAGGGUUCGGGUGCCCCACUGGUGGUGGCUGGUGGGGACGGGGGGGGAGGGGGAGAUGAUAGGAGUCAUGCUCCCUCGAUGGUGUCUAAACGUGGGGCAGGGAAACAAUCAAAAUCCUGCGCCGCCCCGAGCAGGUCGAGUCUUCGUAUCAAAAACUUGUCGUAUAAAUGAAGGCGCUUUUCUGGAACAUUAGAGGUUUCUGUGCUAGGGGGCGCAGAGACCAACUUCAGGACCUAGUUCGAUCUGAGAAUGUGGAUUUUAUUGGCCUUGUCGAGACUUUCAAAUCUUCCUUUUCUGCUAGUGAAUUAUCGUCUAUUGCUGGGAUAGAUAGAUUUCAUUGGAAUUUUAUGGCCUCGGCUUGUCACUCGGGGGGGGGGGGUUUCUGCUUGGAUCCAAAAAAGAUACUUUUGAUUUCGUGGCUUUCGACCAUGGCAUUUUCUGGGCUAGCACAGUGGUCUCCAUUUGCUCUCUCAACUCCUUAGUAGAAAUAUUAGUGGUUUAUGGUCCGGCUGACCAUGAUAUGUCUUAUGCCUUUUUGGACGAGCUUACUAUUAAGAUUGAAUCUUGCCAGCUUCCGCUGUUGAUUGGGGAUGAUUUUAAUUUGCUUUGUUUCCCCUCCGACAAGAGCUCUCCUAACUUCUCGUGGCCCCUUGCUGAUGCGUUCAAUGGCUUCAUUAGGGAUAUGGCUAUUCGUGAGAUACCUAGGGUCGGAGCCCGGUACACGUGGUCUAAUCAUCAACCACCCCCCCCCCCCCAUUCGCUCAGUUCUUGACAUAGUUUUUGUUUGCCCGAGGUGGGACCCUCUUUUCCCUCAUGCUAGUCUUAAGGCCCAUGCUCCCGUUGGCUCGGAUCACACACCCCUAAUUCUUGAUGAUGGAUCGUGCUCUAUGGGUGUCUCGAGGUUUCAUUUUGAUGCUUCCUGGCUUCUUGUCGAGGGUUUCAACAGUUUGAUGGCUCAAAAAAUUUUGUCCUUCCUUUCCUCGAGCCGUCGUUCCUUUGGACCGAUGGAUGACUGGCACCAAUGCUCCUAUUUCCUUCGUAGAUUCCUUAGAGGUUGGGCCAGAAACCAUUUUGCAGAGUCAAGGCGUGACAAAGCAAGGUUGGCGGCUCAGAUAGGCGUCCUGGACGAACGUGCGGAUUCGGUUGGGCUGUCCUCGAAUGAAUGGCAAUCCCGUUAUGAGUUAGAAGAGGCGUUGUUGGCCAUUCAUAGGCAGGAGGAAAUUUAAUGGAAACAACGCGGUACUAUCAACUGGACCCUCAAGGGGGACUUGCCCACAACGUAUUUCUUUGCUAUUGCUAAUGGUAGACGGCGAAGGUGCUUUAUUGAUAGCCCUAUUAUUGAUGGUGUCAGGACUUCUGACCCACUGGUGAUAAUGCGGCAUGUGGUCUCCUUCUUCGCUAACCUUCUUGCGGCUAAACCCGUGCUUGGCUUCAAGCUGGCUGCGACCUUCUGGGCCCCGUGUGACCAACUCUCGAGCGCUCACAAUGAGAACCUUCUUAUUCCCCCUUCGGAGGAGGAAAUUUUCGAGACGAUUCGCUCUGCCAAUUAUAAUGCGGCACCAGGCCCGGACGGCUUUUCCAUUCCUUUUUUUCGACAAUUCUGGCCUCAAUUAAAAGGCCUAAUCUUGGCUAUCACUCAAGGCUUUUGGCUGGGGACUGUAGACAUCUCGAGACUUAAUUACGCAGUCCUUACCCUCAUUCCUAAAGUUAAAGGCGCGGACGUAAUCUCCCAAUUUAGACCUAUUGCUCUCAUUAACAACUUUGCUAAGAUUCCAGCUAAGGGUAUGGCUGUGAAGCUAUCCCCGAUCGCUCAUCAAGUCAUUAGCCCUUUCCAAUCUGCUUUCAUUAAGGGAAGAUACAUCCUAGACGGGGUGCUGUGCCUUCACGAGAUUAUCCAUGAUCUGCGCAGCAAGAACACCAAGGCUCUGGUGCUCAAGCUCGAUUUUGAAAAGGCGUAGGAUUCAGUUAGUUGGAGCUUCCUUCGCCAAGUGAUGUUGGCCAAGGGGUUCGCUGGCUCGGUGGUCCAUCGCCUGAUGCAACUGGUCUCGGGGGGCCACACGGCGGUGGCAGUUAACGGGCAGACCAGUAACUUCUUUGCGAAUGGUAGGGGCUUGAGACAAGGGGAUCCAGCGUCUCCCUUGCUUUUCAACUUUGUGGCUGAUGCUCUCUCCCGCAUUUUGGCUCGUGCAGCGGCUGCUGGCCAUAUUGCUCCUGUUAGUUCUCAUCUUCUUCCUAAUGGCAUCUCUCAUUUACAGUAUGCGGACGACACAAUCAUUUUGGUGGAGCUGAAUGAUCAUUCCAUCACUAAUCUGAAAUUUAUUCUUCUAUGCUUUGAAGCCCUGUCGGGUCAUAAAAUCAACUUCUCUAAGAGCGAGGCAAUUGUGUCUGGGGUCUCUGAUGAGGAGGCGCAACGGGUGGCCCACCUUCUGAAUUGCUCUCUCGAAGCCUUCCCUCUUAAAUACUUGGGCCUUCCGAUUUCCCCUCUUAAGUUGUUGGCUAAAGAUUUUGCCCCGGUUGUGACUAAAGUUGGCAAUAGAGUUUUGCCGUGGCGAGGUCGGUACAAUUCCAGGCGGGCAAGGUUGCCCUCACCAAUUCCUGCCUUUCCUCGCUCCCGAUGUUCCUUAUGGGAUUCUAUCUGCUGUCCGAAGGGACACACUCGGGCUUCGAUAAGCACAGGGGUGCUUUCUUUUGGAACUCCUCAGAUAAUAAACGUAAAUACAGGAUGGUUAAGUGGGAUCUCAUCUGUAGACCCAAGAGCAUGGGGGGUCUAGGCAUCAUCAACACCAGAAUCAUGAAUAAAUGCUUGUUACUAAAAUGGUGGUGGAAGAUUAUGACCCUUGAUGACCGUCCCGUGCGGCUUAAUAUCCUAAAAGCGAAAUAUUUCCCUUCUUCCAACCCUAUGCUCGCUACCGCUUAUGGUGGCUCUCAUUUCUGGCGCCAGCUGGUUAGCAUCAGACCGGCUUUUGAGUCCCUUGUGAAGUUUGUUGUUCGUAAUGGUAUGUCCACGCGUUUUUGGUUAGAUUGGUGGGUUGGUGACACCACGCUGGCGGUGGCCCACCUGACUCUGUUCUCGUUUUGUGCUGACCCUGAGAUCUCUAUUUUUGAGCUCUUGGCUCAGGGUUGGGUUCUUGACUUCUGACGCUCUCUUUCCCCAGUAGAGUUGGAAGAUUGGCAUCGUCUUAUUGCCUACUUCCCCCUGCUCUCGGAGGUAGAGGACUCCAUGGUUUGGCCCCAUGCCUCUUCGGAGCGUUUUUCGGUUAAGUCGGCUUAUUUGAAGCUUAUCGCUGGUUCCCGCACGGAAAAGUUUAAGUCCAUUUGGUCUGCCCGCAUACCUCCUAAGAUCAAGGUCUUCCUCUGGCAAGCCUACUGUCGCAAACUUCUAGCGGCUGACCAGAUUAAGAAGAGGAAUGGUCCGGGCUCGGACUCCUGUCAACUUUGCGGUGCCCUUGAGAACACUGAGCAUAUCUUUUUCCACUGUUCCUUGGCUAAAUUCAUAUGGAGUUGUAUUAGACUUUGGCUUGGGGUUAAUUGGUACCCAUCCUCCUUUGGUGAUUUGAGACAGUGCAUCAACUCCCUAGUAGGCCGGUCUAAGAGGGUUUUCAUGGUGGGCUGGGCUGCGAUUUGUUGGGCGCUCCGGACUACUAGGAACAAGUUCACUAUUGAGCAUAUUUUCCUUACUAACCCUGUCAACUGCUUAUUUAAAGCUACUAUCUUUUUGCAGCAGUGGAGAUCAUUGAUUAAGGAUGGGGAUCUACAGGCUUUCGAUGACAUGCUAUCCAGAAUGAAUUCUACGGCGUCUACCCUGCUGCGGCAUUCUAGGCGAAAUCCUCCUCAGUAGUCUUGGCUGGUGCUUGGGUGGCCUGCGUGCCAAUUAGGCUGGAUGCCUUGUAUCUGCACUUCCUUUGCGGCUUGUUUAAACUUCUGUGGUUUCGUGGUGGUUGUGACUCUGCCUAUCGCCUUUUUUCUAAAAAAAAUAUUGUGUGCGGUUUUGUGAGUGAGACGAAACUACUGUGUACACACGACGUCCCCGUGCUCGAUCCUCAUAUACGAUGCAACAUCUGUGGUGUGUUGCGUCUUGAUUCUACUCAAGGACGAUUUGAUCUUCUUUGUCAGGCAUCGGUCGUGCAGGAAGUAUCGUGCGUAUAGCAGGAUUUUUGGGGAAAUGGUAUAGCUCGGGCCUAGUUUUUGAGCCCGAAGGCCGGGCCGGGCCGGGCCCGGGCCCGUCAUUUUUGCCAUUUUCUGAAGGCCGGGCCGGGCCGUCCCGAAGCCCAACGGGCUUUUAUGUGCUCGGGCCGGGCUCGGGCCUAGAAACACAGGCCCGAUGGCCGGGCCGGGCCGGGCCCGGGCCUGAGUUUUUUGUGUCGGGCUUGGCUAGGUCGGCCCGAAGCCCGGCCCGGCCCGAGGUUUGGCCAGGUAUAAUUGAGGCAACGAAAAAUCUAUUAACUAAUUCUUACGUGCGCGUACGAGGCUUUUUCUAUAUAUUUUUUCUAUCGAGAAUAAUCGAGAUGAGGAGAUUCUGAGGAAAAAAUAGAAGAAAAAGGGAUUCUUCGUUUGGAUGGGUGGCGUGGUUUGGUUGGUUGGAUCGAAGAAGGAAAGAAAUCGUUGGUUGGUUGGCUUGUUGACCGCAUCAAAUCGAAUGGAUUUCGCCUUGUUGAAAUCGCACCGCGGAACAAGCAACCGAUCGAGGAGUUAAUACAAGGAGGAAGGAAUCAAUCAGGCUGAAAUAUUGCGAAACAAGUCAACCAGUCACUUGGUUUCAGUUACUCGUUGCUGUGCUGUAAAGUGCUGCUACUUUACAGCAGAAAAGAACAAUGAUUUGCUUGCGGAUCGACGAGGAAGGACCGGCGCCGCGCGAGCGGCGAGAUCGCACGCUGGUCUGACCGAAACGGCCAUGGCGCGCGUCACUGCGGCUGCACCGCCUCCAACUCUUCCUUCGCGACAACGCUUGCUGAUGCUACGUACCAACAUAUUCCAUCUAAAACAAGUGCACUCCUGUUUGUUGGUACACAAUAAAACAUUACGAUGCACUCUGAAACAUGGAGGAAAACAUCAUGUGGAUGUAUGGACGGUGAAUACAUGAAGGAUCUCAAAGCAACGAUGGAAUGUUGAUGUAUCAUGUAUCCACGGUAUAUCCCAUGCUUGGUGGAAAAGAUACUCUCGAAAACUCUACCUCAAAACGGAAAGACUUGAAACUAACCGAGACGGCGAGAUGUCACGGUAGCCCCUCUAGAAGUUAUAUUUUUAACUUCAACAAACUUAUUAGAAAACAAGUGCACUAUUAUUUGAAGGAAAACCAUCUGCAAUUUUCUAGGCAUUAAAUGCAUUUCUAUAUAUUUACUGGAUAUAUUUGAAAUUUGAACUACAUGUACCUUAAAAUGGUAUCUAAAUUAAAAGAAAAUCAUGUUCAGGUAGUUAUGUAACUCAUAGCCUUCUUUCAAAACAUAUAAUUUUUUUAAAUAUUUCUUUUGAAAAUUACAUACAAUUACAAGCAUCCUAUUUGUUUUAUUUUUCUAUAAAAUCUAAAUGCGGUUUGAAUACAAUGAGAUUUUGUAUGGGUUCAUCAUAUUACCUAAUGAGAUUGCAUUGAAAAAUCCAUAUAUUUUAGUAACGGUGUAAGCAUACAUUGAUUUAUAAUUCAAGCAUCUCCCUAUAAGUGAUUAGAAUUCAAAGGGGAAGUAGGAAGUCUGUAGUCCACAUCAUGGUUUGUUCAUCAUUUUCACUUUGUACUGCAACUAGAUAUUGUGGUGGUAAUGUACAGUAAUAUAGCUGCAUGUUCCAUCUUUUUAUGUAUGAUGUGUAUUUCUUAUUGUUUUGAACACAUCAAAUUAAGGUACCAUGUGGGGGUGCCUAUCAAAACUAUUUAUUUCAAAUGCCCAAACUUUUCUACUACAACAUUGUUUGUUCAUCGGUGGAUCUAUUUGGAUCUGUUCUUCGUUCGUUUUUGUUUAGAUGUUUACAGGUUUGGUUCUUCUGAUCUACGACUUUCUUCGUCGGUGAUGGUUGCUACUCCGGUGCGCUGGUCCUAUGGGGCCUUAGCACGACGACUUCCCGACUGUCUUCUACAACAAGGUUUGCCCGACUCUAGAAGGAAAUAUGCCCUAGAGGCAAUAAUAAAGUUAUUAUUUAUUUCCUUAUUUCAUGAUAAAUGUUUAUUAUUCAUGCUAGAAUUGUAUUAACCGGAAACUUAGUACAUGUGUGAAUACAUAGACAAAACAUAAUGUCCCUAAUAUGCCUCUACUUGACUAGCUCGUUAAUCAAAGAUGGUUAUGUUUCCUAACCAUAGACAUGUGUUGUCAUUAGAUGAACGGGAUCACAUCAUUAGGAGAACGAUGUGAUGGACAUGACCCAUCCAUUAGCUUAGCUUUAUAAUCGUUACAGUUUCAUUGCUACUAUUUUUUUCAUAACUUAUACAUGUUCCUUGGACUAUGAGAUUAUGCAACUCUCGAAUAUCAGAGGAACACUUUGUGUGCUAGCAAACGUCACAACGUAAAAGGAUGAUUAUAAAGGUGCUCUGCAGGUGUCUCCGAAGGUGUUUGUGUUGGGGAACGUAGCAGAAAUUCAAAAUUUUCUACGCAUCACCAAGAUCAAUCUAUGGAGUAACUAGCAACGAGAGAGAGGGGAGUGCAUCUUCAUACCCUUGAAGAUCGCGAUGCCGAAGCGUUGCAAGAACGCGGUCGGUGGAGUCGUUCACUAAGUGAUUCAGAUCGCGGCCGAAUCCGAUCUAAGCACCGAACAACGGUGCCUCCACGUUCAACACACGUACAGCCCGGGGACGUCUCCUCCUUCUUGAUCCAGCAAGGGGAGAGGAGAAGUUGAGGGAGAGCUCCGGCAGCACGACGGCGUGGUGGUGGAGCUUGCAGUUCUCCGGCAAAGCUUCGCCAAGCACUACUACUACGGAGGAGGUGUUGGGGAGGGAGAGGGCUGCGUCAGGGGAACAAUGAAGCUCCCAUGCGCCUCCCCACUAUAUAUAGGGGUGGAGGGGGCUGGUUUCUUGCCCUCCAAGUCCAUUGGGGCGUUGCCAAAGGCGGGAGGAAAGAAAUCCCAUCAUUUCCUUCCCCACCGAUUGUUAUCCCCCCUUUUUAGGGAUCUUGAUCUUAUCCCUUCGGGAUAUGAUCUUAUUCCUUCUAAGGGGGGAUCUUGGUGCGCCUUGACCAGGGGUGUGGGGUCUUGCCCCCACUACCCACGUUCAUGUGGGUCCCCCCAUGCAGGUGGGCCCCACUCCAGAACCUUCUAGAACCUUACCGGUACAAUACCGAAAAAUCCUGAACAUUUUCCGGUGGCCAAAAUAGGACUUCCCAUAUAUAAAUCUUUACCUCCGAACCAUUUCGGAACUCCUCGUGACAUCUGGGAUCUCAUCCUGGACUCCGAAUAACAUUCGUAACUGCACACUAAUUCCCAUAACAACUCUAGUGUCACCGAACCUUAAGUGUGUAGACCCUACGGGUUCGGGAAUCAUGCAGACAUGACCGAGACAGCUCUCUGGCCAAUAACCAACAGCGGGAUCUGGAUACCCAUGUUGGCUCCCACAUGUUCCAUGAUGAUAUCAUCGGAUGAACCACAAUGUCAAGGAUCCAAGCAAUCCCGUAUACAAUUCCCUUUGUCAAUCGGUACGUUACUUGCCCGAGAUUCGAUCGUCGGUAUCCCAAUACCUCGUUCAACCUCGUUACCGGCAAGUCACUUUACUCGUUCCGUAAUGCAUGAUCCCAUGACUAACUACUUAGUCACAUUGAGCUCAUUAUGAUGACGCAUUACCGAGUGGGCCCAGAGAUACCUCUCCGUCACACGGAGUGACAAAUCCCAGUCUCGAUUCGUGCCAACCCAACAGACACUUUCGGAGAUACCCGUAGUGCACCUUUAUAGCCACCCUGUUACGUUGUGACGUUUGGCACACCCAAAGCAUUCCUACGGUAUCCGGGAGUUGCACAAUCUCAUGGUCUAAGGAAAUGAUACUUGACAUUAGAAAAGCUUUUAGCAAACGAACUACACGAUCUUAUGCUAUGCUUAGGAUUGGGUCUUGUCCAUCACAUCAUUCUCCUAAUGAUGUGAUCCCGUUAUCAAUGACAUCCAAUGUCCAUGGUCAGGAAACCAUAACCAUCUAUUGAUCAACAAGCUAGUCAACUAGAGGCUCACUAGGGACAUGUUGUGGUCUAUGUAUUCACACAUGUAUUACGGUUUCCAAUUAAUACAAUUAUAGCAUGAACAAUAGACAAUUAUCAUGAACAAGGAAAUAUAAUAAUAACCAUUUUAUUAUUGCCUCUAGGGCAUAUUUCCAACAGUCUCCCACUUGCACUAGAGUCAAUAAUCUAGUUCACAUCACUAUGUGAUUGCAAUGAGUUCAACACCCAUUGGGUUUGAUCAUAUCUCGCUUGUGAGAGAGGUUAUUAGUCAACGGGUCUGAAUCUUUCAGAUCCGUGUGUGCUUAACAAAUCUCUAUGUCAUCUCCUAGAUGCAGCUACCACGCGCUAUUUGGAACUAUUCCAAAUAAUUGCUCUACUAUACGAAUCCGGUUUACUACUCAGAGUCAUCCGGAUUAGUGUCAAAGUUUGCAUCGACAUAACCCUUUACGAUGAACUGUUUUACCACCUCCAUAAUCAAGAAAAUUCCUUAGUCAACUAGUUACCAAGGAUAAGUUUGACCACUAUCAUGUGAUCCAUUCCUGGAUCACUCUUGUACCCCUUGAUUGAGUUCAUGGCAAGGCACACUUCGGGUGUGGUACACAGCACAACAUACUAUAGAGCCUACGUCUAAAGCAUAGGGGACGACCUUCGUCCUUUCUCUCUCUUCUGCCGUGGUCAGAUCUUGAGUCUUACUCAAUGCUCACACCUUAUAACACAGCCAAGAACUCCUUCUUUGCUGAUUUGUUUGAACUCCUUCAAAAUCUUGUCACGGUAUGUAUUCAUUUUAAAGUACUAUUAAGCGUUUUUGAUCUAUCCAUAUAGAUCUUGAUGCUCAAUGUUCAAGUAGCCUAAUCCAGGUUUUCCAUUGAAAAACACUUUUCAAAUAACCCUAUAUGCUUUCUAGAAAUUCUACAGCAUUUCUGAUCAACAAUAUGUUAACAACAUAUACUCAUCAGAAAUGAUAUAGUGCUCACACUCACUUCUUUGGAAAUACAAGUUUUUAAUAAAUUUUGUAUAAACCCAAAAUCUUUGAUCAUCUCAUCAAAGUGUAUAUUCCAACUCCGAGAUGCUUACUCCAGUCCUUAGAAGGAUUACUGGAGCUUUGCACACUUGUUAGCAUCUUUCAGGAUUGACAAAACCUUCUAGUUGUAUCACAUACAACCUUUCUUCAAAAAAAAAUCGUCGAGGAAACAAUGUUUUGACAUCCUAUCUGCAAGAUAUCAUAAAUAAUGCAGUAACUGCUAAUAUAAUUCCAACAGACUCUUAGCGAGUCUCAUCGUAGUCAACUCCUUGAACUUGUCAGAAAACAUCUUAACGACAAGUCGAUCUUUCUUAGUGGUGAUACUUAUCAUCAUUGUCCGUCUUCCUUUUAAAAUCCAUCUGUACCCAACAGCCUUACGACUAUCAAGUAGUUCUUCCAAAGUCUAUACUUUGUUUUCAUACAUGGAUCCUCUCUCGGAUUAUAUGGCCUCGAGCCAUUCGUCGGAAUCCGUGCCCACCAUCGCUUCUACAUAGCUCGUAGGUUCAUUGUUGUCUAGCAACAUGACCUCCAAGACAGGAUUAAGUACCACUCUGAAGUAGUAUGCAUCCUUGUCGACCUACGAGGUUUGGUAGUGACUUGAUCCGAAGUUUCAUGAUCACUAUCAUCAGCUUCCACUUCAAUUGGUGUAGGCGCCAUAGGAAUAACUUCUUGUGCCCUGCUACACACUAGUUGAAGUGAUGGUUCAAUAACCUCAUCAAGUCUCCACCAUCCUCCCACUCAAUUCUUUCAAAAGAAACUUUUCACCAAGAAAGGACCUGAUUCUAGAAACAAUCCCUUUUGCUUCCGGAUCUGAGAUAGGAGGUAUACCCAACUGUUUUUGGGUGUCCUAUGAAGAUGCAUUUAUCCGCUUUGGGUUCGAGCUUAUCAGCCUGAAACUUUUUCACAUUAGCGUCGCAGCCCCAAACUUUUAAGAAACGACAACUUAGGUUUCUCCAAACCAUAGUUCAUACGGUGUCGUUUCAAUGGAAUUGCGUGGUACCCUAUUUAAAGUGAAUGCAGUUGUCUCUAAUGCCUAACCUAUAAACGACAGUGGUAAUUCGAUAAGAGACAUCAUGGUAUGCACCAUAUACAAUACGGUGCAGGUAUGAUGUUCGGACACACCAUCACACUAUGGUGUUCCAGGCGGUAUUAAUUGUGAAACAAUUUCCACAAGGUCUUAAUUGUGUACCAAACUCAUAACUCAGAUAUUCAUCUCUAUGAUCAUAUCAUAGACAUUUUAUCCUCUUGUCACGACGAUCUUCAACUUCACUCUGAAAUUACUUGAACCUUUCAAUAAUUUAGACUUGUGUUUCAUCAAGUAAAUAUACUCAGCAUCUACUCAAAUCAUCUGUGAAGUAAGAACAUAACGAUAUUCACUGCGUGCCUCUUCACUCAUUGUAUUGCACACAUCAAAUGUAUUACUUCCAACAAAUUACUCUCUUGUUUCAUCUCACUGAAAAAUGAGGCCUUUCAGUCAUCUUGCCCAUGUGGUAUAAUUUGCAUGUCUCAAGUGAUUGAAAAUCAGGUGAGUCCAGACGAUCCAUCUGUAUGGAGUUUCUUCAUGCAUAUAUACCAAUAGACAUGGUUCACAUGUCUCAAUCUGUUCAAAAACGAGUGAGUCCAAAAAUCCAUCAACAUGGAGCUUCUUCAUGCGUUUUAUACCAAUAUGACUCAAAUGGCAGUGCCACAAGUAUGUGGUACUAUAAUUACUAUCUUAUAUCUUUUGGUAUGAACAUGUGUAUCACCACGAUCGAGAUUCAAUAAACCAUUCAUUUUAGGUGCAAGACCGUUGAAGGUAUUAUUCAAAUAUACAGAGUAACCAUUAUUCUCGUUAAAUGAAUAACCGUAUUGCGAUAAACAUAAUCCAAUCAUGUUUAUGCUCAACGCAAACAACAAAUAACAAUUAUUUUGGUUUAACACCAAUCUCGAUGGUAGAGGGAGCAGGCGAUGCUUGAUCACAUCAAUCUUGGAAACACUUCCAACACACAUCGUCAUCUCACCUUUAGCUAGUCUCCGUUUAUUCUGUAGCUCUUUUAUUUCGAGUUACUAACACUUAACAACCGAACCGGUAUCUUAAUACCCUGGUGCUACUAGGAGUACUAGUAAAGUACACACUUAAUACAAUGUAUAUCCAAUAUACUUCUAUCAACCUUGCCAGCCUUCUCAUCUACCAAGUAUCUAGGGUAGUUCUGCUUCAGUGACUGUUCUCCUCAUUAUAGAAGCACUUAGUCUCGGGUUUUGGGUUCAACCUUGGGUUUCUUCACUAGAGCAGCAACUGAUUUGCCGUUUCAUGAAGUAUCCCUUCUUGCCCUUGCCCUUCUUGAAACUAGUGGUUUUACUAACCAUCAACAAUUGAUGCUCCUACUUGAUUUCUACAUUCACGGUGUCAAACAUCGCGAAUUGCUCAAGGAUCAUCAUGUCUAUCCCUGAUAUGUUAUAGUUCAUCACGAAGCUCUAGUAGCUUGGUGGCAGUGACUUUGGAGAACCAUCACUAUCUCAUCUAGAAGAUAACUCCCACUCGAUUCAUGCAAUUGUAGUACUCAGACAAUCUGAGCACAUGCUCAACGAUUGAGCUUUUCUCCCUUAGUUUGCAGGCCUAAGAAACUUGUCGGAGGUCUCACACCUAUUGACGUGGACACGAGUCUGAAAUCCUAAUUUCAGCUCUUGGAACAUCUCAUAUGUUCCGCGACGUUUCAAAAAUGUCUACGGUGCCUCAAUUCUAAACUGUUUAAUAUUACGCACUGAACUAUCACGUAGUCAUCAAAAUGUGUAUGUCAGAUGUUCGCAACAUCCACAAACGAUGCUCGAGGUUCAGCACACCGAGCGGUGCAUUAAGGACAUAAGCCUUCUGUGCAGCAACAAGGACAAUCCUUAGUAUACGGACCCAGUCCGCAUAAUUGCUACUGUCAACUUUCAACUAAAUUUUCUCUAGGAACAUAUCUUAAACAGUAGAACUAAAGCAUAAGCUGCGACAUAAUUUACAAAGACCUUUUGACUAUGUUCAUGAUAAUUAAGUUCAUCUGAUUAUUUAAUGAACUCCCACUUAGAUAGACAUCCCUCUAGUCAUCUAAGUGAUACAUGAUCCGAGUCAACUAGGCCAUGUCCGAUCAUCACGUGAGACGGACUAGUCAACUAGGCCGUGUCCAGUUUGUUGGGUUGGUAUAGAUUGAGAUUAUGAUUUUUCACUUUGUGUUUUGGAGAGAUAUCUCUGGGCCCUCUCGGUAAUGCUCAUCACUAUAAGCCUUGCAAGCAAUGUGACUAAUGAGUUAGUUGCGGGAUGAAGUAUUACGAAACGAGUAAAGAGACUUGCCGGUAACGAGAUUGAACUAGGUAUGGUGAUACCGACGAUCAAAUCUCGGGCAAGUAACAUACCGAUGACAAAGGGAACAACAUAUGUUGUUAUGCGGUUUGACCGAUAAAGAUCUUCGUAGAAUAUGUAGGAGCCAAUAUGAGCAUCCAGGUUCCGCUAUUGGUUAUUGACCGCGGAUGUGUCUCGGUCAUGUCUACAUAGUUCUCGAACCCAUAGGGUCCGCACGCUUAACAUUCGAUAACGGUAUGUAUUAUGACUUAUGUGUUUUUGAUGACCGAAGUUUGUUCGGAUUCCCAGAUGAGAUCACGGACGUGACGAGGAGUAUCGAAAUCUUCGAAAGAUAAAGAUUGAUAUAUUGGACGGAUAUAUUCAGACACCGGAAAUGUUCCAAAAAGUUUCAAAUAAAACCCGGAGUGACGGAGGGGUUACCGGAACCCCCCCCCCUCGGGGAACUAAUGGGCCACAUUGGGCCUUAGUGGAGAGAGAGAGAGAGGGGCGGCCAGAGCAGGCCGCGCGCCCCCUCCCCCUUGGGUCCGAAUUGGACUUGGGAAGGGGGGCGUCGCCCCCCUUUCGUGCCCCCUCUCCCUCUCCUUCCUCCCCCCUCUCUCGGGAGGUGGACUCCUACUAGGACUUGGAGUCCUACUAGGACUCCUCUCUCCCAGGCGCGCCUACAGGGGCCAGCCGGCCUCCCCCUUGCCUCCUUUAUAUACGGAGGCAGGGGGCACCCUAGAAGACACAAGUUUAUCUCCCAACCAUGUGCGGUGCCCCCCUCCACAGUUACACACCUCGAUCAUACCAUCAUAGUGCUUAGGCGAAGCCCUGUGCCGGUAGCAUCAUCAUCACCGUCGCCACGCCAUCGUGCUGACGGAACUAACCCUCAUCCUCAACUGGAUCAAGAGCACGAGGGACGUCAUCAAGCUGAACGUGCACUGAAUUCGGAGUUGCCGCACGUUCGGUACUCGGAUCGGUUGGAUCGCGAAGAAGUUCGACUACAGCAAUCGCGUUAUUGAAACACUUCUGCUUUCGGUCUACGAGGGUACGUGGACACACUCUCCCCUCUCGUUGCUAUGCAUCACCUAGAUAGAUCUUGCGUGAUCGUAGGAUUUUUUUUGAAAUUACCGCAUUCCCCAACAGUGGCAUCCGAGCCAGGUCUAUGCAUAGAUGUUAUAUGCACGAGUAGAACACAAAGAGUUGUGGGCGAUAAUAGUCGUACUGCUUACCACCAACGUCUUACUUUGAUUCAGCGGUAUUGUUGGAUGAAGCGGCCUGGAUCGACAUUACUUGACCGCGUUCAUGAGACUGGUUCUACCGAUGUGCUUUUGCACAUAGGUGGCUGGCGGGUGUCUAUUUCUCCAACUUUAGUUGAAUCGAGUUUGACUACGGUCGGUCCUUGUUGAAGGUUAAAACAGCACACUUGACGAAAAAUCGUUGUGGUUUUGAUGCGUAGGUAAGAACGGCUCUUGCUAGAAGCCCGUAACAGCCACGUAAAACUUGCAACAACGAAGUAGAGGACGUCUAACUUGUUUUUGCAGGGCUGUGUAUGGUCAAGACAUGAUAACAAUCAUGAUGAUGCAUAUUUGGGGUAUUUCCUAUGCAUGGAUGAAAAGUUUUUUGGGUACUGGCGUUCAUGCAAGAUUGGCUUUAUCAGCUACAACAGAAGGAUCACACUUUCUGUUAUGAAUAUGUCAAACAAGUAUGGGAUGCUAUUACAAGUAAGGAUAAAUUUCGUGAUUUGGAUAAUUAAAUCCAAAGCACAACUACCUCUCAAUCGACUGAAUCUAUCCAAAUGGUUACCCGUUCUUCGUUUCUAAGCAAAGGAAAAACAACAACCAAGUAUUGCAAGCAAAACUAGCUAGCUCUAAGAGAUACUAACAAUUGAUUCCAUGAAAAGAAUGGCAUUCCUCUUGUUUUGCGAAAAAUAGUAUGCCGCUUUGCUAGCAGAUUUUGGUUGCUUGCGUGCCGGGAGAGUUGACAGAUGAGCGGUGAACGUACCAAGGUGCAUGCACGUCCAUGCGAGUGACGUCCUUGAUAUCCUCCGGCUGGGUUUAAGCGUCUGCUCGAGUCUAUAGAUGAUGAUCAAACGAUGAGCCACUGAAGUUGCAACGAAAUACGUUUGAUACACAUUCAGUGACUCGGUGUGCAUGCCAGUAUGUGACGUGAAGAAAAAAAAAGUCCCGCUGGAAGCUUCAAGCACACGCACGGUUGCAGCUGUUGCAUGCAUGCGACGUGAGGAGUGCACUGGCACACCGCCCGCCGCUUGUACUCACCAGCAAAUGUAUUUGUCAAACGUUUUUCGUGGCAACUUGAGUUAGAUAGGCGGCAGUGACUCAUCGUGAGGCCAUCAUCAUCCAGCCUGGAGAUAGAGAGGCCGACACUCACAUGGACGGACGGGCGCCUAGGUACAGCCGAGAACGCUCCAGUCACACAGAGCUUCAGUUACUCGUUGCUGUGCUGUGCUGCAACUUUACAGCAGAAAAGAACAACGAUUUGCUUGCGGAUCGACGCAGCCUCGCCUCCUCCGGUGGCCGCGCUCCUCUGCGCGUGCGACGUGAGGAAACGGAAGCAACUAAUAACUGAAGACGCGCGAGCGAGAGCGAGGAGGGACCGGCGCGGCGCGGGCGGCGAGAUCACGCGCUGGUCUGACCGAAACGGCCAACUCUUCCCUUGCGACAACGCUUGCUGAUGCUACGUACCAACAAAUUCGAUCUAAAACAAGUGCACUCUUGUUCGUCGGUACACAAUAAAACAUUACGAUGCACUCUGAAACAUGGAGGAAAACAUCAUGUUGAUGUAUGGACGGUGAAUACAUGAAGGAUCUCAACACUAGUAGAAAAACACCUAAUAGUUCCGGUUUGUGAGGGCCUUUAGUCCCGGUUCAUGAACCGGGACUAAUGGGCCGUUACUAAUACCUUCACCCAUUAGUCUCGGUUCAAAUUUGAACCGGGACAAAUGUGCCUUCACGUGGCUCUGUGCGCCGAGCCCAGUCAGGGGGCCUUUGGUACCGGUUGGUGGCUCCAACCGGGACCAAAAGUCCAUAUUUUUUUUUGGAAAUUGACUGCUUUAGGGGUUUUGGGGGUUAUUUUUAGGUUGUUAUAUUAGCUAGCUAAUAGAGAGAAGUGUCCUCUCUUAUAUCUUCGUCCUUGGUUUACCAACGUUGCUGCUAUAUAUGUUCAUUUUACCCGCUGAUAUAAUAACUCAUGCAUGCUCGCAUACAUCAGCAUAUAUAAUAACAAGUACUCGUCCUACUAAUCAUGCAUCAUCAUACAACUUCUACUCGUUAUUAAUAAUAAGUCAUACGAUCAUCAUCCUCACAGUCAUCGAACCCAACCCUACAUAAUUAUUCUUAACACAUGAUCAUUAGUAUCAGGUAGGACCUAAACACCCUUAAGGUAAAAUAGCAUAAAACAAUAUAGACCCUAACUCUCCAUUAUGAAGAAUGGCGAUCAUCCUGUCUACAAUUUUUGCCCUUCGCUGAAUGUUGCUUCCAAGAAGCUCCUUACGACUGUCCAUACAUUUUUUUUCAUUCUUUGAUUCUCAGGUCUCCACUUAUUUUAGAAACCCGGUAUGGACAGUUGAGAUUCGUAGGACGACCUGGUUGUAUGUUCAAAACAUGAAGACUACCGUGUGUAUACAUCAGAUGAGGCACACAAUCAUUGGGGAUUAUCUGUUGAAAAACAUUGUAAUAACUUCGUAGUUAGCAAUGAUAUGAUGUACUAGUUUUAGAUGUGUGCAAAAAGAUGCACGGAUGUUGUAAUAGUAUAAAAAUCUUACCAGGGUAUCUCCAUGGUAGUUACCGUAGCUUAACACGUGCACUAGUGGCACGUAUUGACCAUAAUGUUGAGGAGUUCAAUUGUAGGCAUUGUAAUUCUCAAGAUCAGUACAAAAUGCGACCAGAUGAUUUUUCUCCUGAUAAGUUAGUUCGGAGCCUUCGGUGUAGUACGUUCUGUCUACCAUCUUUCGCACAUUCUUUUAAGAAUGAAAAUAAGCUGUCAAUGGAGAAUAAGUUGUCAACUAUUCUGAAAUAAACAAUAUAAAUUACUUAAUAACUAUGUUAAGCUCACAUGGGGGAAGAAUUGGAGGUGUAUCCACAAGGACGAAAAUCGUAGGUCUCUCUUGCUCGAUUGUAGGAUCACCAAGAUCCAUGGUAACAAGCAUACCCUCAUCAAAACCAUACAUCUUGCAAAGUGCUUCCCAAUUUUUGCAACCAAAAUGGGUUACACUUUGAGCAUUGUACAACUUUACUUGAAAAUCCACACCAUGAUGGGUACUUAGGAUAAUUUUUUUGGUUUCGAAACUUUCAUGGUCUUCAAAACUCAUCUUCUCCAAGACAUAGCGUCUUGCAAAGCAUGGGAUAAGCUAGUCGAAUUGGAAAAGAUGAAAAAUAUUGUCAUGAUUAAAAUAGUUGAAGUCAUGAGUAAUUACGAAAAUAAACUUUUAUCGUCGGUUGCGUACCGUAUGAACAUCGAAGGUCUCCACGAGCUUAAUGCUGAAGCGACCAUCUUCGUCCAGCACAAUGAACCUAUCGCAGAUACCUCGGUCGUCGUGGCACCAGUCGCACUCCCCCGGGCGGUUUUCGUCGUUCGAUGAGUACGAUAUUUCCGGCCUACGUUCAUAAUUCAAAUAUUAAACUAGAUCAUUAUUAUUAAUCACGGGUUGACUAUCGAUGAUCGAUGUACGUAGCUCCUCCUUUCAUUCCCGAAUGCAUUAUUAUAUCAAAUUGUCUAGCACACGGGAAUGAAGGAGAACCUACCCAAUAUAAGCAUUCAAUAAGCAAAACCAAAUCAUAAAAUGAGCAAAACCAAAUCAUAAAAUAAAGUAUAAUAUUCAAAUUAGCAUGCAUUCAAUAAUUAUAAGCAAAAGUACAACAUCUCUUGGUGUCCGUACAUCGUCGAAUAUUAUCACUAAUACAACUAGAACCGUAACGCCCGACGGGUAUCGACGCGAGCGGUGGACACCCAAAGAUAAGGAACCAUCACAGGAUCAUAGCUCCAGUGAGAUCCCUGAAGAACCUGCCAGGUAUUGUCGAAUCUGCCCUCCAAUGCAACCAUGUAGCGACGGAUGUGCUCGUCCUCCUCGCUGACACGGUGACGUAUCACCUCCGCAGUGUCCGGAUGCCUCACCACCGUCACUGGCCCACGCGACCGCCACCAAAUAAGGAUCGGGUCAACAACGGGCUGCCUCCUCACCAAUCUACGUCCCCCGGAAGGUAGCACCUCCCAAUACCAGCCCGGCGGAGCCCAGUCCCGAACAUGGCCCUGAUCAAGCAGGCCUCCACCGCCUAGUCGACGACGACGAGAAUGCGGGAUAGGUAUCGCCGACGUCGAUGCGGCAACUACUUCUAUAUAUAGUUAAAUAAAAGUAGUUUUAUUAAUUAAAUCAACUAUCUAGUUCAACUACUAAGCACUUAAUAAAAACAAACUACUUCUAUAUAUAGUAAAAUAAAUUAGUUUAUUAAAUCAAUUAGCUAGUUCAACUAUAUAUAAACUACUUCUUAUUACAACACAUCUAAUCUAACAAAAAAAUCAUUAAUUGCUACACAUCUAAUCUAACAACUAUAUAUAAACUACUUCUUAUUACUACACAUCUAAACUAUAUACAAAAAAAUCAUUAAAACUCUAUGAACAAAAUUAAUUACUACACAUCUAAUCUAAUCUAACAAAAAAAUCCAAUCUAACAAAAAAAAUCUAUGAACUACUACAUAUCUAAAUUACUACACACAUCUAAUCUAACAAAAANNNNNNNNNNNNNNNNNNNNNNNNNNNNNNNNNNNNNNNNNNNNNNNNNNNNNNNNNNNNNNNNNNNNNNNNNNNNNNNNNNNNNNNNNNNNNNNNNNNNNNNNNNNNNNNNNNNNNNNNNNNNNNNNNNNNNNNNNNNNNNNNNNNNNNNNNNNNNNNNNNNNNNNNNNNNNNNNNNNNNNNNNNNNNNNNNNNNNNNNNNNNNNNNNNNNNNNNNNNNNNNNNNNNNNNNNNNNNNNNNNNNNNNNNNNNNNNNNNNNNNNNNNNNNNNNNNNNNNNNNNNNNNNNNNNNNNNNNNNNNNNNNNNNNNNNNNNNNNNNNNNNNNNNNNNNNNNNNNNNNNNNNNNNNNNNNNNNNNNNNNNNNNNNNNNNNNNNNNNNNNNNNNNNNNNNNNNNNNNNNNNNNNNNNNNNNNNNNNNNNNNNNNNNNNNNNNNNNNNNNNNNNNNNNNNNNNNNNNNNNNNNNNNNNNNNNNNNNNNNNNNNNNNNNNNNNNNNNNNNNNNNNNNNNNNNNNNNNNNNNNNNNNNNNNNNNNNNNNNNNNNNNNNNNNNNNNNNNNNNNNNNNNNNNNNNNNNNNNNNNNNNNNNNNNNNNNNNNNNNNNNNNNNNNNNNNNNNNNNNNNNNNNNNNNNNNNNNNNNNNNNNNNNNNNNNNNNNNNNNNNNNNNNNNNNNNNNNNNNNNNNNNNNNNNNNNNNNNNNNNNNNNNNNNNNNNNNNNNNNNNNNNNNNNNNNNNNNNNNNNNNNNNNNNNNNNNNNNNNNNNNNNNNNNNNNNNNNNNNNNNNNNNNNNNNNNNNNNNNNNNNNNNNNNNNNNNNNNNNNNNNNNNNNNNNNNNNNNNNNNNNNNNNNNNNNNNNNNNNNNNNNNNNNNNNNNNNNNNNNNNNNNNNNNNNNNNNNNNNNNNNNNNNNNNNNNNNNNNNNNNNNNNNNNNNNNNNNNNNNNNNNNNNNNNNNNNNNNNNNNNNNNNNNNNNNNNNNNNNNNNNNNNNNNNNNNNNNNNNNNNNNNNNNNNNNNNNNNNNNNNNNNNNNNNNNNNNNNNNNNNNNNGCGGGAAACGAAGACCUGUGGUCCCGGUUGGUGGCUCCAACCGGGACUAAAGGGGGGGCAUUGGUACCGGUUGGUGCCAUGAACCGGUACCAAUGCAACCCUUUAGUUUCGGUUGGUGCCACCAACCGGGACUAAAGGCCAUGUAUUGCCCGCGUGGCGGCACGAAAGUUUAGUCCCACCUUGCUAGCUGAGGGAGCUCGAGAGUGGUUUAUAAGCACCAGUCCCGCUGCCCUCUCGAGCUCCUCUCAAAUGCAGGCUUACGGGCCUAAACGCACUAUAUGUGCCUGUGGGCCUAUUGGGCCUAUUGUGGGCCUGAAUCCUGGCCCGUUGUUGGGUUUCUAGUCGUAUUCAGGCUGUGGUAGCCCUUAGGUGGCACUUUUUUUAUUUUAUUUAUUUUAUUUUGAUUCUUCAUGCAGCUGUUUUUUAGUCCCACCUAGCCAAGCGAGAGGUACUCGCAGCUGUUUAUAAGCUCUGAGUGCAGAGAUGAUGACAAAGAGGCUCAAUGCUCCUGCACGUUGGAUAGCUUCAAGCCUUGAGGAAUACGGUAGACUGCACAGAGCUAUGUGCAGUGCAGUUGAUACUAUUCUGAAAGGCUUGAAGCAAAUUAACAAGCAUUGCGCCUCUUUUUUAUUUUUAAUGACUUAUUACAACUGAGAAAUAAAAAGAAAAAAAUAACUGAAAAGAAAAAAAACUAUAUAGUAAACUACUCAUAAAUGAAUUGAACCAAAAAAUAGUUGUGAUUAACUGUACUAAAAAAGGAGCAUAGAUGCUUAUUGUUAAUGACUUAUUACAACUCAGAAAUAAAAAGAAAAAAAAAUAAAUAUAGUAGAAAAGAAAAAAAACUACAUAAAAAGAUACUCAGAAAUGAAUUGAAGCAAAAAAAUAGUUGUGAUUUACUGUACUAAAAAAGGAGCAUAGAUGCUUAUUUGUAAUGACUUAUUACAACUCAGAAAUAAAAAGAAAAGAAAGUAGUUGUGAUUAACUUUACUAAAAUAUGAGCGUAGAUGCUUAUUUUUUAAUGACUUAUUACAAUUCAAAAAUAAAUAGAAGAAAAAAUAGUUAUGAUUAAUUUUACUAAAAAAUGAGCAUAGAUGAUUAUUUUUAAUGACUUAUUACAACUCAGAAAUAAAAAUAAAAAAAUAAAUAUAGCAGAAAAGAAAAAAAAACUAUAUGAAAAACUACUCAGAAAUGAGCAUAGAUGCGCUUAUAGAGGAAAUUCAAAUUAAAUUCAUAACAAAUUUCAAGAGAAAUUUGUAUGAAUUUAGCCUAAAAUCCCUAUAUAAGGGCAUCCAUUUUCAUUUUCAGAGGAGCUCAAUAAGGCAGAGAGGGAGGGGCUUAUAAACCGGUCUGAUUUCCCUCCGGUUGGCGAGGUGGGACUAAACUUUGCCCGCAACGAGGACCAACCCUUUAGUCCCGGUUGGCGGAAUGGACCGGGACUAAUGGUCGUCCUUUGGUCCCGGUUCGGACCACCAACCGGGACCAAUGGUGAUGGGCCAGGAGCGAGGGCCAUUGGUCCCGGUUCGUGCCACCAACCGGGACCAAUAGGUCCAGCCGAACCGGGACCAAUGGCCCACGUGGCCCGGCCGGCCCCUGGGGCUCACGAACCGGGUCCAAUGCCCCCGUUGGUCCCGGUUCUGGAUUGAACCGGGACUAAUGGGCUGGACCGGCCUGGACCAUUGGCCCCCUUUUCUACUAGUGCAAAGCAACGACGGAAUGUUGAUGUAUCAUGUAUCCACGGUAUAUCCCAUGCUUGGUGGAAAAGACACUCUAGAAAACUCUACCUCGAAACGGGAAGACUUGAAACUAACCGAGAUGGCCAGAUGUCACGGUAGCCCCUCUAGAAGUUAUAAUUUCAACUUCAACUAACUUAUUAUAAAACAAGUGCACUGUUAUUUGAAGGAAAUUAGCAUUUGCCACCUCUAGUGGAAAUGAGAAAAUAGUAAAGCUACAACCUAAGGCACUAAUUUGCAGUGUGGUUUUCUCAUUUUUGUUUUUCUAAUAAGUUGGGGAUGGUCAUAAUUGCUUAUGACAAUUUAUACAUGGGUAUGUAUAUAUUCUAAUACUAUCUGCAUGAUGUUUUUUGUACUUUUAAUAGAAGUACAAUUUUUACCAAAUUUGAAAAAAAGGUCUUAUGUAAUAGGUUCUGAAAAAUCUCCUCUAACCCAUGUUUACUUCAUAUAUUUUUUCCAAUCAAGGAGUAUGGGUUAUCGGUUCCAUAAAAAAUGGGACAAAAGUGUCGAGUAAUACAAAAAGCGGGCAUGGCGCCACAACCACAUUAUCCGCUAUCCACUAAAGCAACACAAAUGAGAUAAAUAACUUUACCUGGACAUCUAUAAGUUUCCCUUAUCUACUCUGUAAUCUCACAACUCUAGAAAGCUUACAAUCCUUAUCGCUUGUGUUUGUGCACGCAUCUCAAGACGGCAGCGGAGGUGAUCCGUGCGCCACGUCCCUGGCUCAAGACGGCAGAGGACGGAACGAUUGGGAGGGCGCCAGGGAUUCUCCGGUGGCAAUGACGAGCUUGGUGUUUUGGCCAAGCCAAGCGUCGUAGCCGGCGUUAGCCGGGCGGGAGCGGAGCAGCUCUCGUGCCAUGAUCAGCACGGCCUGCGCGUUCCGCGGCCCGUGGCAGCCGAGGGAAGAAGAGGCCAUGGCAGUGCGAUCAUCGGGCUGCACAGAGGGGUGCAUGGAGGGGUUCUGCUGCUCGUGGGCAACGGGGUCGGUGGCAGCAGCGGCCACGACAUUGGCAGAGUGUUGGCGGGUCAUCGUGGCCCACAGGCUCUAUACGGGAGACGCGAGCUGCCCGGCGCUCGGCACGCACUUGACGAGCAUUAGCCGUGGUAUUGGUCAAGCGGGAGCUGAAACUGAGCAGAAGAACAGCAACAAACCCCUACCUGGGGCGCCAAAUGUCAGAAUCAGGACUCCAGGGAACCAAGAGGUUCGAACUCUAGGGUGCGCUAGUUCCUACCGCCCUACUCUGCCCUCACAACUUCACGGCGACACUGCGAUAAGCUCGAGCAAAGAUAGAGGAACAAUGAACACGACAGGUACCCAGGUCCGGGCCACCUCGCAGUGUAAAACCUUACUCCUACUUGUCUGGGAUUGCUUUUUGUAGUUGCUAAACGAGUCGACGCCCUCUAUGGCGGCACCUCGCCCUCUUAUUAUACUGCCCCUGGUCCUCUUCCCCUAAAAACACAAGGCAGGAAGGGUUGCCACAACGGCCAAUUUGAACGUGGACAAGGUCACAACUUAUCAUGACUAAAGGUGUUCUUCGCCUACAAAAGACUCCUACCAUGACGUGCUGGUGGGCUCGGGAAUGACAACCGCCCUGGCACGCCCGUUGUCUUAUUCAUCUUGCACCGAUCAGGCAACCUUUGGAGAUUGCUUUGGGAGUUGGCCUCGCUCCCUUAGCACGAAAGAGGAAAGCCUCCUUAUCUGCUUCCGCUGGUGCGACGUCUGGGAUCGCUUGUCGCCUCGCGUGUCACCCACGUGAAGACUCUGGACCGCAUGACCGGGCCUGGCCGCUCUGAUAUGUUUGACUCCACAAGGGCCUUGGGAGGAGACCUCGGGAGACUGCCUCAUGAGAGGGCCUCCUGAGGUUCCUGGCGACGCCUCUGAUCUGCCUGGGGCGCUGCUGAUGUAUGCCUCGCGGGGCGAGGGCCUAUCGAGAAUCUUGCUCACGAACCUUAGUUGUGGUCCGCGCACCGGGCCGAAGGAAUACAGGCCUGGGUACCCCCAGUCCCACGGGCCCAACCCAUGGCAUGGCAUGUUUUUUUAAAGGAGGAUGACCCAGGCCUCUGCAUCUGGGAGAUGCAUACGACCAUUUUAUUGAUUAUUCUCGAGGACCUUACAAAGUAUAACAACAAUAUGCCUGAAUCCACCAUCUUGGCAGCAUCUGCCGCUACUCCUAUCCAAAUGAUGAAGCUGUGCAAGGUGGGCCACAUACCCAUACCUCUCACCUGAGCCUAACAUCUAAAGCCGGAUGCCCCGACCGAGCCAUCUGCUAGGUCCGGGGCUCAAACCGGUCUGACGCACUCACAUGUCUCAGCGCCGUCAUCUUCCACUGGUCCAUCUUCAGAGAAGAUUGAGGUGACAACCUUGGCAGGUCCUCCACCAUCGAUGCCACCACGAUACCAAACAACGACCUCCACCAUGAUGCCAGCCGGCGACCUCCAGCUAUGCAAGUCCAUCUGCAAGCAACAUACGUAAAUCCAUGCUAGGGCAGGGCCGCACCACCGCCGUCGCCCACCACCCACAAGCGCCACCCAAUCCCAAGGUUCCCAGAGCGGCGCCUUCAAGAAGGGAACGGCGCCAUGAGCGCUGCCGCUGCCCAACAGAGUUAGGGCUUUCGCCCGGGAGACCUAGUGGAAGGUGAAGUGAGGAGAUCAGUCCAUACCGACGCCUCCAAGGAGGGAAACGGUGCCCUCAGGUGUCGCUGUCGGCGCGGCCAGUCAUGGCCGGCCAGGGAUUUCGCCUGAACUAGAUCUCCGCCACCAGCAGCACCUCCUAUACAGAACGGGGACCAAGAGGAUAUGUGGCCCGACCAGGCUGGUCCGCACGCCGACCACGGGAGGAAGGGAGGCGCCAGAUCAUGCACACCGACUGCCGGAGAAGCUGCCGCCGGCCGCCAACGACCACCGGAUCCCGCCGCCCUCACGGCCGGGACACUGGAUCCACCACCAGCACGGCAGUUAGCCGGUCAUGCCUUGCCAAUGGAGCCGCGGCUCCAGAUCUGGUGUUCCCCACACAGGAACAGGGCAACCGAGGCCCCGCCGCCAUGUGAUUAAGAAAAUGUUUAUUCAGUCUAAUACAUAAACUGGCCCAUGGCCCAACAUAUGAUUAACUAGAAAUUAGAAGGGGAUUUCAUGCAUCUUCUUUAUUUUUUAUGUGUAGUCACAUUAACCAUUAACCCUUGAGCCGUCACCAGGUAGUGGUUAGGUGUGCAUCCUCAUCUACAAUGUCUUAUCCUAGUGGUGUGUUCGGAUCCCAAGUAAUUGGCAGUGUCACAUUUAUCCCACAAUAAUACAUAUCAAUCUAAGACUAAUAUAUACCAAGUUACGAUUGCAUGUUAUGAUUAAAAAUAAGUAAUUUUAUAUGCAUUAUACCCAUAUCCAUUCAAACUUAUAUAGAAGUGAAACUGUGGAAGGCACUCCCAUUUUCAUAUGUGAAGAAUGAUAGUAGCAUAAAAGGCUUACCCGGUAUGAACCUCAAAAUAUGCUCAAUGGUUGGUUUUUUGGUUGGAAAGAAAUGUGUGUUUGUUUCUUUUUUAGAGGAAUAUGUGUUUCUUUCUCUUCGCGGCGAGUCAUAGAGUAGUGAAUAGAUCAGUAACCAUGGGUUCUUGAACAAACGGCUGAGAUGGGGAAGGUCAGAUGCGAGUGUUUAUCCUCCCAUUUCCAUGUCAUGCCUUGAUGAGUCACGUGAGCAUACGGGUGGUCGCGCCUAAGACCGCACAGGGAUAAUGGUGCGUGCUGCGGCCUCCUCCUCCUCCUGCAGUCUGCCAAAAUAAUCCCAUUGAAUUCGAAGGUAUUCCCUUAGUCGCAGUUGCGCCACACCCUCAAUGUCACCUCGUGCUGCGGCCUCCUCCUCCAUUCCUCGACUCGGCCAAGGCGACGGGACCAAGAUCUGGGGCAGCACGCCGCUAUGAUAGACUGCAGGAAGCCUCUCUGGUGGGCCCCUUUAUGCACCAUUAUUGAUGGGGUUCGCCGGCCAGGUGAGGAUGUGAAUUUCCCUCUUCCAACUCUCAUUCACCGGUGUGGCCACCAUUGGCCAGAUCUUCACUACCUUGGGUGCACUCUUUCCUAGCCGCCCUUAGAUCUCUCUACUUCUCCCUGUUUCUUGUUCCAUCGACCGGCGACCUAAUCGUUGGUGCGUCCGAUCAUGGAGAUGCCCAACAAGCAUAGCCUCCAAGGCACUGCACACACACAUCUCAGAAGGCACACCAUCACCUAAUUACCUUAUUGGGCUAAAUUUACUACCCACGGGUAUGUGUAUGGGCCAAAUGUAGUCCACACAGGGGGUCGUGGGGAUGGGUACAAUCGAGCGCUCCCUGUAGCUGAUUCCCAUGGGCCCAUCAAUUAGGCCCGAUAUGUGCGCUCUAUCAUUUCUCCCAUAUAAAUAUACCACACCCAACCUUCUCACACCAGAACCCUAAAUCAAACCGCAUAAUAGUCCUCUUUUCUCCGCUAGCCGCCGCCAACCCUCUCUUCUCCCAACCCUUCCCUCUUCCUAGAUCGAGCCUCACACCAUCGUGACGGGCCGACGGGAAGCCUCUCCGGAGGAGCCAUCUAUGCAUCAAUAUCGAUGGGGUUCAUCGACCAAAUGAGGGUGUGGAUCCCCCUUCUCAUGCUAUCAAUCGUCGGCACGGCCACCAUCAACCAGAUCUUCACUACCUCUGGUAUGCAUUCUCUCCCUCUCCUUCUUUCUCCUGGUCGCCCUUGGAUCCCUCUCUUACUCCGUCGUUUCUUGUUACACUGAUAGGUGACCUCAUCGCCGGUGCUUUCGACUAUGGACAUGCCCAUCAAGCAUAGCCUCCAUGGCACCGCACACGCAUGUCCUAGGAGGCACGCCAUCAGCUAAUUACCUUUUUGUGCUCAAUUUGCAACCCACAGGCAUGCGUAUGGGCCAAAUGUUGUCCCACCAGGUAUCGUGAGGGUGGGUACGUUCCACUACUCAUGUACCUGAUAUCCAUGAGUGCCGUCAGUUAGGCCCGGCAUGUGGGCCCUAGCAUUUCUCCUGUAUAAAAAUACUAUAUCCAUCCAUCCCACGAUGGAACCCUAAAUCAAUCCACAUUCGACUCCUCUGUCCUCUCCUAGCUGCCACCAACCCUUCUCCCUUCUCCCAGCCUCUCCCUCUUCCCCAAAUCGAUCCUCCUACCAUCAUUCACCACCCGUCCACGAAGAUGGUGCCGCAUAGCCUCGACCAUGUAGAUCUAUUAUCCGCUCGUCCCUAUCACCCUCACCCAUCAUCGCCGCAUCUCGCCUCGUCGCUCUUGCUGCCGAAUCAACUAUGGGGACUAUGAUGGUUUGCCGCUUAGAGGCCAAGCCCUACUGGUCAGCUACUCGCGUGCCGCGACGGCCUCCUCCAGAUCCACCCCUCUGCACGACCACGAUUGACUCUGGUGAUGUCCGACAUCACUUUUGCCUCUCAAAUCCCAAGCUAAUCAUAGGGCAUGCCAUGGCCAAAAUCUCCCUCUCACCGCCGCGAUUUCUCUCCCGGCGUUCUUCCCGUACCAUGUUCUGGGUUGUUCGUUCCUUCCUGCCGAGAGAUCGAUUCCGAGUUAUUGUUGUUUUGUUUGCGGUGGUCAUCUCUUUUGGUGUGCGUCUGUUUUUGUUUUGCCUGGAGCAGAGUUUAUCUAAUCUUCAGGUCGCCGGUGCUCCGUCUGGUUUUUGCUUGCUUUACUGUCUCAUCUCACUGUUGGAUUCAUUUUACCAAUCUUUCCCGGUUUGGUUGCCGGCCGCAAAUUCUUUCCUUUUUCCCCACUCGGUGGCUGUUGUGACUGAUUUCGGAGUUUCCUUUCAAUUUUGUUCUCUUUUAGUAGGAUUUCUGUUUGGUCUGACUUCGCAGCGGCAACAUGAUCAUGGCGGAAGAUUCAUGCUUUUGCCCGAUUGUUUCUGUACGGAUUUCUGUCGAACAGAUCUUCGAAUGUUCGGGGUUCGCAAUUCAAUUUCUCAGUUCGUAGACAUUGUUGCUUUUUGGAACUGAUUUUGGUUUAGAUAGAAUUCUCGUGAUGAGGGGAAGAACUUCUUUGCUAUUUGUUUCAAUAUGUAUCCCAAGUGUUUGAAGUGGUUCUCAUACUCGCUAACGCUGUCUGUGGAUUGUCUGAUUUUCAUUUUCCAUGCAGGUACCAUAGGAUCAACCCGGAAUCCGUCCGAGUCCCCAAUGGCGGCGGCAACGGCAUCGGAGCCACCAGGAAGCUAGCGGAACCCGCUGUCACCCACACCAAGCAUGGACAAGCGUGACGGUGCCCCAGCCGUGGAUGCCGACAGGUCGAGCCUCACGUCCUACCUCGCCCGCACCUCUCUCAAGCAGCACGAGCCAGAAGGGCGUCCGUCGUCCUCAUCUGCUGCCAUCAUGAGGGACCACCAGCUAUAUAACGACGCCGCCCUCUCCUCCCAGGGACUCAACCUGGGGGACGGGCUCUACAACUUGGCCACCCAAGCCUCCGAGCCAUCCAACAGACUCGGCGGAGCGGUCUACACCUUCGCCGCACAAACUUCCCAGGCAUACAACAGCCUAGGCAGCGGGCUCUACAACCUCGCCGCCCAGGGCACCCAGGGAGGCGACCUCGGCGGCGGGCUCUACAAACUCGCCGCCCAGGCCACCCAUGUAGCCGACCUCGGCGGCGGGCUCUACAACCUUGCCGCCCAGGCCACCCGGAGAGGCGACCUCGGCAGCGGCAGCGGCGGCGAUGUCGAUACCGCCGUCGUCGAGGUCGCCUCCCUAAGUGACCUGGGCGGAAAGUUUUUGUAGAGCCCGCUGUCGAGGUUGGCUCCCUGGGUGGCCUGGUCUGCGAGGUUGUAGAGACCGCCGCUGAGGUCGCCUCCCUGGGUGGCUUGGGCGGUGAGGUUGUAGAGCCCGCUGCCGAGGCUAUUGUAUGCCUGGGAGGCUUGUGCAACGAAGGUGUAGACUACGCCGUUGAGGCUGUUGGAUGGCUCGGAGGCUUGGGUGGCCAAGUUGUAGAGCCCACCGCCGAGGUUGAGUUCCUGGGAGGAGUGCGCGGCAGUGUUGUACAACUGGUGGUCCCUCAUGACGGCAGCAGAUGAGUACGACGGACGCCAUCGUGGUUGGUGCUACUCGAGCGAGACACGGGCGAGGUAGGACGUGAGGCUCGACCUGUCAACAUCCACGGCCGGCGCGCCGUCGCGCUCGUGAGUGACGGCGCGGGUUCUGCUGGCAUGUCGCCGGGCCAUCCUAAGGAUCAAGAAACACCCGACGACGCAAGGCCAGGCCUAGUCCUGCGCGAAGGCGAAGAACCUGAUGCGCCGCCGAGCGCCAGCGGCCCGGUCAUCCCCGACACCACGCAACAGACUCCUCAUGAUGCCACCCUCUCGCCACUGCCACCUCGUGCUGCCACUCUCUCACAGCGCAGGUACGUACACCACACACCAUUCUCUGUCGAAGCCAGGUAAGGUAGCCACCAUGGGACCUGCCCGUCGUCCACGGUGGCAGCGUCCCCACUCCGUCCAUGUUGAGUUGCCUUGCGCCAUCAUGGUCGGGUCAAUCCGGCCCUACUUGCUGCCCGUGUGCUCGAGCCAGGGCCGGGCCUGGUCUAGUUUGCGUGGCGUUGCGCCCCCCACCAUUUUUAGAAAUAGUGGCGCGUUUCUUUACUCAAUUACACCUUUUGUAUUCUUUCCCUUUAUACGCUAGCAGUACAAGUAAGUAACACCACACACAUUAAUCGGCACCUCAUUAUCUCCGGGAUAGACAUUGAUAAUCUGGGCGAUCUCCAGCAUCGUCUGUGUUGUGUUGUGAUCACUCUACACGCUAACAGCAGUGUCUUUUUUUUGCGGGGUGCAAACAGCAAUGUCUGUGCUGGCACUAAUGCUAUUAAUAGUUUCCUUCUAUUGUUUGUAUAUGUACGCGGUGCAGGCAAGAGGAACUGCUGAUAUCACCGCUGAAUUCGUAUUAGGCUGGUCAUAGUAAUAGUAUUAUGAUUAGUAUCAUGCAUGCCAACUAGAUAAUUUUGGUAAAGCGUCAUAAAAUUAAAUGAAGAAAAAAACAUUGAGUAUUAUAAUAUGAUACCGCAUUAUAAUAAAUGCUAUGCUAGCAAUAAAUAAGAUACUACAUAAAACUGAUACUAAUAUAUGAUAUUAUGGGAGGCAGUAUCGUACACUGGUAUCAUAUGCAUUCUAGUAUAUGAUCCUCCCAGUAGUAGAGAUUUGACCGCAUUAGUGGCAUUAAUUAGUCUGCUUGCUUGUGCAUAUCCAACCAUCCAUCUAUCCAUCUGUAGAGUUGAGGUCUCCUUUUAUAUAUAUGCGGUGUACUUGUACUAGCUGCGCAGGCUACUGUCAAACAUGAUGUUGUUGCGUAUGCAUGGCGUGUACAAGGAGUUUACCACCGGCGAGAAGUAGUUAGUUAGAUGAGUAUUUUGUAAUCUUUAUCUCUUCUUAUCUCUAGCUUUUCUUCUUCUCCAAGAUGUAAAUCUCUUAACCAACUUGUACGCGUGUUUGGGCUCGCAACCCCUCAAUAUAACACGCAACACGUCUGCCAGGAUCGGUAAGACGUUUACCGCAUUCGCACAUGGUAUCAGAGCCUUCUUCUUCCACCAGAAACCCUAGCUCAUCCAUCUCCAUCAAGUGCGCAACCAUGUCUUCCUCCUCCGCCUCCUGCCAGUCGACCCUUUGCGGUGGAGCUCUGGAGAAGCUAACCCGCGGCAACUAUGUUCUGUGGCGGACGCAGAUGACGCCACAGCUGCGCGGCGCCGGCCUCUUCCACUAUGUAGAUGGCACGGCAACCGAGCCGGCCGAAGUCCUCAUCACCAAGGACGCCGCCGGCAAGGAGACCACCGGGACGAAUCCCCUUCAUCCUCUCUGGGUGAGAGAGGAUCAGCAGGUCCUCGGCUAUCUCCUCCAACACCCCUCCAAGUAAGUGCUCAUCACGGUGACCACGAUCACCACGGCGCGCGCUCUCUGGGUGGCACUGGCGGACAUGUUUUCGUCACAAUCACUCAGCCGCGUCAACAACAUCCGGACAACGCUGAUCAAUGCGCAGAAGGGCAAUCAAUCGGUGGCCACCUUCUUCGCCGCCAUGAGGGGUCUCGCCGAUGAACUUGCCGCGGCGAGAAAACCCAUCAAGGACGACGAGUUGAUCUCCUACAUCAUCCGUGGGCUGGACCAAGACUACCAGCCCCUUGUCUCUACACUAGAUGCCCGUGUCACUCCGGUAACUCUCGAUGAACUUUUUGCCAUGCUCAGUAACUUUGAUCAAUACAUGGCACAGUAUCAUGGUCCCGGCGGUGGCUUCAAGUCGUCGGCAAACUCUGCAUCCAGAGGCCGCGGUGGUGGCUCUUGAUCGCGUUCAUCUUCCCGUGGCAAGGGGAGGUUCGGCUCCAGCGGCAGCGGCUACUCCAACAACUCACGCGGCGGCGGGUGCUCCGGCACUCCAAAGGGCAUCGUGGUGGUGGCAGUGGUGGUUCCAACCGGUCCCGCCCGGACUUGCCUCGCUGCCAAAUUUGCGACAAGCCUGGCCAUACGGCAAAGGACUGUUGGUACCGCUACGAAGAAGAUGACGGCGACUCCUCACAAGAUGAAGAGAAAGUUGUUGCGGCGGCUGAUGGCUCCUAUGGAAUUGACACAAACUGGUAUGUUGACAGUGGAGCCACCAACCACAUCACCAAUGAACUCGAGAAGGUCACCAUGAAGGAGAAAUAUCGUGGCAAAGAUCAAAUUCAUACAGCCAGUGGUGAAGGUAUGGGUAUAUGUCACAUUGGCCACUCAAUUUUUAAUACCCCUAGUCGUAAAAUUCACCUCAAAAGAAUCCUGCAUGUUCCUAGUGCUCAUAAGAAUCUUCUCUCCGUUCACACAAUUGCUAUUGAUAAUCAUGUUUUUCUUGAAUUUCAUCCUUUCUUCUUUUUGAUCAAGGAUCAGGCCACGAGGAAAGUUCUCUAUCGAGGUAGAUGUGUUCGAGGGCUCUACCCGUUGAUUCCAGAGUUUAGAAGAUUCAAUAAACAAGCUUGUGGUGCCAUCAAGCUUUCGCCCACACGAUGGCAUGAUCGUUUAGGACAUGCCUCUUUUUCUUCGGUUGAAAAAUUGCUUAGGAAAAAUAAGACCCCGUUUGUUGGUGAGCGCAAUAUUGAAACUAUUUGUGAUUCAUGUCAGUGUGCUAAAAGUCAUCAAUUACCAUAUCCCAUAUCCACUAGUGUCUCCACUAAACCCUUGCAAUUGAUCUUUUCUGAUGUGUGGGGACCUGCCCCCUCCUCUGUUGGUAGACACAUGUACUAUGUUAGUUUCACCGAUGACUAUAGCAAGUUUUCAUGGAUCUAUCUCCUCAAAAAAAGAUCUGAUGUGUUUCAAGUUUUUCACAACUUUCAAGCACUUGUUGAAAGAAAGUUUGACAGUAAGAUCAUUGCUGUCCAAUCCGAUUGGGAAGGGGAAUACGAGAAACUCAAUUCCUUCUUCCAAAACAUAGGCAUAUCUCACCAAGUAUCAUGUCCACACGCUCACCAACAAAACGGGUCAGCCGAACGCAAACAUAGGCACAUUGUAGAGGUUGGCCUGGUCCUCCUCGCAGGAGCCUCCAUGCCUCUCAAGUUUUGGGAUGAGGCUUUUCUUACAGCCGUUCACAUCAUCAAUAUGCUUCCUAGCCGUGUCAUAAAUAAUGAAACACCUAUGGAACGUCUCCUCCACACAAAACCUGAUUACACCUCUCUCCGUGUUUUUGGGUGUGCGUGUUGGCCAAAUCUUCGGCCUUACAAUAAACGCAAGCUCAUGUUCCGUUCAAAAUGGUGUGCUUUUCUUGGCUAUAGAACCCAACACAAAGGAGUCAAGUGCCUUGACAUCUCUACUGGUAGGGUGUAUAUCUCACAUUACGUUGUUUUCGAUGAGACAAAAUUUCCUUUUGCGGAUCUUCAUCCCAACGCCGGUGCCCUACUUCGCAAGGAAAUCUUGCUCUUACCCUCUCAUCUCUCCAGCUAUGAUCAAGGGGGUAUUACAAAUUGUGAUGAUCAUAUGUUGACUAACCCUACUAAUGGCCUCCAUGAGCUUUGUGAUGAUGCAGGAAAUGGUGCAAAAAUCACAGAAAAUAAUGAAGAAAACGGCGCCGCAGGCCCUUAUUUCAUGUGUCCUGAGCUGGGGAGCAAAUCUCCCUCGGGAUCUGCCCAGGAGCUGACGCGCAGCGAAUCCACCUCGGGAUCGGUGCCUUGCAGCGAAUCGCCGACAGCCGCAGGCGCGCGUGCGACCGUGACAGCUGUAGGUGGGCGCGCCGAACCACCCGCGUCAGCCACGCGACAGAACCUGGAUGGCCGCGGCGACUCCCCUCAUGCGCGCCAAUCGCCGUCCAACAAAUGGCAGGCCGGCGCUGGCCUGGGCCGCGCGCGGCUUGAGGCCCAACCGAUCGUCUACAAGCGGCGGGCAGCGACUCGCCUGCCUGAGGCGGGGGCAGACCCUGACGAGGCAGGGCCCAGGCGAUCACGAGGCAAUGAUGAUGCAGCUCAGCCCAGAUCUUCUGUGGCUGGUUUGCCGCUUGUGCCGCAACGGACGACCGCAGAAGAUCCCGACCAACCUGACGCUGCCGACACCACCGGUUCCGAAGCUGCGUCCGGAUCCUCCUUGGGAUCGAGGGAGGAUCAGUCUGAUCCAGGCGUGGGAUCCUCUGCGCCGGGGCUCUCUGGAGCGGCUCCUGCUACUACUCCACGUCGCACACGGCUACAACAAGGCAAAAUUAAACCUAUUGAUUAUAGACAUAUUACAAAAUAUGGGAUGAUUUGUUCAACAGGUGAACCAGGCGAACCCAACACUCUUGAAGAGGCGCUUGGUGAUGCUAAUUGGAGAAAGGCAAUGCAUGAUGAAAUUGUGGCACUAAGGAAAAAUAAAACAUGGCACUUGGUCCCCUCAAGAAAAGGUAAAAAUCUUAUUGACUGUAAGUGGGUCUUUAGGAUAAAAAGAAAAGCUGACGGAACUAUUGAUCGUUACAAAGCUAGACUCGUUGCAAAGGGGUUCAAACAAAGGUAUGGUAUUGACUAUGAGGACACAUUUAGUCCAGUUGUUAAAGCUACUACCAUACGCCUUGUCUUGUCCAUUGUUGUGUCUAGGGGAUGGAGUCUACGACAGCUAGAUGUUCAGAACGCGUUCCUCCAUGGUGUUAUGGAAGAAGAGGUUUACAUGAAACAACCUCCUGGGUUUGUCAAUGCACAGGCACCACUUCAUGUGUGCAAACUUGACAAGGCCUUGUAUGGACUGAAACAGGCCCCGAGAGCAUGGUAUUCUCGUCUCAGUAAAAAGAUGCAAACACUUGGUUUUGUUCCUUCAAAGUCUGACACUUUGUUAUUUAUCUAUAACAAGUCAAGAAUAUCCAUAUUUGUUCUCAUUUAUGUUGAUGAUAUAAUUGUAAGAAGUUCAUCUGAUGAAGCAAUAACAGCACUGUUGAAGGAUUUAAGUGCAGAAUUUGCUCUAAAGGAUCUAGGAGAUCUACACUACUUUCUUGGUAUUGAGGUCAAGCAACACAAGGAUGGUCUUCACCUCUCUCAAGAAUAGUAUGGAACAGACUUGGUAAAAAAGGCUGGUUUGCAAAGUUGUAAGUCUGCACCUACUCCUUUGUCUAGCACAGAAAAAUCGUCUCUUGCUGAAGGAGAGCCUCUGAAUUUAAAAAAUAGUACAAAAUACAGGAGCCUGGUAGGUGCACUUUAAUACUUAACAUUGACUAGACCAAACAUUUCUUUUGCUCUCAAUAAAGUAUGUCAGUUUCUUCAUGCACCUACCACUGUUCACAUGACUGCUGCAAAACGUAUAGUAAGAUAUGUGAAAAGCACUUUGAGCAUUGGCCUAAACUUCAGCAAGUCAUCCUCUGCACUUGUCAGUGCCUUUUCUGACUCAGACUGGGCUGGGUGUCUAGAUGAUAGACGCUCAACUGGUGGUUUUGCAGUAUUCUUUGGACCAAAUUUGAUAUCUUGGAGUGCCAAAAAGCAAGCUACUAUUUCAAGAUCCAGUACAGAGGCAGAGUACAAAGCAUUGGCUAAUGCAACAGCAGAGACCAUAUGGGUACAGUCAAUUUUAAAGGAACUAGGUAUAAGAAGCACUAGAGCCCCAUGUUUGUGGUGUGAUAAUCUAGGUGCUACCUAUCUGUUAGCAAAUCCAGUCUUUCAUGCUAGGACCAAGCACAUUGAAAUUGAUUUUCACUUUGUUUGAGAAAGAGUUGCAAAUAAGCUUUUGGAUAUUCGGUUUAUUCAUUCUCAAGACCAAGUUGCUGAUGGCUUUACCAAAGCAUUGCCUACAAGAAGUUUUGAAGACUUCAAGCAUAAUCUCAACCUAAUGAAGUUGUGAUUAAGGGAGAGUGUCAAACAUGAUGUUGUUGCGUAUGCAUGGCGUGUACAAGAAGGAGUUUACCACCGGCGAGAAGUAGUUAGUUAGAUGAGUAUUCUGUAAUCUUUAUCUCUUCUUAUCUCUAGCUUUUCUUCUUCUCCAAGAUGUAAAUCUCUUAACCAACUUGUACGCGUGUUUGGGCUCGCAACCCCUCAAUAUAACAUGCAACACGUCUGCCAGGAUCGGUAAGACGUUUACCGCAUUCGCACAGCUAUAUCCCAUAGACAUUGUUCAGUUCCGGUCGUGUAUGUCCUCCUUGCUUGCUGAUGAUGCCGAACAUGACGGCGACCAGAUCAUCUCCGGAGGACCCUCAUGUCGCUGCCGGCGAGCAGCAGCAGCCGCAGCAGCAAGCGGCGGACAAGGCGCCUCGCACCACCGAGGAGGAGCCGGCGGAUUUUAUCAAUCUUUCCCGGUAUGGUUGCCUGUCUCGUCUCACUGCUGGAUUUUACCAAUCUUUCUCGUCUCGCUGCCUCAAAUUCUUUUCUUUCCCCACUCGACGACUGUUGUGACUGGUUGCAGAGUUUUCACGUCGAUUUUGUUUUGUAUUAGGAUUUCUGUUUGGUCUGUCAUGGCAGAAGAUUCAUGCUUUCGGCCGAUUGUUUCCAUGUCAUCGCUGCAGGCAGUUUCGUGUGUGCUUUUUUGUGUGGAUUUCCGUCGAGCAGAUCUUCGAGUGCUCGGGUUUUGCACUUCAGUUCUGCAGUUUGUAGACAUGGUUGCAUUUUCGAACUAAUUUUGGUUUUGGCUCCUUUGGUUUGUAGAAAUUUUAUAGGAAUUCUAUAGGAUAGGAUUUGCAAAGUUAAAAUUCCUUUGAAGCCCUUUGGUUUGUAGGAAUAGAUUCCUAUUCCUAUAUAGUUUAGGAAUCCUUCACAUUUUGGGAAAAAAAAUUUAGCUUAGACUCAAUGAAAAUUUUUCUUAUUCUAUGCAUCAAAUGACAUCUCUUUCUUUAUAGAAAUUGAGAUGCAUGUCAUCUCACUUUCUAUGACUUUCCUAUUCCUAUAACAUUCUUAUCCUAUGAACCAAUGGAGGCCUUACAGUUCUCGCGAUGAGGGGAAGAAGUUUUUGCUGUUGGUUUCAUUUGUAUCCCAAGUGCUUGACUUGGUUCUUGCGCGAUCCAAAUCUCUGGCUAACAUCGUAUCUGGAUUGUCUGAUCUCGUUUUCCAUGCAGGAUCAACCCGGAAUACGCUCCAGUCCCCAAUGGCAUCGGCAACAGUAGUGGCAGCGCCGCCACCAGGAAGCAAGCAGAACCCGCGCCGUCACCCACACCAAGCAUGGACGACCGCGAUGACGCCCCGGCCGUGGACGCCGACAGCUCGAGCCUCGCGUCCUACAUCGCCCGCGCCUCGCUCGAGCAGCGCCAGCCAGGAGGGCGUCCGACGUCCUCAUCCGCUGCUAUCGUGAGCGACCACUAGCUGCAGAAUGCCGCCGCGCACUCCUCGCAGGGACUCAACCUAGGCGGCGGGAUCUACAACUUGGCCACACAAGCCUCUGAGGCAUCCAACAGCCACGAUGGCAGGCUCUACAACCUCGCCGCCCAGGCUAGCCAGGGAGCCGACCUCGGCGGCGGCGGCCUCUACAACCUCGCCGCCCAGGCCACCCAGGGAACCGACCUCGGUGGCGGCAGCAGUAGUAGCAACCGCAUCACCAUCGCCGCGCCAGAAGAACCCGCGCUGCUCAAGUGGGGCCGCAAGAAGCGCUCGCGCGCCCGCCGCGAGCCGCACGCACCCACGUCCGCUCCCGCUCCUGCCCCCGCACCGGUGUCUACUCCCGCGCCAGCACCGGUGCCCACUUGCACCCCCGCGCCUGAGCCCGAGUUGAUCCCCUCUCAGGUGCAUUGUCGGGCCAUCUUAAGGCUGAAGAAACCCUGGCGGCGCAAGGCCAGGCCCAGCCACGCGCGCAGGCGGAGAAGCUGAUGCCGCCGCCGAGCGCCCGCGGCCCCAUCAUCCUCGACACCUCGCCACACACUCCUCGUGCCGCCACCAUCUCGCCAUGGCCACCUCGCGCCGCCACCCUCUCGCCACUGCCACCUCGCGCCGCCACCCUCUUGCAGCACAGGUACACACGCCACGCCCCAUUCUAUGUCGACGCCAGGUAAGAUAGCCACCAUGGGACCCGCUCGUCGUCCACGGCGGCAGUGUCCCCACUCUGUAUGUGUUGUGCCGUCUCGGUAGGGCCGGGCCGGUCAGGUCUGAGCAGCAGCUGCCCGUGGGCUCGGGUCAGGGCCGGGCCGGGUCUUGCUUGCAUGGCAUAGUGGGGCCCCUUCAUUUUUCAGAAAUAGUGGCGCCAUUUCUUUACUCAAUUACACCAUUUGUAUUCUUGCCCUUUAUACGCCAGCAGUACAGCAAAGUAAGUAAGGCCACACGCAUUAAUCGGCACCUCAUUAUCUCCUGGAUAGAUACUGAUAAUCUGGGCGAUCACUCUACAUGCAAACAGCAGCGUGUCUAUCCUGGCACUAAUGCUAUUAAUAGUUUCCUUCUAUUGUAUGUAUACGGGGUGCUGGCCAGAGGAACUGCUGAUAUCACCGCUAAAUCGGCACUAGUAGUAGAGAUUUGAUGCAUGCAUUGGUGGCAUUAGUGUGCUUGCUUGUGCAUAUCCAACCAUCUAUAAAUCCAUCUGUAGAGUAGAGGUCUCCUUUUAUAUGCGGUGUACUGCGUGUACUUGUAGUCACUGGGCAGGCUAGAUCGCAUAGGCAUUGCUCAGUUUCGGUCGUGUAUAUAUGUCGUGCUUGCUUACCGAUGAUGCCAAAAAUGACGGUGACCAGAUCAUCCGCGGAGGACCCUCAUGCCGCUGCCGGCGAGUAGCAGCAAGCGGCGGACAAGGCGCCUCGGACCACCGAGCAGGAGCCGGCGACCAAGGUGCAUGAGCCUAAGCCGCCGCAACAGCAGCCGAGGCGGCUGCCGUACCGUCAGGCGGCGAACAAGGCGGCUCAUGCCAGCAACGGCGAGAAGGAGCCGCCGCCCAAGGCGGAGCCUACGCAGCCGACGCCAAAGAGGCAGCAGCCACCACGCCGGGCGUCGAUGAAGGAGAAAGGCAAGGCGCCGAUGGUGCAAGAGCCCCCGCGGUGGCGCCGCACGUCGCGCAGAGGGCGGCAGCGGCCCGGCUGCCCGUGCUGUUCAUCGCGACCCAGCUCACCCGCAAGGAGGAGGAGGACUGGUUCGCGAUGACCGGCGGCAGGCUGCCCUACCGCCCCCAGCAGCGCCGCCCCAAGGCCGUCGAGGACAAGCUCCAGGUAUGCCACGCACCGCCAUUCUUUUUUUGUCCGUAUUCCAUGCAUGCAUUCGUCUCGGUGUUACUACGAGCGGUAAGAGCCUCUCCAACAGCCGCGCUAAGCGCCGCGCAAAAAACUUGUUUGCCGCGCGCGCUUCGGCAUGUUUAGCGCGGCCGCCAGCGCUGGCUCCAGCAGCCGCGCUAUAAUGCACAGCGCGCGCCGCUCCAGCAACGCGCCAAAAUAGAACGUGCGCGACUCGCCGGGCAUAUAAAAUAUAUGAUAUUUUGGACACAAAAUGAGUUUGAAACAUUCAUCAAAAUGAAAUGAACAUGUGAAAUUUGACACAAACAAGUUGAUGAAUAAAAGUUCAUGCCCACAAGUUCAAAAUCAUGCCCACAAGUUCAUCCAACCAAGUUCAAAUGCAAACUUAAGUUCAAGACAUAUGAAAGACACAUCAAUCAUCUUCCUCGUCUUCGUCCUCAUCUUCGGAAGACGAUUCUUCCGCCUCCGAAGAUGAAUCUUCCUCCCUCUCCUCAUCACGCACCGCAUCACGUGAAGCUCCGACGAUGUUGGCAAGAUCUUCAACGACAUCUUCAUGCGAAUGUGUGUGAGAAGACACAUUGAAAGACAUUCCACCCAUGGCAGCCGGUGGUGCACCCAUGCCUCCCAUGAGAGAAGCAAAACUCAUCCCUCCCAUGGCGGCCAUAGCGUCGGAGGGUGCUCCAAAGCCACCCAUGCCUCCCAUGGCGGCCGGAGGUGCACCCAUGCCUCCCAUGGCUCCGAAGCCACCCAUGCCUCCCAUGCCGCCGAAGCCACCGCCACCCAUGACGCCGAGGCCACCGCCACUCAUGCGGAUCAUGGCUCUUUUUUGGAUCAACACUUCUUCAUGGCCGCGGCCACCGAACGCCCUGCAAGCUUCUUUCCCCUCGCCUUCGUGCUGCCGGAGCCGUCCGCCGCCUUGUUUUUCUUCGCGGAUGUUUUGCCCUUCUUCAGCCGCGCCGCAUUGGGGACCUUCGACGGUGCGGCGACGGCACGGGACGGCGCCGGCGGGAUGCCACCCGGCGUCGUGGUCAUCCGCGACGGCAAGAAGAGGCUGCGCGCGAGGCCGACGCUCGGCGGAGCUCUGGCGAUGGCGACGCCAACGCUUCCCACGCUAGGGUUUCCGGCGGCGGCGGCGGCGGCGGGGGGGUGGGGGGGUCGCGGCUGUACAACGGGGUGAGCGGGGUGCCGGUGUGCGCGUCCAUGGGUGGGUGGCAGGGCGUCGGCGCCGGUGCGCGCGGGGCAUAGGAGGAGGAGAGGAGAGGGUGCGGCGCGAGCGUUCGAGUGUGCCGCACGCUGUAGCGGGCGCCCGAAAUACACCGCGCGGGACAUUCUUUUUGACCGCGCGCCCAACUCGUUAUAGCGCGCGCCGUUUUUGCGCGUCCGCUGGAGCGAGCCGCCGCGUUACGCACGCGCUAAAAUAGACUAAUUUGCGGCACGGCGCUAGUUUAGCACGGCUGUUGGAGAUGCUCUAGGGCUGACACGAUCGAUAUGUUAGCGCAGAAACAGUUCCCGGGGCAGACGCUGCCUGAGGUGACCAGCGCCAGGUACAUGUGCGCCAGAAGAAGCAAAAGAAGGUACACCGCUCCAUCUCCACUGCACAUUUUUUUGUUCUCUCUUUCAGCAGCCAAUCUUUGUGUUGUUUUGCAGCGGGCUGGCCUGCGAGCAAUGGCGGAGGAGGACGACCUGAGCUCCGAGAGGUGCGAUUCCGACGACGACACGGGAGGAGAAAAAAUCAUUUUGGCGUCAUCGAUGCGGAGGAGCGUGGUAGCUGGAGGAAGAGGGGUUGAAGGCAGCAGUAGAUUCAUGGGCAUUCCAUGAGCGUCAAUCAAAAAAAACAAAAAACAAAAAAGAACUCUAGCCAGCGUUCGGCUCUUUUCCUUUUCUUAAGACUUUCGUUCGGUUGUGUUGUCGAUGACAGAUGGUUCAUUGGUUUACAAAUGGUCGGUCGAAGCCCGCCGCCGCUGUUCUCGCGCCUCUGUGGUCGGGGGCGGGGUGGCGGCGGGCUGGUUGGUCGAAGCCUGCUGCCGCUGUUUCUUCUCCUCCGUCGUGGGGGCCGGGGUGGCGGCGGGCUGUGCAGAGUACCAGACUUGCCGAGCCUGGGGAAGAGCUUGGAACAGGAGACAAACCUUUUCGCUCAGUUUAUUCUCGUUGUUGUUGUUCUGUUUGCAUCGUUUUGCUUCUUCGUGGUUGAUCUUUGCACUGCUGGUUUUACGCUUUGGGGGGAAUUGCUCCUGCCUAUAGCUGCCAUGGAUUUUUGUUUUGCAGGAACUGUUUGCUUCGCUUGGCGCAAGCAAGAUUCUCAGGUGGAUGGAUGAGAUGGUGAAGGGAUACGGGCGCUGCUGGAGGUAAAAUUGUUGCUAACUUGGCGACGAGCUUUGCCACACCUGCAGCCACAUGAUUGACUCUGGACCGCGUGACCGGGCCUGGCGGCUCAUGACUCGUUCGCCUCCGCGAGGGCCUUGGGAGGCGACCUCGGGAGACUGCCGCGUGAGGGAUCUUGCUCACGAACCUUGUGAUGGGCCGCGCACUGGGCCGCAGGCCGACGCACCUGGGUACCCCAGUCCCACGGGCCUGACACAUGGCGUGCCAUGUGAUUAAGAAAAUGUUCAUUCAGUCUAAUACAUAAACUGACCCAUGGCACAACAUAAGAUUAACUAGAAAUUAGAAGGGGAUUUAAUGCAUCUUCUUUAUUUUCUAUGUGCGGUCACAUUAACCAUUAACCCUUGAGGCGUCACCGGGUAGUGGUUAGGUGUGCAUCCUCAUCUACAAUGUUUUAUCCUAGUGGUGUGUUCCGGUUCCCAAGUAAUUGAUAGUGUCACAUUUAUCCCAUAAUAAUACAUAUCAAGCUAAGACUAAUAUAUACCAAGUCAUGAUUAAAAAUACGUAAUUUUAUAUGCAUUAUAUCCAUAUGCAUUCAAACUUAUAUAGAAGUGAAACUAUGUAAGGCACUCCCAUUUUCAUAUGUGGAAAAUGAUAGUAGAAUAAAAGUCUUACCGUUAUGAACCUUAAAAGAUGUUCAAUGUUUGGUUUUUUGGUUGGAAAGAAAUGUGUGUUUAUUUAUUUUUAGAGGAAUAUGUGUUUCUUUCUCUUCGCGGCGAGUCAUAGAGUGGUGAAUAGAUCAGUAACCGUGGGUUCUUGAUCCAACGACUGGGAUGGGGAAGGUGAGAUGCGAGUGCUUAUCCUCCCAUUGCCAUGUCAUGCCUCGAUGGGUCACGUGAACGUAGGGGUGGUCGCACCUAAGACCGCACAGGGAUAAUGGUGGAUGCCUAUUCUGCCGAAAAAAUCCCAUUGAAUUCGGAGGUAUUGCCUUAGUCAUGAUUGCGCCAAACCCUCAAUGUCGCCUCGUGCUGCGGCCUCCUCCUCUAUCCCUUGACUCAGCCAAGGCGACGGGGACCAAGAUCUUGGGCAACACGCUACUACGACACACGACAGGAAGCCUCUCCGGUAGGCCCCUCUAUGCACCAUCCCCGUACCUGAUUCCCGUGGGCCCACCAAUUAGGCCAGAUAUGUGUGCCCUAUCAUUUCUUCCAUGUAAAAAUACCACACCCAGCCUUCUCACAUCAGAACCCUAAAUCGAACCGCACAAUAGUCCUCUUUCCUCCCCUAGCCGCCGCCAACCCUUUCUGCUCCCAACCCUUUCCUCUUCCCAGAUUGAGCCUCACGCCACCGUGACGGUCCGACGGGAAGCCUCUCUGGAGGUGCCUUCUAUGCAUCAACAUCAAUGGGGUUCGCCGACUAAGCGAGGGCAUGGAUCCCCCUUCUCAUGUUCUCAGUCGUUGGCACGGCCACCAUCAACCAGAUCUUUCAUUGUGCGUCUGUUUUUUGUUUUGCCUGGAGCAGAGUUUAUCGAAUCUUAAGGUCACUGAUGCUUCGUAUGGUUCAUGAUCUGGUUCUGUUGCUUGCUUUCCUGCCUCAUCUCACUGCUGGAUUCAUUUUACCAAUCUUUCCCGGUUUGGUUGUCGGCCGCAUAUUCUUUCCUUUUCCCCUACUCGACGAGUGUUGUGACUGGUUCCAGAGUUUCCCGUCGAUUUUGUUCUGUUUUUGUAGGAUUUCUGUUUGGUCUGUCUUCGCAGCGGCAACAUGAUCAUGGCGGAAGAUUUGUGCUUUCGCCCCGAUUGUUUUUGUACGGAUUUCUGUCGAACAGAUCUUUGAAUGUCCGGGGCUCGCAAUCCAAUUUCACGGUUCGUAGACGUGGUUCCUUUUUGGAACUAAUUUUGGUUUAAAUCGAAUUCUCGCGAUGAGGGAAGAAUUUCUUUGUUGUUUGUUUCAAUCUGUAUCCCAAGUGUUCGACGUGGUUCUCGUGCUCGCCAACGCCAUCUUUGGAUUGUCUGAUUUCAUUUUCCAUGCAGGUAGAGGGGUCAUCCGGCGCGGCGAUGUCGAUGCCGCCGCCGCCGCCGCCGCCGCCGAGGUCGCCUCCCUGGGUGACCUGGGUGGCAAGGUUGUAGAGCCUGUCAGCGAGGUCGGCUCCCUGGGUGGCCGGGGCAGCGAGGUUGUAGAGCCCACCGCCGAGGUCGCCUCCUUGGGUGGCCUGGGCGGCAAGGUUGUAGAGCCCACUGCCGAGUCUGUUGUAUGCCUGGGAGGCUUGCGCGGCGAAGGUGUAGACCAUGCCGCCAAGGCUGUUGGAUGGCUCAAAGGCUUAGGUGGCCAAGUUGUAGAGCCCGCCGCCGAGGUUGAGUCCCUGGGAGGAGUGUGCGGCGGUGUUGUACAGCUGGUGGUCCUUCAUUAUGGCAGUGGAUGAGGACAACAUACGCCCUCGUGGCUGGCGCUGCUCGAGCGAGGCGCGGGCGAGGUAGGACAUGAGGCUCGACCUGUCGGCAUCCACGGCUAGAGCGCCGUCGCGCUCGUCCAUGCUUGGUAUGGACCAGCGCGACGGCACCGUGGCCGUGGACGCCGAUAGCUCGAGCCUAGCAUCCUAUCUCGCUCGCGCCUCCCUCGAGCAGCGCCGGCCACGAGGGCGUCCAACGUUCUCAUCUGCUGCCAUCGUGAGCGACCACCAGCUGUACAACAUCGCCGCGCACUCCUCCCAGGGACUCAACCUCGACGGCGGGCUCUACAACUUGGUCGCCCAAGCCUCCGAGGCAUCCAACAGCCUCGGCGGGGCAGUAUACACCUUCGUCGCCCAAGCCUCCCAGGCAUACAAUAGCCUCGACGGUGGGCUCUACAACCUCGCCGCCCAGGCCACCCAGGGAACCGACCACAGCGGCGGCAGCGGCAGCAGCGGCAUCGCCAUCGCUGCGCCGGAAGACCCCGCCCCGCACAAGUGUGUCCGCAAGAAGUGCUCGUGCGCCUGCCGCGAGCCGCACACGCCCGCACCCGCUCCCGCUCCUGAACCCGUAUAGGUGCCUACUCCCACACCAGCACUGGUGCCCACUCCCACCCACGUGCCUGAGCCCGAGCUGACCCCCACUCAUACGCAUUGUUGGGCCGUCUUAAAGAUCACGAAACGCCCGAGGGUGCAAGGCCAGGCCCAGCGGCAUGUGGAGGCGGAGAAGCUGAUGCCGCCGCCGAGCGCAUGAGGCCCCGUCAUCCUCGACACCUCGCCACUGGCUCCUCGCGCCACCACCUUCUCGCUACUACCACCUCGCACGGCCACCAUCUCAUCACUGCAACCUCGCACCGCCACCCUCUCGCUGCACAGGUACGCACGGCACGCCCCAUUCUGUGUCGACGCCAGGUAAGGUAGCAUAGCCACCAUGGUACUUGCCCCUCGUCCACGGUGGCAGCGUCCCCACUCCGUCUAUGUUGAGUUGUGUUGAGCCGUCUCAGUCGGUCCGGUCCGGUCGGGCCCAAGCCGCUGCCCGUGGGCUUGGGUCAGGGCCGGGCCCGGUCUUGCUUGCGUGGCGUUGUGGGUCCCCCUCCAUUUUGAGAAACAGUGGCUCGUUUCUUUACUCAAUUACACCAUUUAUAUUCUUGCCCUUUAUACGCAAGCAGUACAUCAAAGUAAGUAACGCCACACGCAUAAUCGGCACCUCAUUAUCUCUGGGAUAGAUACUGAUAAUCUGUGCGAUCUCCAGCACCGUCUGUGUUGUCUUGUGAUCAUUCUACAUGCAAACAACAGUGUCUAUCCUGGCACUAAUGCCAUUAAUAGUUUCCUUCUAUUGUUUGUAUAUAGGCGGAGCAGGCCAGAGGAACUGGUGAUAUCAUCGCUAAAUCGGCAUUAGUAGUAGGGAUUUGAUGCAUGCAUUAGUGGCAUUAGUGUGCUUGCUUGUGCAUAUCCAACCAUCUAUCCAUCCAUCUAUAGAGUAGAGGGCAGGCUAGACCGCAUACACAUUGCUCAGUUUCUACUUUGUAGAUCACACACAUCUUAAUUCUCGUUUGGGUCGUGUCUGUCGUUACUACCCUACCACCCCCUGCAGCGCCGCCCCAAGGCCGUCGAGGACGAGCUCCAGGUACGCCACGCACCACCAUUCUUUUUUUGUCUCCCUUCCAUGCAUGCAUGCAUGCAUUCGUCUCGGUGUUACUAUGAGCGGUAAGGCUGACACGAUGGACGAUGUGUCGGCGCAGAAACUGUUCCCAGGGCAGACGCUGCCUGAGGUGACCAGGGCCAGGUAUAUGGUGCGCCAGAAGAAGCAAAAGAAGGUACCGCUCCAUCUCCACUGCACACUUUUUUUUUACCAGCCAGCUUUUAUUUAUUUAUUUAUUUAUUACAAUGUACUUUCAUUUGCUCAUUACGAUGAUGGCAUUAUUCUAGAUGAUUACUAGGUUUCAGUUUUUUUAUGGGUAUCAGAUAUUUGAUGGAGUAAUAGUGUAGAUGAUUGGAUACUUCGGAUCCGCCCGCGUUCGUUAGAUUUCUAUAUGGAGUUUUUUUAGAAUUAGAUUUGUAUGGAGCUGAGAGGGUUUGGGAGAGAAGGGAAAGAUGUCGCCCGCUUUCUAUUUAUCGUCCCAGCCGAUGUCACAUGGGCCGGACCAUUGUUGACUGUGCAUGCGAGCUUGGGCUGGCCUGUCUAUGUGGCUGACUGCCGACGUGCAGGUGAGUACAGAGAUUUUGUCAUGUCUACACGUGGCCAGCCGUCGUGAANNNNNNNNNNNNNNNNNNNNNNNNNNNNNNNNNNNNNNNNNNNNNNNNNNNNNNNNNNNNNNNNNNNNNNNNNNNNNNNNNNNNNNNNNNNNNNNNNNNNNNNNNNNNNNNNNNNNNNNNNNNNNNNNNNNNNNNNNNNNNNNNNNNNNNNNNNNNNNNNNNNNNNNNNNNNNNNNNNNNNNNNNNNNNNNNNNNNNNNNNNNNNNNNNNNNNNNNNNNNNNNNNNNNNNNNNNNNNNNNNNNNNNNNNNNNNNNNNNNNNNNNNNNNNNNNNNNNNNNNNNNGCGCCGGCCAGCAAGCAAUGGCAGAGGAGGAUGACCUGAGCUCCAAGAGGCACGACGACGAUGACGACGAUGCGGCGGGAGAAAAAGACCAUUUGGGCGUCGCCGUUGCGGAGGAGCGCGGCAGCCAGAGGAAGAGAGGUUGAAGGCAGCAGUGGACUCAUGUGCAUUCCAUGAGCGUCAGUCGAAACAAAAAUAACUUUAGCCGGCGUUCGUCUUUUCCCUUUUCUUGGAUUUACGUUCGUUCGUGUCGUCGAUGAGACGGUUCAUUGGUUUACAAUGGUCGGUCAUCGCCUGCCGUCCCUGUUGCCGCGCCUCCGUGGUGGGGGCCGGGGUGGCGGCGGGCUGGUUGGUUGAAACCCGCCCUCGCUGUUUCCGCACCUCCGUGGUGGAGGGCGGGGUGGCGGCGGGCUGGUUGGUCAAAGCUCGCCAUCGUUGUUUCCGCGCCUCCAUGGUGGGGGGCGGGGUGGUGGCGGGCUGUGCAGAGUAUCAGACUUGCAGAGCCUGGGGAAGAGCUUGGAAGAGGAAACAAACCUUUUCGCUUUGUUUCGUCGUUGUUGUUCCGUUUGCAUCGUCUUGCUGCUUCGUGGUUGAUUUUUGCACUGCCGGUUUUAUGCUUUGGGGGGCAUUGCUAGCUCCUGCGGUCCUGCCUAUAGCCGCCAUGGAUUUCUAUUUUGCAGGGACUAUUUGCUUCGCUUUGGUGCAAGCAGGAUUCUCACAUGGAUGGAUGAGAUGGUGAUGGUGAAAAAAAAAUGAUGAUGGGAUAUGGGCGCUGCUGGAAGUAAAAUUGCUGCUAACUUGGCGAAGAGCUUUGCCACACCUACAGCUACUACAUGUCAGGGGGAGAAAGCUUAGUGCGUACUCCAGGAUUUACUGCUAGUGCUUAUUAGCCGAUCGGCAUCCGUUUCCAUGAGUUUGACCCGGAGCGAGCCUCUCAUUCCUUUUCCGUGCAUGCGAUAGCGGUGCAAGUCGGAGAGACGGGCCCUUCUCUCUCAAAAAUAUGCUUCGAUUCUCAGGGCGUUCUAUUAGGGUCUGUUUGGCACUAUGGUUAGAGAACAAGUAGAGUGCAAUGGUUUUGGUGUGUUGGUAUUUAAUGCCUGAAAUUGAUUUGGGCGCCACUCGAUUCCUGCGAAGAAGAGAAAGGUGAGGCACCUAGGCGCCGAUGACCCCAGUGAGGCCAUGCCAAGUACAGUGCCAGAGACAAGGGACAACAGGGCUGUCCGUGGAAGCAAGGCAUAACGUUGAAAGGUGUUAGUGGGAUGGGGGAGGGGGGUUCAUACAUUGUGGGCUGGCGAGGCGAUAGGGCAGCGUGACACCAGCCACGAAUGGUGGGGGGACUACAAUGGCGAGGGGCUCUGCCAAGGAGAGAGAGAGAGAGAGAGAGAGAGAGAGAGAGAGAGAGAGAGGGUGGCGGCAUAAAAUCAAUUUCCAUUGCCUUUUUAGGCAACUUACAAAUAGGAUUAGAAGAACCCACCGAAGUUAAAUGGAACCAACUUGUCCUGAUAACAUGAUCUCACGCGCCACGCACAUAUCGCACCUCCCAUGGACCUCAACGGAACCGCGAGCAGACCCAGGCGAGCGUCGAGGUGGCUACACCGAGCAACGACUAGGCAGCUGCCUCACUAGGGCGGUGGCAAAUACGACAUCGACAACAAAGGAGCAGCGAGUGAGAAAUCAGGAUGCUCAGUAGCGACUAUAGUGACUAGAAGCGAGGAGUACAUGUGUACAGAUUGAAUCUGGUUGCAUUCCUUUCGCAAAACAAGAGAUAUAUCCAUACCCAAAAUUUCAGUAAUCCAAAGAAUUGGUUUAUCUGCUUGCUAUAUAUGUCGAUAUUGGUGACAAAUUUUCGCAAUAAGUUGUGUACUUGUUAGUUCCUACUAAUGCUCACUGUGCAUUUUUAACCAUUUUUGGGUGUCCAUUCUUUAAAUUGCUUUGAAUGGUAGUUGAUACUUAGACAAGAAACAUUGUAAUAAUUGUAGUUGGUGCAUACAAAAGCUGCUGAAAUUACCGGUCAUUGUUGAAAUUAAACAUGCAUGGGACAGACUAUCAUACCUUUGUUCGCUGCGUGGUGGCUCAUUCAAAUCAAUUGCUUUAUACCUUCGUCUAGUCAUUUUUGACUCCUAUAAACAAAACAAAACAAAAUGUAACAUACGAGUAACAUUUCUUGCAAAGCGUGAGACGCACAUACUCCCAAAGUAAAUCAGGUCUAUUACACGGAACCGGUGUUGUAUUCUUAAGUUGAACAAGAACAAUAGCGUGAAACAAAAAUUAUAGGUAGGCAAGACAUGUACGUAAAAAUAUGAACACUCUGACGAAAAUUCACAAGAGCAAAUGGAGGAACCAUUUAACAAACCCAACAUAUGCGACAAAAUGAUAUUCUAACCUCAAAGUUACCCACAAACGAGAUCCCAAUGUGAGAACAAAUACUAAGGUAAUCAGACAUUAUCCUUAUUCAUUAUGAACCAACCUAACCAGUGAUAUGGUUGUGGCUGACGAGAGGUCGCUGAGGAGGCAACCGAGAUCCUCCCUGCCGGUAGAUCUGGUCGUCGUUGUCCACUAGGCCAAGAUCUGAAGUGGCCAUCCCACGCACGGCCACAAAAGAGAUCCCAAUGCGAGAACAAAUACUAGGUGGUAGUGAGCAUCAUCUAUUGCACAAAAGGUAAUAAAACAUUAUCCUUAUUUAUUAUGAACCAACCUCCCAAAUGAUAUUGUUGUGGACGACGAGAGGUCGUCGAGGAGGCAACCGAGAUCCCCCCUGCCAGUAGAUCUGGUCAUUGUUGUCCUCUAGGCUAAGAUCCAAAGUGGCCAUCCCGUGCACGGCUACAAAAGAGAUCCCAAUGCGAGAACAAUUAUUAGGUGGUAGUGAGCAUUAUCUAUUGCACAGAAGGUAAUUCGACAUUAUCCUUAUUCAUUACGAACCAACCUCCCAAAUGAUAUGGUUGUGGCCGACGAGAGGUCGCCGAGGAGGCAACCGAGACCCUCCCUGCCGGUAGAUCUGGUCGCCGUUGUCCACUAGGCCAAGAUCCGAAGUCGCCAUCCCACGCACGGCCGUUGGGGUCGUCCGGUGUGCGACCACCAUGGAUGCCGAGCACGUGGAAGUCCUGGCCAUCCCGCCUAGUGGAGGCGUCGCCAGAUCUGUAGGGAGGUUGCGGUGGAGUGGGUGUGGGGGAAGGAGAGGUAGAGGUAGAGGUGGGGGAUCGCCGUCGGCUGUGGAGACUGGGAGAGGGGUGGAUUUAAGGUUGAGAGUUAGGUUUAGGGGUCAAAUUUAUAUGGUAGGGGAUGCGAUGGGCUGUUCUGGGCCAACACAAUAUUAGCCUCGCGGGCCAGUGAUAGGCAGGCCAAGAGAGAAUGCCAUUGGUAAAAUGGGUUUAGGUUAAUUAUCUUUGCUCAAAUAAAAAUUAUGGUAUGGUGUGGGUAUGGGAAUAAGGCUUCAUGUCUGGGACUAGACUAAAUGUCAAAUUUAGGCAUCUUUCUAAAACCAUCUGCAAUUUUGUAGGCAUUAAAUGCAUUUCUAUCUAUUUACUGGAUAUAUUUGAAAUAUGAACUACAUGUACCUUAAAAUGGUCUCCAAAUUAAAAUAAAAUCAUGUUCAAGCACUUAUGUAACUCAUAGCCUCCUUUCAAAAAAUAUGAUAAUUUUUUUUUAAAAUUGAAAAUUCCAUACAAUUACAAGCAUCCUAUUUGCUUUAUUUUUCUAUAAAAUCUCAACGCGGUUUAAAUACAAUGAAAUUUUGUAUGGGUUCAUCAUAUUACCUAAUGAGAUUGCGUUAAAAAUCCAUACAUUUUAGUCCACAUCAUGGUUUGUUCAUCAUUUUCACUUGAUUUUGUACUGCAACUAGAUAUUGUGGUAAUGUACACUAAUAUACCUGCAUGUUCCAUCUUUUUAUGUACUGAUUUGUAUUUCUUAUUGUUUUGAACACACCAAAUGAAGGUACCAUGUGGAGUGCCUAUCAAAACUAUUGAUUUCAAAUGCCCCAAACUUUUCUACAUGCAACAUACUUAUUUGUUUGUUCAUGUCAAAUUUAGAUUUUUUUUUCUUAAGUCAUUUCUAUUUUGAGGUAUUAAAAGCAUUUCUACGUAAUUAGUGGAAAUAUUUGAAAUUUGAUUUGCAUGUACCAUAAAAAUGGAUUCUAAAUGGAAACAAAAAUCUAUGUUCAAGCACUUAUGCAACUCAAUGUCUUCAUUCAAAACAUCUAUGAAAAUUUUGAACAAUUCCUUUGANNNNNNNNNNNNNNNNNNNNNNNNNNNNNNNNNNNNNNNNNNNNNNNNNNNNNNNNNNNNNNNNNNNNNNNNNNNNNNNNNNNNNNNNNNNNNNNNNNNNNNNNNNNNNNNNNNNNNNNNNNNNNNNNNNNNNNNNNNNNNNNNNNNNNNNNNNNNNNNNNNNNNNNNNNNNNNNNNNNNNNNNNNNNNNNNNNNNNNNNNNNNNNNNNNNNNNNNNNNNNNNNNNNNNNNNNNNNNNNNNNNNNNNNNNNNNNNNNNNNNNNNNNNNNNNNNNGCCAAUGGCCCAUGCCAACAUUGAUAAACCUUUAGGGCAACGCAGUAGAAAACAAAAUAAUUCUGACCUACGCACCAACCCAGGACCACUAUGAAGAUGCAUAUAGGGUCUGAUCUGAUCAUUACCGGCUCGUAGAGCAGCGGAAGGAGAGUCAGUGGAGAUCAUUGGUGGAGAUCCCCGCAACUCAGAUUUUACAACCUCCCAACCACGAGGAUGUACUCCCCUAGGAAUCUCCUCAGGUGGUCCCUCGAACAACCCUUCGGGAGACCCUUGGACAGAAACUUGAUCAGUCCCUCGGACAGCCCUUCGGGAGGCACAUGGUCAGAUCAUCGGAUAGAACCUCAAUCUAUCUCUCAAACUAAGAUAAAAACUACAACCUCUGUACCGGGUUGCACACAUACAAUGUCAACUAUCCAGCAGGGCUUUGUCGUCCAGAACUAGGCCCCACCGAAGACUAGACAGCCUUUCGGGGUACAAAACUAUUUUGUGGAGAGGGAUAUAGAAAGCCAAAUCAUUGCAUGGCAUGUGUUUGAAAGAGAUUGAGUGAAAUGGAGAGCUCUCUCCACCUUUAUUUAUAGUGGGAGGUAAGAGGUAGAGGGCACUUGAAAAAUAACAAAAAGCCCUUGGAAAUUUUCCACCAAAAAGCCACCAAAAGUGGGAGUAAGCCCCUUGGGUGCCCCCCCGUACCAAGGACGUUUUGGGCUGCCACAAAGGGCCCCCCACCUCCUCAAGUUAUGCUCCACAACUUUAUGGACAAAGCCCUAAAAGGUGGCUUUUUGGAAAGCCACCAAAAGGGAUUGUACCCUAAUAGUGUUACACUAUUCACUGUACUAUUAAUGACAACUUUUCUAGAAAUGUUACUAGUGUCGAAAAAUCCAGAAAAAUUCUGAAUGGUGCAGAACAUUUCUCGCACCCACUAAAAAAAUAUAGAAUCCGGUAUGUAGUUUGUCUCCAAAACAUUUCCCAUUUUACUCUCUGAAACAUUUCUGUCGUCUCUGAAACUUUUCCGAAAACAAUCUCCCGGACUCCCUUUAUAUUACUUAGCAGAUAGAUGACCCUUAAGUGUGUGACCCUAUAGGUUCGGUGAAGUAUAAACAUGACUGGAACUCUGCUCGAUCAAUAAUAAAUAGCGAAACCUUGGACAUCCAUAUUGAUCCUAUACACACGCGAAUGAAUAUUCGAGUGAACAUGUAGUUGUCAUGUGUUAUUCCUAUUGCUUCACGAUAUGUUACAAACACCCAAGGUGAGAUUUAUCGGCAUCCUCGUGGAUCAACAACUUUGUCCACUAUGUCAGUUUCCUCGUUAUCGGUUUUGUUCUCCUUUCUCGUUUCUGCAUUCCGGCGUCCUUGUGAUGAAAUCACAUGGUGUCUGGCCAGACGAUGAUGGAACCAUAAAACCGAGAGGGCCCAAAGAAUAUCUCUCCAUCGUCGGAGAAGCAAAUCCCAAUCUUGAGCUAUCUAGUUCCUUGUCAUACUUUUCAAUGAACUCGUAAGCCGCCGUAGCCACCUAUUUACGGAUGACGUUUAACAAACCCCAAAGUUCAUGAAGAAGCAUGAAGGAACUUGAUACUCUCAUGGUCUAAGGAAUUAUGCAAACAUUAACUUUCUCUAUGUUAUUUACCAUUAUUUCGUGACGAACAUAUCUCAUAGCAUAACAUCAAUCGGGUCGAUUCAACACAAGUGUUCUUCUAAUAUUGUAUCCCCAAAGUUGGUGGCAUAGCCAUGCCCAUGAUCAGCAAAAUGUGAUCAUCAUGCAAAACUUGAGCCAGUCUUAGAGGCUUGACUUUUACCAUUUAUUAUUCUACACGUGCAUAUAGGUUUUCCUUAGAGCCUUUAUGGAUAUACGGGCUCGGGAACCAUAGUUGUUAUAGCACAGAAUAAUUACGAAUAUGGAGAUAAAUAAUAACAUUUGUUAUUGCCUCUAGGGCAUAUCUCCUACAAAACAAACAUUCUCAGAGCUACUAGUAUGAUUUUUUGGGAACAAAAAAUGUAUUUUCGUGGUUCCUACCUGUCGUGGUUAUCUCGCUGGCGGGUUUGCGACACGACGGAUGCCACGGGGUCGCUUGAGGUGAGGGCUAGGCUGCAGUGGAGAUCAAGGGACGGGAUUGGGCAAACAGCACGCAGUGAUUUACCCAAAUUCGGGGUUCUCUAGAGAGAUAACACCCGACUCCUACAUGUCUGAUGAUAUACGCAGUGUAUAUGUAACAGUACAGAGUUGUUUCUGAAGCUGUAUCCGGAUGAAAGCUAUGUGCUACUAGCUUCAUGUGUGUGCAUAUGUGUGGCGUGAGUGCCUUGUGGGCAUGAGAGCCCGAGUGCUCUUGGUCUAGUGGCCGUAUGAGCCUGGCCAAGUGUGACUGUGGAUGGAUGGAUGUGUGUGAGCACAAGUGUGUGGCUAAGUGAGGCUGUGGGCGUGACGCCUUCUCUGGGUCACUUUAUAUACUAGUGCACAGGGACAAGGGAUGGCCCACACACCCACUACACCAUUGGGAUGUCAUAUGAUGUGAUACAUGAUGCAGUCUAUAGUGCAUCACUAUUGAAGCACAGCGAAGUGACACAUGAUGCAGGCUAUAGUGUUUGCUUUAUUAGCAGUAGUGUCCAUGGUAUGACUGUCUUGUCGGUGUCGGGUCGAAGCUGCUGUUGAUUUCAUGUAGUAGGCCGACUGGAGCAGUCGGAGAGGGAGCCGGCCGGGCAGCCGGGAUGGCGAGCCAGCCGGGAUGGCCGGACAGGCGGACCGGGGCGCUGGUCGCCCCGAUGUUUUUGAAGCGUCGUUCGCCGUCUUGGGCCUACCUGGGGAUCAUCCUCCCGAAAGUACACUACUAGGGAAAACCCUAGCAGUAGCGCGUGUUUGAAGGCUAUUAGUAGCACAGGGUACAACGCUACUAGUAAGGCGCUACAACUAAAGGUUAGCAGUAGCGUGGGCUGAACCGUGCUACUGCUACAUCGACUUAGUAGCAGCGCUUUCUAAAAUGAGUGCUACUGGUAAUUAGUAGUAGUGCUUCUACUAGCACGCGCUACUACUAUUAUUCUGUAUUUCUUUUUUAUUUUAUGGUGUAUUCAUACACCUUUAUACAAGUUUUCAUACCGUAGCAAUCUAGAGAAUGAUUUUACAUUAUAAUGUGUUAUUACAUCAGUGGGAGGAAGAACCGUGGACUAGUUUCAAGUGGAUGGACAUCCACUUGAAACUAAUCCACGGUUCUUUCACCCAAUGAUCUAAUAAAUAUCAUCAUCAUCAUCAUAUCAUUAACAACUUAUCAUCAUAAUACAUCAUUGUCAUAUAACACCUCCUCAUGAUAAUCGUUUUCAUCAAUGAGACCUCACAUAUAAGUUGGUCAUUAGACAUAAUCACAACUACUCAUCAUCAUCAACUCUCAUAAACAUAUCGUACCUCAUAACCUACUAUAUUCUCUUAGGACCUACUAUAUUUUCUUGGGUAAAAUAGCAUAAAACAAGAUAGCCCCUGACUCUCCAUUAUGGAGAAUGGAGAUUAUCAUGUCUCCAAUCCUUGCCUUUCGCGCAAUGUUGCUUCCAAGAACCUCCUUACGAAUGUCCAUACAUUUCUUCCAUUCUUUGAUUAUCAUGUGUUCACCAUUUUUAGAAACCCGGUAUGCACAGGUGUGGUUCGUAGGACGACCUGGCUGUAUGUUCAAAACAUUCAGGCGACCGUUCUGAUACAUCAAAUGAGGCACACAAUCCAUCGGGAUUUUCUAUUGAAAAACAUAGUAAUAACUUCGUGGUUAGCAAUGUAGUCCAGUUUUAGUAAAUAUGCAAAAGAUGCAUGGAUGUCGUAAUAGUAAAAACUCUUACCAAGAAAUCUCCAUGGUAGUUAUCGUUGUUCAACACGUGCACUAGUGGCAUGUAUUCACCAUAAUUAAAAGGCAUUGUAAUUCUCAAUGUCAGUAUAAUAUGCGACCAGAUGAUUUUUGUUUUGAUAAGUUAACUCAGAGCCAUCGGUGUAGUUGGUUCUGUCUACCAUCUUCCCCACACUCUUUGCAGCAUGAAAAUAAGCUACCAAUGGAAAUAAGCUGCCAACUAUUUUGAAAUAAACAAUAUAAAUUACUUAAUAACUAUGUUUGAGGAACUCACAUAGCGGAAGAAUUGGAAGUGUAUCAACAAGAACCCAAAUGUCCAAAUUAUCUUGGUCGAUGUCAGGAUCACCAAGAUCCAUGGUGAUAAACAUACCCUCUUGAAAAUCAUACAUCUUGCCAAUUGCUUCCGAAACCAGGCCACCAAAAUGGGAAAUGCUCUCAGAAUUGUACAGAUUUACCUCAAAAUCCAUACCGUGAUGGGUCCUUAGGUUAAUUUUCUUUGUUUCAUUCCUUCGUGAUCUUUAAAACCCAUCCUCUCCAAGACAUAGCAUCUUGCAUGGCAUGGGAUAAGCUAGUCGAACUGUAAAAGACAAAAUUACAUGUUGAAGUAGUAGAAGUCGAGCUUAAUUACGAAAAAACACUUAGCAUCGUAGCGUAUCGUUUCACAAUCGAAGGCCUCCUUGAGCUUAAUGCUGAAGUGCUGAUCGUCGUCCAGGUGAGGCAUGUCGCAGAAACCCCGGUUGUCGCCGCACCAGGAGCACUCCCCUGGACCUUCUUCGUCCGACGACAUUUCCUAUGUUCAUAAUUCAAAGAUUAAAAUUGUACAAUUAAAUAUAUGUACUACAAAAACUAAAUUAGAUCAUUAUUAUUCAUCACGGAUUAACUAUGGGUCUAUCGAGUCUUUUCUUGAAAACUCUCAGCUCAUGUGGUGUAUAUAUUUGACUGUCGGUGAUGGUAGCUCCUCCUUUCAUUCCCGAGUGCAUUACACCAAAUUGUCUAGCACAUGGGAACGAAGGAGAAGCUACCCCCACAACAACAGUCGGCACAUGGUGGAUACUCUCCCUCACUGAUUCCUCUCUGACAUUUGCGACCGUCGGUGAUGGUCGUUACUCCUUAUUUCCCCUAGUGCAUAACAAAGGUCUAGCACCCGCAGAAGAAGGAGAAACGACCCCCACAACAACAGUCGGUAUUCUUCAUCGACAGUCUUAAAGUCAACCUGAAAUAUCAUUUAAUUAUCUUUCUAGAAAAUCAAGGCCACUCAAUAUUUCCUACAUAUUCUAGCACAAGUCAUGCCAAAAUUCACGAAAAAUUCUGGCAUGACCUUUGCUAAAACAGGACAUAUCGAGCACCUAUAAUUUGCCGGAACGGAAAUUAAUCAACACUCCAGCAAAACAUAGGCCACUCGAAUAUACAUGUUUUUAUCUACAUAGGCCUAUUUGAGCAACACAAGAUAUACAUGUUUUUAUCUACAUCAUAUCUUACAGGACUAAUAUUGACAUGAAGAUUUGGCUGGUCUCACCUCGAGGUCAGAGGGGGUCAGUGACGGGGACGACGGCGGGGAUGAUGGAGGGCCUCCUUGAUUUCUGCAAAAACAAAAACCCUAUAAGUUAUCACUAAUACAUCCCGAAUAGUAUCAUACAUAUAAUAUCACUAAUUGCUUAAACUAAAAAAAUAACAACAAAUAUGACAUGUUCAACUAGUUCUUACUAAAAAUAAACUUACUAUAAAUAGAAAUAAACUAGUUCUUUCUAAAAAUAAACUAGUUCAACUAGUUAUAUUAUUUUUCUUACUAAAAAUACAUUAGUUCUAUUAAUUCAACUAGUGCUUACUAAAAGCAAACUAGUUCAACUAGUUUAUUAAUUUACUUACUAACUAUUUUAAACACUUACUAAAAAUAGUAAAAAAACUACAUUAUACAAUAGUAAAAAACAGAAAAAAAAAGAUGGAGGGAGGAGGAAGAAGGAGAGAGGAGGGGGAGGNNNNNNNNNNNNNNNNNNNNNNNNNNNNNNNNNNNNNNNNNNNNNNNNNNNNNNNNNNNNNNNNNNNNNNNNNNNNNNNNNNNNNNNNNNNNNNNNNNNNNNNNNNNNNNNNNNNNNNNNNNNNNNNNNNNNNNNNNNNNNNNNNNNNNNNNNNNNNNNNNNNNNNNNNNNNNNNNNNNNNNNNNNNNNNNNNNNNNNNNNNNNNNNNNNNNNNNNNNNNNNNNNNNNNNNNNNNNNNNNNNNNGGCGAAGGGUGGAGGGGGAGGGGGCGACCAGAGGAGGAGGAGGGAGGGACGGGGGUGGAGGGGGAGGGGGCGGCCGGGGAAGGAGGAUGGAGGGGGCGGCCGAAGUAGGAGAAGGGAGGGCGGUGGGAGGAGGGCGGUCGGAGGAGGAGGUGGGAGGAGGGAGUACCUCGGCGAGGAGCAGAGCGGCGGCGGACGACGGGUUCGGCGCGGCUGGGCGAGAGCGAGUGAGAGGGAGAGAGUGAGUGACAGGGAACUGCACCGCGCGCUCUAGGAUAAGGUAAGUUAGUAGUAGCGCGUUUCAGAGAAAAGCGCUACUGCUAAGAGAUGUAGCAGUAGCGCUAGCGAGGCUUACGCGCUACUGCUAAGUGUGUCUAGCCAACUGCCCCUAGUCCAAGUAUAGCAGCAGCGUUCUUUGGAGAACGCGCUACUGCUAAAGUAGUAGCAGUAGCGCGGUUUAUUUAAAAUCGCUACUACUAAGUAGCAGUAGCGCCCUGUUUUGUCCAGCGCUACUGCUAAGAUGUUGUGUAUAAGGUUUUCCCUAGUAGUGGUAGCCUCCAAGCAUUCGGGCAACAUGGAAAAGUUGCAUGAAGGGUUUUAGCAGGCGUCGAUGAAGCAGAAGAUGUUGAUGACGGUCGGCUGCGGACCGUAGCCGGCGCGGCUUGCUUCCGGUUGGGGUUCGCGAGCGCACCCACUGGGUGUAGCCUCUGAGCCUCCGGGUAAUUUGGAAAAGUUGGGCGGAGGGUCUUCGCGGUUGUUGGUGCAGACGAUGGCGUCGAGCAUGUCGGUUGCUGCCGGCAUCGGGCGUGCAACAGGCACGGCGUGUUCCGAGUGGGGCCGUGCAAGCGCACCCACUGGGUGUAGCCUCCGAGCCUCCGGGCAACUUGGAAAAGUUGGGCGAAGUGUCUUCCUAUUGAUGAUGAAGCCGACGGCGACGUCGAGGGUGUCGGGUGCAGACACGGAGUCCGCCGGCUGGUGAGCGCGUGCCCUGCCGGGUGCCGCUUGCUUCCAGUGAGUGUGCGCGAGUAUAGGCUUGCUUCUGGUGGGGGCGCGCGAGCGCACCCACUGGGUGUAGCCUCGGAGCCUCCGGGCAACUUGGAAAAGUUGGGCGGAGAGUCUUGUUGUUGAUGAAGCAGACAGUGGCGUUGGAAACAUCGGUUGCAGCCGGCAUCGGGACUGCAACCAGCGUGUAGCCUCCGAACCUUCAGGCGAGGAGGGGGUUCCCCACAGCGAUGACCGUGCAAACACAAGGUUAGUUCGCGCAAAUAUAUCAAGUGUUUGUUUUUGGUAUUGCCAGUUUUAUGCAGAGGGUGCUGACUCGGUUUCGUCCGAGCCCCCUUCAGUCUUUUCAUGUCCCCUUCGUUGUUUGGCUUUGCCUCUUGUUAGCUAGACAGCCGGGAGCCGGUCUGUAGCUGUUACGAAGAGUGGCCGUGUAGUGGAGCGUACAGUAUUCGGACUACAGGAGCAGAUUCGAUCGAGUAGAUACUCAUAAAGGAAAUGCCUGGGUUGCCCAAGCCGUCUUCUCUCAGACGUUUUUCGCGUGGGGUGACUUCCAGCUUUUGCUCUCGCUUGCCGAACAGCUGCAUGGCGGUCUGUGGCUGAGAGUGGGCCUUCUGUACCGUAUGCACUACUAAGUCGUCGAACAACCGUUUACCUUGCUGGAAAUUAAAGAGGUUUGUUUUGGGAUGAAAAGAAAUAAAAUUCCAAGCCUUGAUGGCUUUCCAGCCGAUUUUUGCCAUGAUUUCUGGGAUUUGGUGAAGUAGGAUUUGAAGAAACUUGUUGAUGAGUUUGACAUGGGAAGAUUAGGUAUCUCUAGAUUGAAUUAUGGGAUCAUUACUAUGGUCCCAAAAAAUGCUAAUGCUAAAUAGAUACAACAUUUCAGACCAAUUUGUUUGCUUAAUGCCAGUUUCAAAAUAAUUAUUAAAGUGCUUAUGAACAGGUUAGGGUUAUGUGUCUCCCCAGUUAUCGCUCCUACUCAGACUGCUUUUAUUAAGGGGAGGUGCAUUAUGGAAGGAAUAGUGAUCUUGCAUGAGGCCUUGAACACUAUACACACUAAAAAAUAGAGUGCUUUGAUUUUUAAAGUGGAUUUUGGAAAAGCCUAUGAUAAAAUCAAAUGGCCCUUUGUGCUUAAGAUGUUGAAACUUAAAGGGUUUCCAGACAAAUGGUGUGAUUGGGUGAUGAUGACUAUGAGAGGAGGGCAAGUUGGGGUUAGGGUUAAUGACAAGAUUGGUCCUUAUUUCAAAACAUUUAAGGGGUUGAGGCUAGGAGAUGUUAUGUCUCCCUCAUUGUUUGUUCUGGCAGCUGAGUUGCUCUAGCUGUUAUACUAAAUAAUGCUAAGAAUAAUGACAUAGUAAAUGGUGUGCGGAGAAGUGAUAAUAAUAAAGGUAUUAACAUGAUACAAUAUGCUAAUGACACAAUAUUUUUGUUGCAAGAUGAUAUUGAAAAUGCAAAAAAUCUGAAAUUCAUAUUUGUGCUUUUGAGUAGAUGCUAGGUUUGAAAAUUAUUUUCACAAAAGUGAGCUCCUCCUCUUUGGGGAAGCUGCUUGUGAACAAACCUCCCAAAUGAUAUGGUUGUGGCCGACCAGCUCGAGUGCCUCCAUGGUCGCCGAGGAGGCAACCUGGGAUCCUCCCAGCUGGUAGAUCUGGUCGUCGUUGUCCAGUAGGCCAAGAUCCGGAGUAGCCAUCCCGCGCGCGGCCGUUAGGGUCAUCCGGUGUGCUGCCACCAUGGAUGCCAAGCACGUGGACGUCGUGGCCAUCCCACCUAGCGAAGGCGUCGCCAGGUGUGUACGGAGGCUGUGGCGAAGUAGGUGUGGGGGAGGGAGUGUUGGAAAUAUGCCCUAGAGGCAAUAAUAAAUAAGUUAUUAUUAUAUUUCUUUGUUCAUGAUAAUAGUCUUUUAUUCAUGCUAUAACUGUAUUAUCCGGAAAUCGUAAUACACGUGUGAAUACAUAGACCACAAUAUGUCCCUAGUGAGCCUCUAGUUGACUAGCUCGUUGUGAUCAACAGAUAGUCAUGGUUUCCUGGCUAUGGACAUUGGAUGUCGUUGAUAACGGGAUCACAUCAUUAGGAGAAUGAUGUGAUGGACAAGACCCAAUCCUAAGCAUAGCACAAAGAUCGUGUAGUUCAUUUGCUAGAGCUUUGCCAAUGUCAAGUAUCUCUUCCUUUGACCAUGAGAUCGUGUAACUCCUGGAUACCGUAGGAGUGCCUUGGGUGUAUCAAACGUCACAACGUAACUGGGUGACUAUAAAGGUACACUACAGGUAUCUCCGAAAGUAUCUAUUGUUUUAUGCGGAUCGAGACUGGGAUUUGUCACUCCGUGUAAACGGAGAGGUAUCUCUGGGCCCACUCGGUAGGACAUCAUCAUAUGCGCAAUGUGACCAAGGAGUUGAUCACGGGAUGAUGUGUUACGGAACGAGUAAAGUGACUUGCCGGUAACGAGAUUGAACAAGGUAUCGAUAUACCGACGAUCGAAUCUCGGGCAAGUAAAAUACCGCUAGACAAAGGGAAUUGUAUACGGGAUCGAUUGAGUCCUUGACAUCAUGGUUCAUCCGAUGAGAUCAUCGUGGAACAUGUGGGAGCCAACAUGGGUAUCAGAUCCCGCUGUUGGUUAUUGACCGGAGAACGUCUCGGUCAUGUCUGCAUGUCUCCCGAACCCGUAGGGUCUACACACUUAAGGUUCGAUGAUGCUAGGGUUAUAAAGGAAGCUUGUAUGUGGUUACCGAAUGUUGUUCGGAGUCCCGGAUGAGAUCCCGGACGUCACGAGGAGUUCCGGAAUGGUCCGUAGGUAAAGAUUUAUAUAUAGGAAGUCCUGUUUCGGCCAUCGGGACAAGUUUCGGGGUCAUCGGUAUUGUACCGGGACCACCGGAAGGGUCCCGGGGGCCCACCGGGUGGGGCCACCUGCCCCGGGGGGCCACAUGGGCUGUAGGGGGUGCGCCUUGGCCUACAUGGGCCAAGGGCACCAGCCCCAAGAGGCCCAUGCGCCUAGGGAACCCUAGAGGGAAGAGUCCUCAAGGGGGAAGGCACCUCCGAGGUGCCUUGGGGAGGAUGGACUCCUCCCCCCUCUUGGCCGCCGCACCAGAUGCCAUCUGGAGGCUGGCCGCCGCCCCUUGGGGUGGGAAACCCUAAAGGGGGCGCAGCCCUCCCCUUCCCCUAUAUAUAUGAGGCCUAGGGGCUGCCCAUAACACGCGAUUUGAUCUCUCGUUGGUGCAGCCCUGCCUCUCUCCCUCCUCCUCUUCUCCCAUGGUGCUUGGCGAAGCCCUGCGGGAUUGCCACGCCCCUCCACCACCACCACGCCGUUGUGCUGCUGUUGGAUGGAGUCUUCCUCAACCUCUCCCUCUCUCCUUGCUGGAUCAAGGCGUGGGAGACGUCACCGGGCUGUACGUGUGUUGAACGCGGAGGUGCCGUCCGUUCGGCACUUGAUCAUCGGUGAUCUGAAUCACGACGAGUACGACUCCAUCAACCCCGUUCACUUGAACGCUUCCGCUUAGCGAUCUACAAGGGUAUGUAGAUGCACUCUCCUUUCUACUCGUUGCUGGUCUCUCCAUAGAUAGAUCUUGGUGUUACGUAGGAAAAUUUUGAAUUUCUGCUACGUUCCCCAACAGUGGCAUCAGAGCUAGGUCUAUUGCGUAGAUUCUUUGCACGAGUAGAACACAAAGUAGUUGUGGGCGUUGAUGUUGUUCAAUAUGCUUACCGUUACUAGUCCAAUCUUGUUUCGACGGUAUUGUGGGAUGAAGCGGCCCGGACCGACCUUACACGUACUCUUACGUGAGACAGGUUCCACCGAUUGACAUGCACUUGGUGCAUAAGGUGGCUAGCGGGUGCCAGUCUCUCCCACUUUAGUCGAAACGGAUUCGAUGAAAAGGGUCCUUAUGAAGGGUAAAUAGCAAUUGGCAUAUCACGUUGUGGUCUUGCGUAGGUAAGAAACGUUCUUGCUAGAAACCCAUAGCAGCCACGUAAAACAUGCAAACAACAAUUAGAGGACGUCUAACUUGUUUUUGUAGGGUAUGCUAUGUGAUGUGAUAUGGCCAAGAAGAAUGUGAUGAAUGAUAUGUGAUGUAUGAGAUUGAUCAUGUUCUUGUAAUAGGAUUCACGACUUGCAUGUCGAUGAGUAUGACAACCGGCAGGAGCCAUAGGAGUUGUCUUUAUUUUUUGUAUGACCUGCGUGUCAUUAAAGAAUGCCAUGUAACUUACUUUACUUUAUUGCUAAACGUUAGUCAUAGAAGUAGAAGUAGUCGUUGGCGUGACAACUUCAUGAAGACACGAUGAUGGAGAUCAUGAUGAUGGAGAUCAUGGUGUCAUGCCGGUGACAUGAUGAUCAUGGAGCCCCGAAGAUGAAGAUCAAAAGGAGCAAAAUGAUAUUGGCCAUAUCAUGUCACUAUUUGAUUGCAUGUGAUGUUUAUCAUGAUUAUGCAUCUUGUUUACUUAGGACGACGGUAGUAAAUAAGAUGAUCCCUUACAAAAUUUCAAGAAGUGUUCUCCCCUAACUGUGCACCGUUGCUACAGUUCGUCGCUUCUAAGCACCACGUGAUGAUCGGGUGUGAUGGAUUCUUACGUUCACAUACAACGGGUGUAAGACACUUUUACACAGCGAAAACACUUAGGGUUAACUUGACGAGCCUAGCAUGUGCAGACAUGGCCUCGGAACACGGAGACCGAAAGGUCGAGCAUGAGUCGUAUAGUAGAUACGAUCAACAUGAAGAUGUUCACCGACGUUAACUAGUCCGCCUCACGUGAUGAUCGGACACGGGCUAGUUGACUCGGAUCAUGUAAUCACUUAGAUGACUAGAGGGAUGUCUAUCUGAGUGGGAGUUCAUAAGAUGAACUUAAUUAUCCUGAACAUAGUCAAAAGACCUUUUGCAAAUUAUGUCGUAGCUCGCGCUAUAGUUCUACUGUUUUAGAUAUAUUCCUAGAGAAAUUAUAGUUGAAAGUUGAUAGUAGCGAUUAUGCGAUCAGUAGAAAGCUUAUGUCCUUAAUGCACCGCUUAGUGUGCUGAACCCCAAACGUCGUUUGUCGAUGUUGCGAACAUCGGACAUACACGUUUUGAUAACUACGUGAUAGUUCAGUUAAAUGGUUUAAGUAGAGGCACCAAAGACGUUUUCGAAACGUCGCGGAACAUAUGAGAUGUUUCGAGGGCUGAAAUUGGGAUUUCAGGCUCGUGCCCACGUCAAGAGGUAUGAGACCUCCGGCGAUUUUCUUAGCCUGCAAACUAAGGGAGAAAAGCUCAAUCGUUGAGCUUGUGCUCAGAUUGUCUGAGUGCAACAAUCACUUGAAUCAAGUGGGAGUUAAUCUUCCAGAUGAGAUAGUGAUGUUUCCCCAAAGUCAUUGCCACCGAGCUGCUAGAGCUUCGUGAUGAACUAUAACAUAUCAGGGAUAAAUAAGAUGAUCCUUGAGGUAUUCACGAUGUUUGACACCGCGAAAGUAGAAAUCAAGAAGGAGCAUCAAUUGUUGAUGGUUGGUGAAACCACUAGUUUCAAGAAGGGCAAGGGCAAGAAGGGAUACUUCAUGAAACGGCAAAUCAGCUGCUGCUCCAGUGAAGAAACCCAAGGUUGAACCCAAACCCGAGAAUAAGUGCUUCUGUAAUAAGGGGAACAGUCACUAGAGCAGAAUUACCCUAGAUACUUGGUAGAUGAGAAGGAUGGCAAGGUCGAUAGAAGUAUAUUGGAUAUACAUUAUGUUAAUGUGUACUUUACUAGUACUCCUAGUAGCACCAGGGUAUAAGAUACCGGUUCGGUUGCUAAGUGUUAGUAACUCGAAAUAAAAGGCUACGGAAAAAACGGAGACUAGCUAAAGGUGAGCUGACGAUAUGUGUUGGAAGUGUUUCCAAUGUUGAUAUGAUCAAGCAUCGCAUGCUCCCUCUACCAUCGAGAUUUGGUGUUUGCGUUGAGCAUAGACAUGAUUGGAUUAUGUCUAUCGCAACACGGUUAUUCAUUUAAAGAGAAUAAUGGUUACUCUAUUUAUUUUAAUACCUUCAAUGGUCUUGCACCUAAAAUGAAUGGCUCAUUGAAAUCUCGAUCGUAGUGAUACACAUGUUCAUGCCAAAAGAUAGUAAUGAUAGUACCACCUAUUUGUGGCACUGCCACAUAAGUCAUAUCGGUAUAAAAUGCAUGAAGAAGCUCCAUGUUGAUGGAUCUUUGGACUCACUCAUUUUUGAAAAGUUUGAGACAUGCGAACCAUGUCUAUUGGUGUAUAUGCAUGAAGAAACUCCAUGCAAAUGGACCGUUCGGACUUACUUGAUUUUGAAUCACUUGAGAUAUGCAAAUCAUACCACAUAGGCAAGAUGACUGAAAAGCCUCGGUUUCAAUAAGAUGGAACAAGAUAGCAACUUGUUGGAAGUAACACAUUUUGAUGUGUGCAGUCCAAUAAGUGCUGAGGCAUGCAGUGAAUAUCGUUAUGUUCUUACUUCACAGAUGAUUCGAGUAGAUGUUGAAAAUAUUUACUUGAUGAAACACAAGUCUGAAUUAUUGAAUGGUUCAAGUAAUUUCAGAGUGAAGUAAAAGAUCAUUGUGACAAGAGGAUAAAAUGUCUAUGAUACGAUCAUAGAGAUGAAUAUCUGAGUUACGAGUUUUGGCACACAAUUAAGACAUUGUGGAAAGUGUUUCACAAUUAAUACCGCCUGGAACACCAUAGUGUGAUGGUGUGUCCGAACAUCAUAGUUGCACCCUAUUGGAUAUGGUGUGUACCAUGAUGUCUCUUAUCGAAUUACCACUAUCGUUCAUGGGUUAGGCAUUAGAGACAACCACAUUCACUUUAAAUAGGGCACCGCGUAAUUCCGUUGAGAUGACACCGUAUGAAUUAUGGUUUAGAGAAACCUAAGUUGUCGUUUCUUAAAAGUUUGGGGCUGCGACGCUUAUAUGAAAAAGUUUCAGGUUGAUAAGCUCGAACCCAAAGCGGAUAAAAUGCAUCUUCAUAGGAAACCCAAAACAGUUGGGUAUACCUCCUAAUUCAGAUCCGAAAGCAAUAUGAAUUGUUUCUAGAAUCGGGUCCUUUCUCGAGGAAAGGUUUCUCUCGAAAGUGUUGAGUGGGAGGAUGGUGGAGACUUGACGAGGUUAUUGAACCGUCUCUUCAACUAGUGUGUGGCAGGGCAUAGGAAGUUGUUCCUGUGGCACCUACACCAAUUGAAGUGGAAGCUUAUGAUAGUGAUCAUGAAGCUUCGGAUCAAGUCACUACCGAACCUCGUAGGACGACAAGGACACGUACUACUUCGGAGUGGUAAGGUGAUCCUGUCUUGAAGGUCAUGUUGCUAGACAACAAUGAAACUACGAGCUAUGGAGAAGCGAUGGUGGGCCCGGAUUCCGAUAAAUGGCUCGAGGCCAGAAAAUCCGAGAACGGAUCCAUGGACUUUGGUGGACUUGCCCGAUGAUCGGCAAGCCAUUAAGAUAAAUGGAUCUUCAAAAGGAAGACGGACAAUGAUGGUAAAUGUCACCAUUAAGAAAGCUCGACUUGUCGUUAAGAUGUUUUCCGACAAGUUCAAGGAGUUGACUACGAUGAGAUUUUCUCACUCGUAGCGAUGCUAAGAGUCUGUUGGAAUUAUAUUAGCGAUUACUGCAUUAUUUAUGAAAUCUUGGAGAUAGGAUGUCAAAACAUUGUUUCCUCGACGAUUUUCUUGAGGAAAGGUUGUAUGUGAUACAACCGGAAGGUUUUGUCAAUCCCGAAAGAUGCUAAUAAGUAUGCAAAGCUCCAGCAAUCCUUCUAAGGACUGGAGUGAGCAUCUCGGAGUUGGAAUGUAUGCUUUGAUGAUCAAAGAUUUUGGGUUUGUACAAAGUUUAUGAGAAACUUGUAUUUCCAAAGAAGUGAGUGGGAGCACUAUAGAAUUUCUGAUGAGUAUAUGUUGUUGACAUAUUGAUGAUCAGAAAUGAUGUAGAAUUUCUGGAAAGCAUAUAGGGUUAUUUGAAAUGUGUUUUUCAAUAGAAAACCUGGAUUAAACUACUUGAGCAUUGAGCAUCAAGAUCUAUAAGGAUAGAUCAAAAUGCUUAAUGGUACUUUCAAAUGAGCACAUACCUUGACAUGAUCUUGAAGGACCAGUCAAAGAAGGAGUUCUUGCCUGAGUUGUAAGGUACGAAGUUAAGACUUAAAGCUCGACCACGGCAGAAUAGAGAGAAAGGACGAAGGUCGUCCCCUAUGCUUAAGACGUAGGCUCUUCAGUAUGCUAUGCUGUGUACCGCACCUGAAGUGUGCCUUGCCAUGAGUCAGUCAAGGGGUACAAGAGUGAUCCAAGAAUGGCUCACAGGACAGCGGUCAAAGUUAUCCUUAUUAACUAGUGGACUAAGGAAUUUUUCUCAAUUAUGGAGGUGGUAAAAGAGUUCGUCGUAAAGGGUUAUGACGAUGCAAGCUUGACACCUAUCCGGAUAGCUCUGAGUAGAGAUACCGGAUACAUAUAAUGGAGCAACAAUUUAGAAUAGCUCCAAGUAGAACAGUUAUUUGGAUUAGCUCCAAAUAGAGCGUGGUAGCUGCAUCUAUGAGAUGACAUAGAGAUUUGUAAAACACACACGGAUCUGAAAGGUUCAGACCCAUUGACUAAAACCUCUCUCACAAGCAACAUGAUCAAACAUAAAACUCAUUGAGUGUUAAUCACAUAGUGAUGUGAACUAGACUACUGACUCUAGUAAACUCUUGGGUAUUAGUCACAUGGCGAUGUGACCUGUGAGUGUUAAUCACAUGGCGAUGUGAACUAGAUUAUUGACUCUAGUGCAAGUGGGAGAUUGUUGGAAAUAUGCCCUAGAGGCAAUAAUAAAUAAGUUAUUAUUAUAUUUCUUUGUUCAUGAUAAUAGUCUUUUAUUCAUGCUAUAACUGUAUUAUCCGGAAAUCGUAAUACACGUGUGAAUACAUAGACCACAAUAUGUCCCUAGUGAGCCUCUAGUUGACUAGCUCGUUGUGAUCAACAGAUAGUCAUGGUUUCCUGGCUAUGGACAUUGGAUGUCGUUGAUAACAGGAUCACAUCAUUAGGAGAAUGAUGUGAUGGACAAGACCCAAUCCUAAGCAUAGCACAAAGAUCGUGUAGUUCAUUUGCUAGAGCUUUGCCAAUGUCAAGUAUCUCUUCCUUUGACCAUGAGAUCGUGUAACUCCUGGAUACCGUAGGAGUGCCUUGGGUGUAUCAAACGUCACAACGUAACUGGGUGACUAUAAAGGUACACUACAGGUAUCUCCGAAAGUAUCUAUUGUUUUAUGCGGAUCGAGACUGGGAUUUGUCACUCCGUGUAAACGGAGAGGUAUCUCUGGGCCCACUCGGUAGGACAUCAUCAUAUGCGCAAUGUGACCAAGGAGUUGAUCACAGGAUGAUGUGUUACGGAACGAGUAAAGUGACUUGCCGGUAACGAGAUUGAACAAGGUAUCGGUAUACCGACGAUCGAAUCUCGGGCAAGUAAAAUACCGCUAGACAAAGGGAAUUGUAUACGGGAUCGAUUGAGUCCUUGACAUCGUGGUUCAUCCGAUGAGAUCAUCGUGGAACAUGUGGGAGCCAACAUGGGUAUCCAGAUCCCGCUGUUGGUUAUUGACCGGAGAACGUCUCGGUCAUGUCUGCAUGUCUCCCGAACCCGUAGGGUCUACACACUUAAGGUUCGAUGAUGCUAGGGUUAUAAAGGAAGCUUGUAUGUGGUUACCGAAUGUUGUUCGGAGUCCCGGAUGAGAUCCCGGACGUCACGAGGAGUUCCGGAAUGGUCCGGAGGUAAAGAUUUAUAUAUAGGAAGUCCUGUUUCGGCCAUCGGGACAAGUUUCGGGGUCAUCGGUAUUGUACCGGGACCACCGGAAGGGUCCCGGGGGCCCACCGGGUGGGGCCACCUGCCCCGGGGGGCCACAUGGGCUGUAGGGGGUGCGCCUUGGCCUACAUGGGCCAAGGGCACCAGCCCCAAGAGGCCCAUGCGCCUAGGGAACCCUAGAGGGAAGAGUCCUCAAGGGGGAAGGCACCUCCGAGGUGCCUUGGGGAGGAUGGACUCCUCCCCCCUCUUGGCCGCCGCACCAGAUGCCAUCUGGAGGCUGGCCGCCGCCCCUUGGGGUAGGAAACCCUAAAGGGGGCGCAGCCCUCCCCUUCCCCUAUAUAUAUGAGGCCUAGGGGCUGCCCAUAACACGCGAUUUGAUCUCUCGUUGAUGCAGCCCUGCCUCUCUCCCUCCUCCUCUUCUCCCAUGGUGCUUGGCGAAGCCCUGCGGGAUUGCCACGCCCCUCCACCACCACCACGCCGUUGUGCUGCUGUUGGAUGGAGUCUUCCUCAACCUCUCCCUCUCUCCUUGGUGGAUCAAGGCGUGGGAGACGUCACCGGGCUGUACGUGUGUUGAACGCGGAGGUGCCGUCCGUUCGGCACUUGAUCAUCGGUGAUCUGAAUCACGACGAGUACGACUCCAUCAACCCCGUUCACUUGAACGCUUCCGCUUAGCGAUCUACAAGGGUAUGUAGAUGCACUCUCCUUUCUACUCGUUGCUGGUCUCUCCAUAGAUAGAUCUUGGUGUUACGUAGGAAAAUUUUGAAUUUCUGCUACGUUCCCCAACAGGGAGAGCCAGAGGGGGGGAUCACCAUCGGCUGUGAUGAUUGGGAGAGGGGUGGAUUUAAGAUUGAGAGUUAGGGUUAGGGGUUAAAUUUAUAGGGUACGGCACAACAAUGGGCCAUUCUGGGCCAAUACAUUAUUAGCCUCGCGGACCAGCAAUAUGCAGGCCAAGAGAUCAUGUCAUUGGAAAAAUGGGUUUAGGUUAAUUAUCUUUGCUCAAAUAAAUAUUAUGGUAUGGUAUGGUAUGGGUAUAGGAAUAAGGCUUCAUGUUUGGGUUAGGGACUAUACUAAAUGUCAAAAUUAGGCAUCUUUUUAAAACCAUCUGCAAUUUUUUAGGAAUUAAAUGCAUUUCUAUCAAUUUACUGAAUAUAUUUCAAAUUUGAAUUACAUGUACUUUAAAAUGGUCUCUAAAUGAAAAAAAAAAUCAUGUUCAAGCACUUACGUAACUCAUAGCAUCCUUUCAAAAAAGAUGAAAAUUUUAAAAUUUUCUUUUGAAAAUACUAUACAAUUAGAAGCAUCCUAUUUGUUUUAAUUUUUCUAUAAAAUAUAUAUGCGGUUUUAAAUAUGAUGAAAUUUUGUUUGGGUUCAUCAUAUUACCUAAUGAGGCUCCAUUAAAAAAUCCAUAAAUUUUCAUAACAGUGUAAGCAUACAUUGAUUGAUUUAUAAUUCAAACAUCUACCUAUAAGUGAUUUAGCAGUCCAAGGGGAAGUAGGAAGUCUGUAGUCCACAUCAAGGUUUGCUCAUCAUUUUCACUUGAUUUUGUACUACAAAUAGAUAUUGUGGUAAUGUACACUAAUAUACCUCCAUGUUCCAUCUUUUUAUGUAAUGAUUUGUAUUUCUUAUUGUCUUCGACACACCAAAUUAAGUUACCAUGUGGGGUGCCUACCAAAACCAUUGAUUUCAAAUGCACCAAACUUUUCUACAUGCGACAUACCUUAUUUGUUUGUUCAUGUCAAAUAAGCCGAGGACGCUCCAGUCAGUGAGUUUCGUUGCAGUGAUGUAAAGUGCUCAUACUUUAUUAGUACUACUCAAGAAAAUAACAACAAUUCCCGGUCGCCGGUGUUGACGUAUAAUGUGCUGACUAUUCUCUCCUAUUAGAUCGGUCUUUUGAUUGCAUUGGCUAGAGCAUGCACUUCUACAUGGUAUUGGAGCCAAGAGGUUUUUAGAUCAAGACCCGGCUGGCGCAAUUAAAUUGCAGCCCACUUUCGGUCCACGUUUAGGUCUGAAGGGGCCAAACUUGAGAAAGCCGGCUAGACGGCGAGAUCCCGCGCUGCUUUCAUCAGAGACGGCCGCUCAUCCGCCAACGCUCCCCGCGGCGUCUGGAAACGGCAGCAACUAGUAAAUGAAGGUGAGCGCAAGGUUGUAGAUGGUACUCUACACACGCCGACGUUACCGGCAGUGUUUAAUCGCUUGUGAACAUUGCAUUGUUCUCUCUUCGGUUCGUAUAGAAAGAGUAGAAAAGAAAAUAGUGGCACUAUUCAUAUGUCUAGUGUAAAAAGAGCUGAAGAAAAGGAGAUUUGGGUGCGGCGUUUCUGCUCCCNNNNNNNNNNUCUUUUGAUUGCAUUGGCUAGAGCAUGCACUUCUACAUGGUAUUGGAGCCAAGAGGUUUUGAGAUCAAGACCCGGCUGGCGCAAUUAAAUUGCAGCUCACUUUCGGUCCACGUUUAGGUCUGAAGGGGCCACACUUGACGACGCCGACUAGACGGCGAGAUCCCGUGCUGCUUUCAUCAGAGACGGCCGCUCAUCCGCCAACACUCCCCGCGGCGUCUGGAAACGGCAGCAACUAGUAAAUGAAGGUGAGCGCAAGGUUGUAGAUGGUACUCUACACACGCACACGUUACCGGCAGUGUUUAAUCGCUUGUGAACAUUGCAUUGUUCUCUCUUCGGUUCGUAUAGAAAGAGUAGAAAAGAAAAUAGUGGCACUAUUCAUAUGUCUAGUGUAAAAAGAGCUGAAGAAAAGGAGAUUUGGGUGCGGCGUUUCUGCUCCCGANNNNNNNNNNNNNNNNNNNNNNNNNNNNNNNNNNNNNNNNNNNNNNNNNNNNNNNNNNNNNNNNNNGGAAAAUCGAAACAAAAAAAAUCAGAAAAUUCUAAUUUUUUUGUGUGAUAGACAAUUGUAUGCGUGAAGAAAUUUGGAUUUUUUUAGUAUUUGUUUUGAUUUUUUUUGACCGGGUGCAGAUGAGCCUGGGCACCGAAUUGGAUUUUCGAUUUUGUUUUUGCUUUAGUAGCGUAAUAAACAUUGUAAUGAAAUAAUUUACUUUUUGUGAUUUUUUUUCCUUUUUUUUGUUUCAAUUUGUCCGUGUUAAUGGAUUCCAGUGUUUCGGAUUCACUCUCUACCAACUACCAACGCUCGAUAGCACCUUAAAAGUUGUAUUCUUUUAGAAUAGAAAAACAAGUGAGUUCAUAAGAGAAGUGUUAUACAAAGCAUGGAUGCAUAUGAACCCAUUUUUAUAAUCUUAAAGGAAAGUUACAAUUGUACUUUGCGUCAAUGUAGACACAGCGGUGCGCGUGCCAGCUGCACGGCCUUGAACCAUCUCUCUCGCGACAAACGGUGCUCGCAUACGUAGCGUGCUCGCCGGGGCACAACUAAUAUUGCCGAUGCGUUCUCGUCUUGUAAUGAAGAGAAAUUGAUAGAGCACCAUUAUGCGAGAUCGGCCAAACCUUGCCAUCAUGCAGACAAUUGGAAGGAUGCUACAUUGCUAUAUCUACCAACAAGUGUUCCAAUGUGGAUGUAUCCAAGAGCAAAAGUGAAUCAUCAUUCUUGAUUAACACAUGAUUCACUAUAACCAAGUAGUAUUUAUGAUUGAAAUCUUCUUUUGAAGUACAUCCAUAUAUGUACUAAUGUUAUGAUCUUAUAUAGAGUACUAGUGACAUUGUUUACAUAUAAAAGGAAAAUUGCCUUUCACUUCACUAAGCGUGAUGAUGUAUAUUUGGGGUAUUUCAUAUGGACAAACGAAAAGUGUUUUUGGCACUGGCAUUCAUGCAAGAUUGGCUUUAUCAGCUACUGUACAACAGAAGGAUCACACUUUCUGUUAUGAAUAUGUCAAACAAGUAUGGGAUGCUAUUACAAGUAAGGAUAAAUUUCGUGACUUGGAUAAUUAAAUCCAAAGCACAACAACCUCUCAAUCGACUGAAUCUAUCCAAAUGGUUACCCGUUCUUCGUUUGUAAGCAAAGGAAAAACAACAACCAAGUAUUGCAAGCAAAACUAGCUAGCUCUAAGAGAUACUAACAAUUGAUUCCAUGAAAAGAAUGGCAUUCCUCUUGUUUUGCGAAAAUUAGUAUGCCGCUUUGCUAGCAGAUUUUGGUUGCUUGCGUGCGGGGAGUGUUGGCAGAUGAGCGUUGAACGUACCAAGGUGCAUGCACGUCCAUGCGAGUGACGCCCUUGAUAUCCUCAGGCUGUGUUUAAGCGUAUAGAUCAUAAUCAAACGACGAGUCACUCAAGUUGCAGACGAGUACACGAUUUGACCACAUUUGCAGACGAGUACACGUUCAGACGAGUAUGUGCGCGUCCUACUGUACAUACAGAAGAAAAAAAAGUCCAGCUGGAGCCUGGAAGCUUCAAGCACACGGACGGUUGCAGCUGUUGCAUGCAUGUGACGUGAGGAGUGCACUGGCCCGCCGCCCGCCGCUUGUACUCGCCUGCAAAUGUAUUUGUCAAACGUAUUUCGUGGCAACUUCAGUUAGAUGGGCGCCAGUGACUCAUCGUGAGGCCAUCAUCAUCCAUAGACACGAGGAUAGAGAGGCCGACACACACAUGGACGGACGGGCGCCUAGGUGCGGCCGAGAACGCGCUCCAGUCACAGAGUUUCAGUUACCCGUUGCUGUGCUGUAAAGUGCUGCAACUUCACUGCAGAAAAGAACAACGAGUUGCUCGCGGAUCGCCGGAGUCCCACCUCCUCCGGUGGCCGCUCCUCUGUGCGACGUGAGGAAACGGAAGCAACCAGUAACCGAGCGAGCGAGGAGCGGGCGGCGAGAUCGCGGGCUGGUCUGACCGAAACGGACGUGGCGCGCGUCACUGCGGCUGCACCGCCUCCAACACUCCCGUCGCGACAACGCUUGCUGAUGCUACGUACAGCCCGGGGAUGGAAGUGAACUGGCACCAGGGUGACCACGCCCAGUCACCAGUGUUUCGGAUGCUUCAUCGGUCUUUUUUUUUCGUUUCAAAAUGUAUCAAUUUAUUUCGUUGUCUACAAUGGCGAAGACAGGAAUAAUUUUCAGGUGUGACGGAGUUUGUAAAAAAGAAAACCAUGUAUAAUAUGAUUAUAAAGGCUCGCUAGAAUAUUAGAUGUAUAUUUACUCUGCCUCAAAUUACUAGUCGUAGGUAUGCCUAAGAUAUAGAUGUAUUUAGACAUGUUUUAGUAUUAGAUACAUCCAUAUCUAGAAAAAGUUAAGACAAGUAAUUUAAGACAGAGGUACUACUUUAUAUUUAGCAAAUAUACAAGACAAAUCCAAAAAAUGAGUACUCACACUCAAAAUACAUCACUAGAUUUAAAUUAUAUGGAUGAAUGUUCACCAAUUUAAUAAAGGAAAUUAAUCCAUUAGUAUUUCAACAAAGGGAAGGCACUAGAUAAACUAAAAUCGGAGAACGUAAUUACGUAUAUUUGAUCUGAUAUAGUCCAAUUUCAGUUAACAUAUUCGCAAACAAAAAACAAUUUCAGUUAACGUGGCGCCAUCUGCUCACCCUCGGGGCCUCGCCGAGUAGGCGUUGCCAUAUACUGGUCAGAGCCUCGCCUCGCCGGUGAACAGCCGCCACCUGCCACUGGCGCCACCGCCCCGGCGUACUGCCCUGCCUGUUGUGCCUCCGUCACGCAGAUCACGGUCUAGAACAAGUACACGCACAGUCGAAACUCGGAAGGUUUCAGCCAUAAUCCAUGCCAUAAUCCAUGUGCAGACGUGACGUGUAGUCAAGCCACGGACUCGACCCAUCAGCAGCUAAGCCCAGCUUAAAACUUAAAUAUUGUAUCAAACUAAUACUGUACGUACGUACUUGGGUCGAAGUUUAGGUAUGGCAUGCACCAAACCUCGCCAGAUACCUGGCUUCGCCACUGGUUGUCUACCAACAAAUUUGAUUUAAAACAAGCGCACUCUUGAUUGUCCGUACACAAUAAAACACUACGAUGCACUCUGAAACAUGGAGAAAAACAUCCUGUGGAUGUAUGGACGGUGAAUACAUGGAACGAAUCUCAAAGCAACGACGGAAUGUUUUGAUGUAUCAUGUAUCCACGGUAUAUUCCAUGCUUGGUGGAAAAGACACUCUCGAAAACUCUACCUCAAAACGAAAAGACAUAAAACUAACCGAGACGGCGAGAUGUCACGGUAGCCCCUCUAGAAUUUAUAAUGUUAACUUCAACAAACUUAUUAGAAAACAAGUGCACUAUUAUUUGAUUGAAAUUAGCACUUGCCACCCCUAGUGGGAAUGAUAAAAUAAUAAAGCUACAACCUAAGGCACUAAUUUGCAGUGUGGUUUUCUCAUUGUUGUUUUUCUAAUAAGUUGGGGAUGGUCAUAAUUGCUUAUGACACUUUACAUGGGUAUGUAUAUAUAUUCUAAUACUAUGUGCAUGAUGUUUUUUGUACUUUUAAUAGAAGUACAAAUUUUACCAAAUUUUAGAAAAAGGUCUUGUGUAAUAGGUUCUGAAAACUCUCUAACCCAUGUUUACUUCAUAUAUUUUUUCCAAUUAAGGAGUAUGGGCUAUCGGUUCCAUAAAAAAUGGGACAAAAGUGUCGAGUAAUAAAAAAAGCGGGGAUGGCGCCACAACCACAUUAUCCGCUAUCCACUAAAGCAACACAAAUAAGAUAAAUAACUUUACCUGGACAUCUAUAAGUUUCUCAUAUCUACUCUGUAAUCUCGCAACUCUAGAAAGCUUACAAUCCUUAUCGCUUUUGUUUGUGCACGCAGCUCAAGACGGCGGCCGAGGUGCUCCGUGCGCCAAGUCCCCGGCUCGAUACGGCGGAGGACGGAACGAGUGGGAGGGCGCCAGGGCUUCUCCGGUGGCAACGAUGAGCUCGGUGAUGUGGCCAAGCCAAGCGUCGUAGCCGGCGUUGGCCGAGCGGGAGCGGGAGCGGAGCAACUCUCGUGCCAUGACCAGCACGGCCUGCGCGUUCCGCGGCCCGCGGCGGUCGAGGGAAGAAGAGGCCAUGGCGGUGCGAACAUCGGGCUGCACAGAGACGUGGGCAGCGGGGUCGGUGGCAGCGGCGGCCGCGGCAUUGGCAGACUGCUGGCGGUGAAGGAAAUAUGCCCUAGAGGCAAUUAUAAAGUUAUUAUUUAUUUCCUCAUAUCAUGAUAAAUAUUUGUUAUUCAUGCUAGAAUUGUAUUAACCGGAAACAUAAUACAUGUGUGAAUACAUAGACAAACAUAGUAUCACUAGUAUGCCUCUACCUGACUAGCUCGUUGAUCAAAGAUGGUUGUGUUUCCUAGCCAUAGACAUGAGUUGUCAUUUGAUUAACAGGAUCACAUCAUUAGGAGAAUGAUGUGAUUGACUUGACACAUUCCGUUAGUUUAGCACUUGAUCGUUUAGUAUGUUGCUAUUGCUUUCUUCAUGACUUAUACAUGUUCCUAUGAUUAUGAGAUUGUUCAACUCCCAUUUACCGGAGGAACACUUUGUGUGCUACCAAACGUCACAACGUAUUAUAAAGGAGCUCUACAGGUGUCUCCGAAGGUACAUGUUGAGUUGGCGUAUUUCAAGAUUAGGAUUUGUCACUCCGAUUGGCGGAGAGGUAUCUCUGGGCCCUCUCGGUAAUGCACAUCACUAUAAGCCUUGCAAGAAAUGUGACUAAUGAGUUAGUUGCGGGAUGAUGUAUUAUGGAACGAGUAAAGAGACCUGCCGGUAACGAAAUUGAGCUAGGUAUUGAGCUACCGACGAUCGAAUCUCGGGUAACUAACAUACCGAUGACAAUGGGAACAAUGUAUGUUGUUAUGCGGUUUGACCAAUAAAGAUCUUCGUAGAAUAUGUAGGAGCCAAUAUGAGCAUCCAGGUUUCGCUAUUGGUUAUUGACCGGAGACGUGUCUCGGUCAUGUCGACAUAGUUCUCGAACCCGUAGGGUCCGCAAGCUUAAAAUUUGGUGACGAUCGGUAUUAUGAGUUUUUAUUUUUUGAUGUACCGAAGGUAGUUCGGAGUCCCGGAUAUGAUCACGGACAUAACGAGGAGUCUCGAAAUGGUCGAGACGUAAAGAUCGAUAUAUUGGAUGACUAUGUUCAGACACCGGAAGUGUUUCGGGAGGUUUCGGACAUAUACCGGAGUACCGGGGGGUUACCAGAACCCCUCGGGGGGUUUAUUGGGCCUCAUGGGCCUUAGUGGAGAAGAGGAGGGGCGGCCAGGGCAGGCCACGCGCCCCCUCCCCCUCUAGUCCGAAUUGGACAAGGAGGGGGGCGGCGCCCCCCUUUCCUUCCUCUCCUCUCUCUCUUCCUUUCCCCCUCCUACUCCAACUAGGAAAAGAGGGAGUCCUACUCCCGGUGGGAGUAGGACUCCCCCCUGGCGCCCCCUCCUCCUGGCCGGCCACCCCGUCCCCCUUGAUCCUUUAUAUACGGGGGCAGGGGGGCACCUCUAGACACAACAAUUGAUCUCUUGAUCUCUUAGCCGUGUGCGGUGCCCCGCUCCACCAUAUUCCACCACGGUAAUAUCGUAGCGGUGCUUAGGCGAAGCCCUGCGUCGGUAGCAUCAUCAACACCAUCAUCACGCCGUCGUGCUGACGGAACUCUCCCCCAAAGCUCUGCUAGAUCGCAGUUCGUGGGACGUCAUCGAGCUGAACUUGUGCUGAACUCGGAGGUGUCGUACGUUCGGUACUUGAUCGGUCGGAUCGUGAAGACGUACGACUACAUCAACUGCGUUGUGCUAACGCUUCCACUUUCGGUCUACGAGGGUACGUGGACAACACUCUCCCCUCUCGUUGCUAUGCAUCACCAUGAUCUUGCAUGCGCAUAGGAAUUUUUUUGAAAUUACUACGUUUCCCAAUAGUGGUAUUAGAGCCUGGUUUUAUGCGUAGAUGUUAUAUGCACGAGUAGAAUACAAGUGAGUUGUGGGCGAUACAAGUCAUACUGCUUCCCAACAUGGCAUACUUUGGUUCGUCGGUAUUGUUGGAUGAAGCAGCCCGGACCAACAUUACGCGUACGUUUACGAGAGACUGGUUCUAUCGACGUGCUUUGCACAUAGGUGGCUGGCGGGUGUCAGUUUCUCCAACUUUCGUUGAACCGAGCGUGGCUAUGCCCAGUCCUUGAGAAGGUUAAAAUAGAACUAACUUGACGAUCUAUCAUUGUGGUUUUGAUGCGUAGGUAAGAAAGGUUCUUGCUCAGCCCGUAGCAGUCACGUAAAAAUUGCAACAACAAAGUAGAGGAUAUCUAACUUGUUUUUGUAGGGCAUGUUGUGAUGUGAUAUGUGUUGGGUUUCGUAGUAAUUUCAAAAAAUUUCCUACGCACACGCAAGAUCAUGGUGAUGUAUAGCAACGAGAGGGGAGAGUGUUGUCUACAUACCCUUGUAGACCGUAAGCGGAAGCGUUAGCACAACGCAGUUGAUGUAGUCGUACGUCUUCACGGCCCGACCGAUCAAGCACCGAAACUACGGCACCUCUGAGUUCUAGCACACGUUCAGCUCGAUGACGUCCCUCGAACUCCGAUCCAGCCGAGUGUCGAGGGAGAGUUCCGUCAGCACGACGGCGUGGUGACGAUCUUGAUGUUCUACCGUCGCAGGGCUUCGCCUAAGCACCGCUACGAUAUUAUCGAGGUGGACUAUGGUGGAGGGGGGCACCGCACACGGCUAAGAGAUCCAAGGGAUCAUUUGUUGUGUCUUUGGUGCUAGCCCUGCCCCUCUAUUUAUAUGUUGAGCCCCGGGGUCGAAACUUGGAGCAAAAGCCUCCUCAAAGUCGGUUUUUCCCGAAAGGCAAGAGUCCCACUCGGACUCCAGGACCAAACGCCACAAUCCUUGGCGUCUGGCCCAGACGCCAUGGGCCUCGGCGUCUGGCCCAGGGCCAGACGCCAGGGUCUCCGGCGUUUGGCCCCCUGGACUCCGCAAAACUCCUUUUGCACCGAUCUAAAGCCUCAUGGGCUUGACCCCUUGGCCUGGGCCAGACGCCAGGGUCUCCGGCGUUUGGCCCCCUGGACUCCGCAAAACUCCUUUUGCACCGAUCUAAAGCCUCAUGGGCUUGACCCCUUGGCCUAACCAUAUCAUCCAAUAUAUGAAUCUUUACGUCUCGACCAUUUCGAGACUCCUCGUCAUGUCCCCAAUCUCAUCCGGGACUCCGAACUCCUUCGGUACAUCAAAACAUGUAAACUCAUAAUAUAACUGUCAUCGUAACCUUAAGCGUGCGGACCCUACGGGUUCGAGAACAAUGUAGACAUGACCGAGACACGUCUCCGGUCAAUAACCAAUAGCGGGACCUGGAUGCCCAUAUUGGCUCCUACAUAUUCUACGAAGAUCUUUAUCGGUCAGACCGCAUAACAACAUACGUUGUUCCCUUUGUCAUCGGUAUGUUACUUGCCCGAGAUUCGAUCGUCAGUAUCCAAUACCUAGUUCAAUCUCGUUACUGGCAAGUCUCUUUACUCGUUCCGUAAUACAUCAUCCCACAACUAACAUAUUAGUUGCAGUGCUUGCAAGGCUUAUGUGAUGUGCAUUACCGAGAGGGCCCAGAGAUACCUCUCCGACAAUCGGAGUGACAAAUCCUAAUCUCGAAAUACGCCAACCCAACAUCUACUUUUGGAGACACCUGUAAUGCUCCUUUAUAAUCACCCAGUUACGUUGUGACGUUUGGUAGCACCCAAGGUGUUCCUCCGGCAAACGGGAGUUGCAUAAUCUCAUAGUUAUAGGAACAUGUAUAAGUCAUGAAGAAAGCAAUAGCAACAUACUAAACGAUCAGGUGCUAAGCUAAUGGAAUGGGUCAUGUCAAUCAGAUCAUUCAACUAAUGAUGUGACCUCGUUACUCAAAUAACAACUCUUUUGUCUAUGGUUAGGAAACAUAACCAUCUUUGAUUAACGAGCUAGUCAAGUAGAGGCAUACUAGUGACACUCUGUUUGUCUAUGUAUUCACACAUGUAUUAUGUUUCCGGUUAAUACAAUUCUAGCAUGAAUAAUAAACAUUUAUCAUGAUAUAAGGAAAUAAAUAAUAACUUUAUUAUUGCCUCUAGGGCAUAUUUCCUUCAAUAUGGUCAAGACACGAUGCUAAAUUUUAUUGUAUGAGAUGAUCAUGUCUUGUAACAAAGUUAUCGGCAACUGGCAGGAGCCAUAUGGUUGUCGCUUUAUUGUAUGCAAUGCAAUCACCCUGUAAUUGCUUUACUUUGUCACUAAGCGGUAGCGAUAGUCAUAGAAGCAAUAGGUGGCAAAAUGACAACGAUGCUAUGAUGGAGAUCAAGGUGUCGCGCGGGUGACGAUGGUGAUCAUGACGGUGCUUCGGAGAUGGUGAUCAGAAGUGCAAGAUGAUGAUGGCCAUAUCAUAUCACUUAUAUUGAUUGCAUGUGAUGUUUAUCCUUUAUGCAUCUUAUUCUGCUUUGAUUGACGGUAGAAUUAUAAGAUGAUCUCUCACUAAAUUUCAAGGUAUAAGUGUUCUCCCUGAGUAUGCACCGUUGCGAAAGUUUUUCGUGCUGAGACACCACGUGAAGAUCGGGUGUGAUAGGCUCUACGUUCAAAUACAAUGGGUGCAAAACAGUUGCACACGCGGAAUACUCAGGUUAAACUUGACGAGCCUAGCAUAUACAGAUAUGGCCUCGGAACACUGAGACCGAAAGGUCGAGCGUGAAUCAUAUAGUAGAUAUGAUCAACAUAGUGAUGUUCACCAUUGAAAACUACUCCAUCUCACGUGAUGAUCGGACAUGGUUUAGUUGAUUUGGAUCACGUGAUCACUUAGAUGAUUAGAGGGAUGUCUAUCUAAGUGGAAGUUCUUAAGUAAUAUGAUUAAUUGAACUUUAAUUUAUCAUGAACUUAGUACAUGAUAGUAUUUUUACUUGUCUAUGUUAUUGUAGAUAGAUGGCCCGUGCUGUUGUUCCGUUGAAUUUUAAUGCGUUCCUUGAGAAAGCUAAGUUGAAAGAUGAUGGUAGCAAUUACACGGACUUGGUCUGUAACUUGAGAAUUAUCCUCAUUGUUGCACAAAAGAAUUAUGUCCUGGAAGCACCGCUAGGUGCCAGGCCUGCUGCAGAUGCAACUGACAACGUUAAGAACGUCUGGCAGAGCAAAUAUGAUGACUACUCAAUAGUUGAGUGUGCCAUGCUUUAUGGCUUAGAACCGGGACUUCAACGAUGUUUUGAAUGUCAUAGAGCAUAUGAGAUGCUCCAGGAGUUGAAGUUAAUAUUUCAAGCAAAUGCCCGGAUUGAGAGAUAUGAAGUCUCCAAUAAGUUCUAUAGCUGCAAGAUGGAGGAGAAUAGUUCUGCCAGUGAACAUAUACUCAAAAUGUGGUAUAAUCACUUGAUUCAACUGGGAGUUAAUCUUCCUGAUGACGGUGUCAUUGACAGAAUUCUUCAAUCACUGCCACCAAGCUACAAGAGCUUCGUGAUGAACUAUAAUAUGCAAGGGAUGAACAAGACUAUUCCCGAGCUCUUCGCAAUGCUAAAAGCUGCGAAGGUAGAAAUCAAGAAGGAGCAUCAUGUGUUGAUGGUCAACAAGACCACCAGUUUCACGAAAAAGGGUAAAGGGAAGAAGAAGGGGAACUUCAAGAAGAACGGCAAACAAGUUGCUGCUCAAGAGAAGAAACCCAAAUCUGGACCUAAGCCUGAGACUAAGUGCUUCUACUGCAAGCAGACUGGUCAGUGCAAGCGGAACUGCCCCAAGUAUUUGGCGGAUAAGAAGGAUCGCAAGGUGAACAAAGGUAUAUGUGAUAUAUAUGUUAUUGAUGUGUACCUUACUAAUGCUCGCAGUAGCACCUGGGUAUUUGAUACUGGUUCUGUUGCUAAUAUUUGCAACUCGAAACGGGGACUACGGAUUAAGCGAAGAUUGGCUAAGGACGAGGUGACAAUGCACGUGGGAAAUGGUUCCAAAGUCAAUGUGAUCGUGGUCGGCACGCUACCUCUACAUCUACCUUCGGGAUUAGUUUUAGACCUGAAUAAUUGUUAUUUGGUGCCAGCGUUGAGCAUGAACAUUAUAUUUGGAUCUUGUUUGAUGCGAGACGGUGAUUCAUUUAAAUCGAAGAAUAAUGGUUGUUCUAUUUAUAUGAGUAAUAUCUUUUAUAGUCAUGCACCCUUGAAGAGUGGUCUAUUUUUAUUGAAUCGAUAGUAGUGAUACACAUAUUCAUAAUGUUGAAGCCAAAAGAUGCAGAGUUGAUAAUGAUAGUGCAACUUAUUUGUGGCACUGCCGUUUGGGUCAUAUUGGUGUAAAGCGCAUGAAGAAACUCCAUACUGAUGGACUUUUGGAAUCACUUGAUUAUGAAUCAAUUGGUACUUGCGAACCGUGCCUCAUGGGCAAUAUGACUAAAACGCCGUUCUACAGAACUAUGGAGCGAGCAACAGAUUUAUUGGAAAUCAUACAUACUGAUGUAUGUGGUCCAAUGAACAUUGAGGCCCGCGGCGGGUAUCGUUAUUUUCUCACCUGCAGUGAUGAUUUGAGAAGAUAUGGAUAUAUCUACUUAAUGAAACAUAAGUCCAAAACAUUUGAAAAGUUCAAGAAUUUCAGAGUGAAGUGGAAAAUCAUCGUAACAAGAAAAUAAAGUUUCUAUGAUCUGAUCGUGGACGAGAAUAUUUGAGUUACGAGUUUGGUCUACAUUUGAAACAAUGUGGAAUAGUUUCGCAACUCACGCCACCCGGAACACCAUAAAGUAAUGGUGUGUCCGAAUGUCGUAAUCAUACUUUACUAGAUAUGGUGCGAACAAUGAUGUCUCUUACUGAUUUACCGCUAUCGUUUUGGGGUUAUGCUUUAGAGACGGCUGCAUUCACGUUAAAUAGGGCACCAUCAAAAUCUGUUGAGAUGACGCCUUAUGAACUGUGGUUUGGCAAGAAACCAAAGUUAUCGUUUCUUAAAGUUUGGGGCUGCGAUGCUUAUGUGAAAAAACUUCAAACUAAUAAGUCGAACCCAAAUCGGAGAAAUGUGUCUUCAUAGGAUAACCAAAGGAGACUAUUUGGUACACCUUCUAUCACAGAUCCGAAGGCAAGACUUUUGUUGCUAAAUUCGGAUCCUUUCUAGAGAAGGAGUUUCUCUCGAAAGAAGUGAGUGGGAGGAAAGUAGAACGUGAUGAGGUAACUGUACCUGCUACCUUAUUGGAAAGUACUUCAUCACAGAAACCGGUUCCUGUGAUGCCUACACCAAUUAGUGAGGAAGUUAAUGAUAUUGAUCAUGAAACUUCAGAUCAAGUUGCUACCGAACCAAGUAGAUCAACCAGAGUAAGAACCGCACCAGAGUGGUAUGGUAAUCCUAUUCUGGAGGUCAUGUUACUUGACCAUGGCAAACCUCCGAACUAUGAGGAAGCGAUGAUGAGCCCGGAUUCCGCAAAAUGGCUUGAGGCCAUGAAAUAUGAGAUGGGAUCCAUGUAUGAGAACAAAGUAUGGACUUUGGUUGACUUGCCCAAUGAUCGGCAAGCCAUCGAAAAUAAAUGGAUCUUCAAGAAGAAGACUGACGCUGAUGGUAAUGCUACUGUCUAGAAAGCUCGACUUGUUGGAAAGGUUUUCGACAAGUUCAAGGGGUUGACUACGAUGAGACUUUCUUGCCCGUAGCGAUGCUUAAGUCUGUCCGAAUCAUGUUAGCAAUUGCCGCAUUUUAUGAUUAUGAAAUUUGGCAAAUGGAUGUCAAAAAUGCAUUCCUGAAUGGAUUUCUGCAAGAAGAGUUAUAUAUGAUGCAAGCAGAAGGUUUUGUCGAUCCGAAAGGUGCUAACAAAGUGUGCAAGCUCCAGCGAUCCAUUUAUGAACUGGUGCAAGCCUCUCAGAGUUGGAAUAAACGUUUUGAUAGUGUGAUCAAAGCAUAUGGUUUUAUACAGACUUUUGGAGAAGCAUGUAUUUACAAGAAAGUGAGUGGGAGCUCUGUAGCAUUUCUGAUAUUAUAUGUAGACGACAUAUUGUUUAUUGGAAAUGAUAUAGAAUUUCUGGAUAGCAUAAAAGGAUACUUGAAUGAAAGACCUCGGUGAAGCUGCUUAUAUAUUGAGCAUCAAGAUAUAUAGAGAUAGAUCAAGACGCUUAAUUGUACUUUCACAAAGCACAUACCUUGAUAAAGUUUUGAAAAAGUUCAAAAUGGAUCAAGCAAAGAAAGGGUUCUUGCCUGUAUUACAAGGUGGGAAGUUGAGUCAGACUCAAUGCCCGACCACUGCAGAAGAUAAAGAGAAAAUGAAAGAUGUUCCAUAUGCUUCAGCCAUAGGCUCUAUCAUGUAUGCAAUGUUGUGUACCAGACCUGAUGUAUUCCUAGCUAUUAGCUUAGCAGGGAGGUACCAAAGUAAUCCAGGAGUGGAUCACUGGACAGUGGAGAAGAAUAUCCUGAAAUACCUGAAAAGGACUAAGGAUAUGUUUCUCUUUUAUGGAGGUGACAAAGAGCUAGUCGUAAAUGGUUACGUCGAUGCAAGCUUUGACACUGAUCCGGACGAUUCCAAAUCGCAAACCGGAUACGUGUUUAUAUUGAACGGUGGAGCUGUCAGUUGGUGCAGUUCUAAACAAAGCGCCAUAGCAGGAUCUACGUGUGAAGCGGAGUACAUAGCUGCUUCGGAAGCAGCAAAUGAAGGAGUCUGGAUGAAGGAGUUCAUAUCCGAUCUAGGUGUCAUACCUAGUGCAUUGGGUCCAAUGAAAAUCUUUUGUGACAACACUGGUGCAAUUGCCUUAGCAAAGGAAUCCAGAUUUCACAAGAGAACCAAGCACAUCAAGAGACGCUUCAAUUCCAUCCGGGACCAAGUCCAGGUGGGAGACAUAGAGAUUUGCAAAAUACAUACGGAUCUGAAUGUUGCAGACCCGUUGACUAAGCCUCUUCCACGAGCAAAACAUGAUCAGCACCAAGGCUCCAUGGGUGUUAGAAUCAUUACUGUGUAAUCUAGAUUAUUGACUCUAGUGCAAGUGGGAGACUGAAGGAAAUAUGCCCUAGAGGCAAUAAUAAAGUUAUUAUUUAUUUCCUCAUAUCAUGAUAAAUGUUUAUUAUUCAUGCUAGAAUUGUAUUACCGGAAACAUAAUACAUGUGUGAAUACAUAGACAAACAUAGUGUCACUAGUAUGCCUCUACCUGACUAGUGAUAACCCACAAGUAUAGGGGAUCGCAAUAGUUUUUGAGGUAGAGUAUUCAACCCAAAUUUAUUGAUUCGACACAAGGGGAGCCAAAGAAUAUUCUCAAGUAUUAGCAGUUGAGUUGUCAAUUCAACCACACCUGGAUAACUUAGUAUCUGCAGCAAAGUAUUUAGUAGCAAAGUAGUAUGAUAGUAAUGGUAACAAUGAUAAAAGUAACGAUAGCAGUUUUAUAGUAAUUGUAACAGUAGCAACGGAAAAGUAAAUAGGCAAAGCACAAUAUGUGAAAAGCUCGUAGGCAUUGGAUCAGUGAUGGAUAAUUAUGUCGGAUGCAAUUCCUCAUGUAAUAGUUAUAACGUAGGGUGACACAGAACUAGCUCCAGUUCAUCAAUGUAAUGUAGGCAUGUAUUCCGAAUACAGUCAUACGUGCUUAUGGAAAAGAACUUGCAUGACAUCUUUUGUCCUACCCUCCCGUGGCAGCGGGGUCCUAAUGGAAACUAAGACAUACUAAGGCCUUCUUUUAAUAGAGUGUCGGACCAAAGCAUUACCACAUAGUGAAUACAUGAACUCCUCAAACUACGGUCAUCACCGAGAAGUAUCCCGAUUAUUGUCACUUCAGGGUUGUCGGAUCAUAACACAGAAUAGGUGACUAUAGACUUGCAAGAUAGGAUCAAGAACUCACAUAUAUUCAUGAAAACAUAAUAGGUUCAGAUCUGAAAUCAUGGCACUAGGGCCCUAGUGACAAACAUUAAGUGUAACAAAGUCAUAGCAACAUCAAUCUCAGAACAUAGUCGAUACUAGGGAUCACACCCUAACAAAACUAACUUGAUUACAUGGUAAAUCUCAUCCAACCCGUCACCGUCCAGCAAGCCUACGAUGAAAUUACUCACGCACGGCAGUGAGCAUCAUGAAAUUGGUGAUGGAGGAUGGUUGAUGAUGACAACAGCGAUGAAUCCCCCUCUCCCGGAGCACCGAACGGACUCCAGAUCAGCCCUCCCGAGAGAGAUUAGGGCUUGGCGGUGGCUCCGUAUCGUAAAACAUGAUGAAACUUUUUCUCUGAUUUUUUUCUCCGUGAGACAGAAUAUAUAGAGUUGGAGUUGAAGUUGGUGGAGCAUCAGGGGGCCCACGAGACAGGGGGGCGUGCCCAGGGGGAGGGGGCACGCCCCCCACCCUCGUGGAUAGGGUGUGGGCCCCCUGGCCUUGAUUCUUUCGCCAGUAUUUUUUAUAUUUUCCAAAAGUUAUCUCCGUGGAUUUUCAGGUCAUUCCAAAAACUUUUGUUUUCUGCACAAUAAACAACACCGUGUCAGUUCUGCUGAAAACAGCGUCAGUCUGGGUUAGUUUCAAUCAAAUCAUGCAAAUUAGAGUCCAAAACAAGGGCAAAAGUGUUUGGAAAAGUAGAUACGUUGGAGACAUAUCAACUCCCCCAAGCUUAAACCUUUACUUGUCCUCAAGCAAUUCAGUUGACAAACUGAAAGUGACAAAGAAAAACUUUUACAAACUCUACUUGCUCUUGUUGUUGCAAAUAUGUAAAGCCAGCAUUCAAGUUUUCAUCAAAGAUUAUGAACUAACCAUAUUCACAAUAACACUUAGGUCUCAUGUUUACUCAUAUCAAUGGCAUAAUCAGCUAGCGAGCAAUAAUAAUAAAUCUCGGAUGACAACACUUUCUCAAAACAAUCAUAAUAUGAUAUAGCAAGAUGGUAUCUCGCUAGCCGUUUCUGAGACCGCAAAACAUAAAUGCAGAGCACCUUUAAAGAUCAAGGACUAACUAAACAUUGUAAUUCAUGGUAAAAGAGAUCCAAUCAAGUCAUACCCAAUAUAAACUAAUAGUAAUGCAUGCAAAUGAUAGCGUGCUCUCCAGCGGGUGCUUUUUAAUAAGAGGGUGAUGACUCAACAUAAAAGUAAAUAGAUAGGCCCUUCGCAGAGGGAAGCAUGGAUUUGUAGAGGUGCUAGAGCUCGAUUUUAAAAUAGAGAUGAAUAACAUUUUGAGCGGUAUACUUUCACUGUCAACGCAACAACUAUGAGAUCUCGAUAUCUUCCAUGCUACAUACAUUAUAGGCGGUUCCCAAAUAGGAUGGUAAAGUUUAUACUCCCCCACCACCAACUUGAUCAUGGGACUGGGCAUCCCGGUUACUAGCCAUUUUCUCGUGAAUGAGGAGCGGAGUCCACUCCCCUUGAGAAUAACCCACCUAGCAUGGAAGAUACAGAUAGCCCUAGUUGAUACAUGAGCUGCUCGAGCAUAUAAAACAGAAUUUCAUUUGAAGGUUUGGAGUUUGGCACAUACAAAUUUACUUGGAACAGCAGGUAAAUACCGCAUAUAGGAAGGUAUGGUGGACUCAUAUGGAAUAACUUUGGGGUUUAUGGAGUUUGGAUGCACAAGCAGUAUUCGCGCUUAGUACAGGUGAAAGCUAGCAAAAAACUGGGAAGCGACCAACUGAGAGAGCGACAACAGUCAUGAACAUGCAUUAAAAUUAAUCAACACUGAGUGCAAGCAUGAGUAGGAUAUAAUCCACCAUGAACAUAAAUAUCAUGAAGGCUAUGUUGAUUUAUUCCAACUACAUGUGUGAACAUGUGCCAAGUCAAGUCACUCGAAUCAUUCAAAGGAGGAUACCACCCUAUCAUACCACAUCACAACCAUUUUAAUAGCAUGUUGGCACGCAAGGUAAACCAUUAUAAACUCCUAGCUAAUUAAGCAUGGCAUAAACAACUAUAAUCGCUAAUUGUCAUUGCAAACAUGUUUAUUCAUAAUAGGCUGAAUCAGGAAUGAUGAACUCAUCAUAUUUAAAAAAACAAGAGAGGUCGAGUUCAUACCAGCUUCUCUCAUCUCGAUCAUUCAUCAUACAUCGUCAUUAUUGCCUUUCACUUGCAGGACCGGACGGUGUGGAUAAUAAUAAUAAUAGUGCACGUGCAUUGGACUAAGCUGGAAUCUGCAAGCACUCAAUUCAAUUGAGAAGACAAGGUAAUAUGGGCUCUUGGUUAAAUAAACAAUCAUGCAAAUGGGAGCCACAAAACAUUUCAUUAUGGUCUUCUCCUCUCGACCCCCGAAGGAAAGAAAAAAAAAUAAAACUAUUUACAUGGGAAAGCUCCCAACAAGUAAAAGAAGAACGAGAAAUCUUUUUGGGUUUUUAUUUAAUUACUACUACAAGCAUGGAAAUUAAACUAACUAAUUUUUUUGGUUUUUCUUAAGGUUUAUCAAACAAACAAGAAGAAAGCUAGAAAAAGGAAAUAAACUAGCAUGGAUAGUACAAUGAAAGAGUAUGAGCACCGACAACUAGAAUAGUGUGUGAGCAUGAAUGUAAAGUCGAUGAGAAAUACGUACUCCCCCAAGCUUAGGCUUUUGGCCUAAGUUGGUCUAUGCCCAAGGAUCGCGGCUACUCUCCCUGGUGUAUUGAGGAGUGUCAUCUGGAUACCAUUGGCUAGCGAUCUCCUUCGGAUCCCACUGAUAACAGGAUGGAUGAUAGGGGUCUAGUGGUGGUUCCGACUUAGGCUCUAGAGCUGAUGUAUGGCCUCGUUGCAUGUACACGGCCUUCGGCAAAACGAGGUAAUGGCUUGCAGUUAAAUCAAACAAAGAAGGCACAGGCAAGGUAAUAAUUUCAAUGUGUUUCUUAUUAAAUCUCAGGUUAUACAGGAGCAUCUUAUCAUCAUUGUCAACAAUAAAUUCGUGUGCUACCAUGCUCCUGUAAUCUAAAAAGGUAAGAGGCAGCAGUGUCUCCUCUUUCUCAUCAUGCCUAAUAGGUAUCUCGAAAUGUUUAGCAAAGCGUGCAGCAAAGAUGUUGGACAACGUAGCAAUAAUUCAAAAUUUUCUACGCAUCACCAAGAUCAAUCUAUGAAUAUUCUAGAAACAAGAGAGGGAGAGGAUGAGCAUCUUCAUACCCUUGAAGAUUGCGAUGCGGAAGUGUUACAAGAACGCGGAUGAGGGAGUCGUACUCGUGGCGAUUCAAAUCGCGGAAGAUCCGAUGUAACGCCGAACGGAUGGCGCCUCCGCGUUCAACACACGUACAACCCAGGGACGUCUCAUCUUUCUUGAUCCAGCAAGGGGAGAGGAGAAGUAGAGGGAGAGCUCUGGCAGCACGACGGCGUGGUGGUGGAGCUUGCAGUUCUCCGGCAGGGCUUCUCCAAGCACUACUGAGGAGGAGGUGGAGUUGGAGAGGGGGAGGGCUGCGCCACGGGCAAGGGGUGAAGCUCCCAUGCGCCUCCCCACUAUAUAGAGGGGUGGAGCGGGCUGGUUUCUUGAUCUCCAAUCCAUUGGGGCGUUGGCAAAGGUGGGAGGAAAGAAAUCCCAUCAUUUCCUUCCCCAUCGAUUGUUAUCCCCCCUUUUUAGGGAUCUUGAUCUUAUCCCUUCAGGAUAUGAUCUUAUUCCUUCUAAGGGGGGAUCUUGGUGCGCCUUGACUAGGGGUGUGGGGCCUUUCCCCCACUACCCACGUUCAAGUGGGCCCCCCAUGCAGGUGGGCCCCACUCCGGAACCUUCUAGAACCUUCUCGGUACAAUACCGAAAAAUCCCGAACAUUUUCCGGUGGCCAAAAUAGGACUUUCCAUAUAUAAAUCUUAACCUCCGGACCAUUUCGGAACUCCUCAUGACGUCCGGGAUCUCAUCCAGGACUCCGAACAACAUUCGGUAACUGCACACUAAUUCCCUUUACAACUCUAGCGUCACCGAACCUUAAGUGUGUAGACCCUACGGGUUCGGGAAUCAUGCAGACAUGAUCGAGACAACCCUCUGGACAAUAACCAACAGCGGGAUCUGGAUACCCAUGUGGCUCCCACAUAUUCCACGAUAAUCUCAUCAGAUGAACCACGAUGUCGGGGAUUCAAUCAAUCCCAUAUGCAAUUCCCUUUGUCAAUCGGUACGUUGCUUGCCCGAGAUUUGAUCGUGGGUAUCCCAAUACCUCGUUCGAUCUCGUUACCGGCAAGUCACUUUACUCGUUCCGUAAUGCAUGAUCCCGUGACUAACUACUUAGUCACAUUGAGCUCAUUAUGAUGAUGCAUUACUGAGUGGGCCAAGAGAUACCUCUCCGUCAUAUGGUGUGACAAAUCCCAGACUCGAUUCGUGGCAACCCAACAGACACUUUCGGAGAUACUUGUAGUGUACCUUUAUAGCCACACAAUUACGUUGUGACGUUUGGUACACCCAAAGCAUUCCUACGGUAUCCGGGAGUUGCACAAUCUCAUGGUCUAAGGAAAUGAUACUUGACAUUAGAAAAGCUUUUAGCAAACGAACUACACGAUCUUGUGCUAUGCUUAGGAUUGAGUCUUGUCCAUCACAUCAUUCUCCUAAUGAUGUGAUCCCGUUAUCAAUGACAUCCAAUGUCCAUGGUCAGGAAACCAUGACCAUCUGUUGAUCAACGAGCUAGUCAACUAGAGGCUCACUAGGGACAUGUUGUGGUCUAUGUAUUAACACAUGUAUUACGGUUUCCAGUUAAUACAAUUAUAGCAUGAACAAUAGACAAUCAUCAUGAACAAGGAAAUACAAUAAUAACCAUUUUAUUAUUGCCUCUAGGGCAUAUUUCCAACAGUCUCCUGCUUGCACUAGAGUCAAUAAUCUAGUUCACAUCAUUAUGUGAUUGUAAUGAAUCCAACACCCAUGGGGUUUGAUCAUAUGUCGCUUGUGAGAGAGGUUAUUAGUCAAAGGGUCUGAACCUUUCAGAUCCGUGUGUGCCUUACAAAUCUCUAUGUCAUCUUGUAGAUGCAGCUACCACGCGCUAUUUGGAGCUAUUCCAAAUAACCGUUCUACUAUAUGAAUCUGGUUUACUACUCAUAGUCAUCCGAAUUAGUAUCAAAGUUUGCAUCAACAUAACCCUUUACGGUGAACUCUUUUACCACCUCCAUAAUCGAGAAAACUGCUUAGUGCACUAGUUACUAAGGAUAACUUUGACCGCUGUCCUGUGAUCCAUUUCUGGAUCACUCUUGUACCCCUUGACUGACUCAUGGCAAGGCACACUUUAGGUGUGGUACACAUCAUAGCAUACUGUAGAGCCUACGUCUAAAGCAUAGGGGACGACCUUUGUCCUUUCUCUCUCUUCUGCCGUGGUCAGGUCUUGAGUCUUACUCAAUACUCACACCUUAUAACACAACCAAGAACUCCUUCUUUGCCGAUCUAUUUUGAACUCCUUCAAAAUCUUGUCACGGUGCGUAUUCAUUUGAAAGUACUAUCAAGCGAUUUUGAUCUAUCCUUAUAGAUGUUGAUGCUCAAUGUUCAAGUAGCUCAAUCUAGGUUUUCCAUUGAAAAACACUUUUCAAAUAACCCUAUAUUCUUUCUAGAAAUUCUACAUCAUUUCUGAUAAACAAUAUGUCAACAACAUAUACUCAUCAGAAAUCCUAUAGUGCUCCCACUCACUUCUUUGGAAAUACAAGUUUCUCAUAAACUUUGUAUAAACCCAAAAUCUUUGAUCAUCUCAUCAAAGCGUAUAUUCCAAUCCGAGAUGCUUACUCCAGUCCUUAGAAGGAUUGCUGGAGCUUUGCAUACUUGUUAGCAUCUUUUAGGAUUGACAAAAACUUUCUGGUUGUAUCACAUACAACCUUUACUCAAGAAAAUCGUUGAGGAAACAAUGUUUCGACAUCCUAUAUGCAAGAUUUCAUAAAUAAUGCAGGAACUGCUAAUAUAAUUUCAACAGACUCUUAGCAUCGCUACGAGUGAGAAAGUCUCAUCGUAGUCAACUCUUUAACUUGUCGGAAAACAUCUUAGCGACAAGUCGAGCUUUCUUAAUGGUGACACUUACCAUCAUUGUUCAUCUUCCCUUUUAAAAUCUAUCUGUACCCAACAACCUUACGACUAUCAAGUAGUUCUUACAAAGCCUACACUUUGUUUUAUACAUGGAUCCUCUCUCGGCUUUUAUGGCCUCGAGCCAUUUGUCGGAAUCCGGGCCCACCAUCGCUUCUCCACAGCUCGUAGGUUUCAUGAUCUUCAAGACAGGAUUACCGUACCACUCUGAAGUAGUACGCGUCCUUGUCGACCUACGAAGUUUGGUAGUGACUUGAUCCGAAGUUUCAUGAUCACUAUCAUCAUCUUCCACUUCAACUGGUGUAGGCGCCACAGGAACAACUUCCUGUGCCCUGCUACAGAUUGGUUAAAGGGAUGGUUCAGUAACCUCAUCAAGUCUGCACCAUCCUCCCACUCAAUUCUUUCAAGAGAAACUAUUCCUCGAGAAAGGACCCGUUUCUAGAAACAAUCACUUUUGCUUCCGGAUCUGAAAUAGGAGGUAUACCCAACUGUUUUGGGUGUCCUAUGAAGAAGCAUUUAUCCACUUUGGGUUUGAGCUUAUCAGGCUAAAACUUUUCCACAUAAGCAUCGCAGCCCCAAACUUUUAAGAAAUGACAGCUUAGGUUUCUCUAAACCAUAGUUCAUACGCUGUCAUCUCAACGGAAUUACGUGGUGCCCUAUUUGAAGUGAAUGUGGUUGUCUCUAAUGCCUAACCCAUAAAUGAUAGUGGUAAUUCGAUAAGAGACAACAUGGUAUGCACCUUAUCCAAUAGGGUGUAGCUAUGAUGUUCGGACACACCAUCACACUAUGGUGUUCCGGGCGUUAUUAGUUAUGAAAAAAUUUCCACAAUGUCUUAAUUGUAUACCAAACUCAUAACUCAGAUACUCAUCUCUAUGAUCAUAUCAUAGACAUUUUAUCCUCUUGUCACGAUGAUCUUCAACUUCACUCUGAAAUUACUUGAACCUUUCAAUAAUUCAGACUUGUGUUUCAUCAAGUAAAUAUACUCAACAACUACUCAAAUCAUAUGUGAAGUAAUAACAUAACGAUAUCCACUGCGUGACUCGGCACUCAUUGGACUGCACACAUCAAAAUGUAUUACUUCCAACAAGUUGCUUUCUUGUUCCAUCUUACUGAAAACGAGGCUUUUCAGUCAUCUUGCCCAUGUGGUAUGAUUUGCAUGUCUCAAGUGAUUCAAAAUCAAGUGAGUCCAAAUGAUCCAUCUGCAUGGAGUUUCUUCAUGCAUACAUACCAAUAGAUAUGGUUCGCAUGUCUCAAACUUUUUGAAAAAACGAGUGAGUCCAAAAGAUCCAUCGACAUGGAGCUUCUUCAUGCAUUUUAUACCAAUAUGACUCAAAUGGUAGUGCCACAAGUAGGUGGUACUAUCAUUACUAUCUUAUAUCUUUUGGCAUGAACAUGUGUAUCACUACGAUCAAGAUUCAAUAAACCAUUCAUUUUAGGUGCAAGACCAGUGAAGGUAUUAUUCAAAUAAACAGAGUAACCAUUAUUCUCCUUAAAUUAACAACCGCAUUGCGAUAAACAUAAUCCAAUCAUGUCUAUGCUCAACGCAAACACCAAAUAACAAUUAUUUAGGUUUAACACCAAUCCUGAUGGUAGAAGGAGCGUGCCAUGUUUGAUAACAUCAAUCUUGGAAAUACUUCCAACACAUAUCGUCACCUCGCCUUCAGCUAGUCUCCGUUUAUUCCGUAGCCUUUUAUUUCAAGUUACUAACACUUAGCAACUGAACCGGUAUCUAUUACCCUGGUGCUACUAGGAGUACUAGUAAAGUACAGAUUAAUAUAAUGUAUAUCCAAUAUACUUCUGUCGACCUUGCUAGCCUUCUCAUCUACCAAGUAUCUAGGGUAGUUCUGCUUCAGUGACUGUUCCCCUCAUUACAGAAGCACUUAGUCUCGGGUUUGGGUUCAAACUUUGGGUUUCUUCACUAGAGCAGCAACUGAUUUGCCGUUUUAUGAAGUAUCCCUUCUCGCCCUUGCCCUUCUUGAAACCAGUGGUUUCACUAACCAUCAACAAUUGAUGCUCCUUCUUGAUUUCUACGUUCGCGGUGUCAAACAUCGCGAAUAGCUCAAGGAUCAUCAUAUCUAUCCCUGAUAUGUUAUAGUUCAUCACGAAGCUCUAGUAGCUUGGUGACAAUGACUUUGGAGAACCAUCACUAUCUCUUAAGGAAGAUUAACUCCCACUCGAUUCAAGUGAUUGUAGUACUCAGACAAUCUGAGCACAUGCUCUACGAUUGAGCUUUUCUCCCUUAGUUUGCAGGCUUAAGAAACUCGUCAGAGGUCUCAUACCUCUUGACAUGGGCAUAAGCCUGAAAUCCCAAUUUUAGCCCUUUGAACAUCUCAUAUGCUCCGUGACGUUUCAAAAUCGUCUUCGGUGCCUCAAUUCUAAACAGUUUAACAUUACUGAACUAUCAUGUAGUCAUCAAAACGUGUAUGUCAGAUGUUCGCAACAUCCACAGACGACGUUUGAGGUUCCGCACACCGAGCGGUGCAUUAAGGACAUAAGCCUUCUGCAUAGCUAUGAGGACAAUCCUUAGUUUACGAACCUAGUCGGCAUAAUUGCUACUAUCAGCUUUCAACAAAAUUUUCUCUAGGAACAUAUCUAAAACAGUAGAACUAAAGCACAAGUUACGACAUAAUUUGCGAAGACCUUUUGACUAUGUUCAUGAUAAUUAAGUUCAUCUAAUUUAAUGAACUCCCACUCAGAUGGACAUCCCUCUAGUUAUCUAAGUGAUACAUGAUCCGAGUCAACUAGGCCGUGUCCGAUCAUCACGUGAGACAGACUAGUCAUCAUCGGUGAAUAUCUUCUUGUUGAUAGUAUCUGGUAUACGACUCAUGUUCGACCUUUCGGUCUCUUGUGUUCCGAGGCCAUGUCUGUACAUGCUAGGCUCGUCAAGUCGACCUAAGUGUUUUGCUUGUGUAAAUAUGGCUUACACCCGUUGUAUGCGAACGUUAGAAUCUAUCACACCCGAUCAUCACGUGGUGCUUCGAAACAACGAACCUUCGCAACGGUGCACAGUUAGGGGGAACACUUUCUUGAAAUUUUAGUGAGGGAUCAUCUUAUUUAUGCUACAGUCGUUCUAAGCAAAUAAGAUGUAAACAUGACAAACAUCACAUGCAAAUCAUAAAGUGACAUGAUAUGGCCAAUAUCAUCUUGCGCCUUUGAUCUCCAUUUUCGAGGCGCGGCAUGAUCACCUUCGUCACCGGCAUGACAUCAUGAUCUCCAUCAUCGUGUCUUUAUGAAGUUGUCUCGCCAACUAUUACUUCUACUACUAUGGCUAAUGGUUUAGCAAUAAAGUAAAGUAAUUACAUGGCGUUAUUCAAUGACACGCAGGUCAUAGAAUAAAUUAAGAGAACUCCUAUGGCUCCUGCCGGUUGUCAUACUCAUCGACAUGCAAGUCGUGAUUCCUAUUACAAGAAUAUGAUCAACCUCAUACAUCACAUGUAUCAUUCAUCACAUUCUUUUUGGGCCAUAUCACAUCACAUAGCAUACCCUGCAAAAACAAGUUAGACGUCCUCUAAUUGUUGUUGCAUGUUUUACGUGGCUGCUAAGGGUUUCUAGCAAGAACGUUUCUUACCUAAGCAAAGCCACAACGGUGAUAUGCCAAUUGCUAUUUACCCUUCAUAAGGACCCUUUUCAUCAAAUCUGAUCCAACUAAAGUGGGAGAUACUGGCACCCGCUAGCCACCUUAUGCAACAAGUGCAUGUCAGUCGAUGGAACCUGUCUCACGUAAGCGUACGUGUAAGGUCGGUCCGGGCCGCUUCAUCCCACGAUGCCGCCGAAUUAAGAUAGGACUAGUAACGGUAAGCAAAUUGAACAAACCAACGCCCACAACUAAUUGUGUUCUACUCGUGCAUAGAAUCUACGCAAUAGACCUAGCUCAUGAUGCCACUGUUGGAGAACAUAACAAUAAUUCAAAAUUUUCUACGCAUUACCAAGAUCAAUCUAUGGAGAUUCUAGCAACAAGAGAGGGAGAGGAAGAGAAUCUUCAUACCCUUGAAGAUUGCGAUGCGGAAGCGUUACAAGAAUGUGGAUGAGGGAGUCGUACUCGCGGCGAUUCAAAUCGCAGAAGAUCCGAUCUAACGUCGAACGGACGGCGCCUCCGCGUUCAACACACGUACAGCCCAGGGACGUCUCCUCCUUAUUGAUCCAUCAAGGGGAGAGGAGAAGUUGAGGGAGAGCUCUGGCAGCGUGACGGCAUGGUGGUGGAGCUUGCAGUUCUCCGACAGGGCUUCGCCAAUCACUACUGAGGAGGAGGUGGAGUUGGAGAGGAGGAGGGCUGCACCAGGGGCAAGGUUGAAGCUCCCAUGCGCCUCCCCACUAUAUAUAGGGGUGGAGGGGGCUCGUUUAUUUCCCUCCAAGUCCAUUGGGGCAUUGGCAAAGGUGGGAGGAAAGAAAUCCCAUCAUUUCCUUCCCCACCGAUUGUUAUCCCCCCUUUUUAGGGAUCUUGAUCUUAUCCCUUCGGGAUAUGAUCUUAUNNNNNNNNNNNNNNNNNNNNNNNNNNNNNNNNNNNNNNNNNNNNNNNNNNNNNNNNNNNNNNNNNNNNNNNNNNNNNNNNNNNNNNNNNNNNNNNNNNNNNNNNNNNNNNNNNNNNNNNNNNNNNNNNNNNNNNNNNNNNNNNNNNNNNNNNNNNNNNNNNNNNNNNNNNNNNNNNNNNNNNNNNNNNNNNNNNNNNNNNNNNNNNNNNNNNNNNNNNGGGUCUUGGUGUGCCUUAACCAAGGGUGUGAGGCCUUGCCCCCACUACCCACGUUCAUGUGGGUCCCCCCAUGCAGGUGGGCCCCACUCCGGAACCUUCUAGAACCUUCCCGGUACAAUACCGAAAAAUCCCGAACAUUUUCCGGUGGCCAAAAUAGGACUUCCCAUAUAUAAAUCUUUACCUCCGGACCAAUUCGGAACUCCUUGUGACGUCCGGGAUCUCAUCCGGGACUCCGAACAACAUUAGGUAACUGCACUCUAAUUCCCAUAACAACUCUAGCGUCACAGAACCUUAAGUGUGUAGACCCUACGGGUUUGGGAAUCAUGCAGACAUGACCGAGACAGCUCUCUGGCCAAUAACCAACAGCUGGAUCUGGAUACCCAUGUUGGCUCCCACAUGUUCCACGAUGAUCUCAUCGGAUGAACCACGAUGUCGGGGAUUCAAUCAAUCCAGUAUACAAUUCCCUUUGUCAAUCGGUACGUUGCUUGCCCGAGAUUCGAUCGUGGGUAUCCCAAUACCUCGUUCAAUCUCGUUACCGGCAAGUCACUUUACUCGUUCCGUAAUGCAUGAUCCCAUGACUAACUACUUAGUCACAUUGAGCUCAUUAUGAUGAUGCAUUACUGAGUGGGCCCAGAGAUACCUCUCUGUCAUAUGGAGUGACAAAUCCCAGUCUCGAUUCGUGCCAACCCAACAGACACUUUCAGAGAUACCAUUAGUGUACCUUUAUAGCCACCCAGUUAUGUUGUGACGUUUGGUACACCCAAAGCAUUCCUACGGUAUCCGGGAGUGCACAAUCUCAUGGUCUAUGGAAAUGAUACUUGACAUUAGAAAAGCUUUUGGCAAACGAACUACAUGAUCUUGUGCUAUGCUUAGGAUUGGGUCUUGUCCAUCACAUCAUUCUCCUAAUGAUGUGAUCCCGUUAUCAAUGACAUCCAAUGUCCAUGGUCAGGAAACCAUGACCAUCUGUUGAUCAACGAGAUAGUCAACUAGAGGCUCACUAGGGACAUGUUGUGGUAUAAGUAUUCACACAUGUAUUACGGUUUCCAGUUAAUACAAUUAUAGGAUGAACAAUAGACAAUUAUCAUGAACAAGGAAAUAAAAUAAUAACCAUUUUAUUAUUGCCUCUAGGGCAUAUUUCCAACAAAAGAUACCUCCAAAGAUGGGGCCCUUUGUAUGGUUUAGGCUUAGCCUUUUAGCAAUAGCGACACUCAUACUAAAAGUGUUAUCACUGAAUAAGGCAUGGAGCGGAAUAAUAAUAUCAGGAACACUGAAGUUACCACUAUUUCCGCGACCAAUUAAGCAUCGACUAGCAAAUAUGGCAAAGUACCGUAAAAUAGGAAAGUGUAUGCUAGUGAUUCUCGCAUCGGAACCCUUCUUCAAUUCCCCUACAGUAAUAGUGUCAAUAACACCAUCCACAUCUUUACGAUGUGGUUCAUCUAAGCUGCCCUCAAAGGGUAUUCUACAAGCUGUGCAAAAAUAACGUAAAGAUAUUUCCUUAGCCUCAUCAUAUAAAUGAAAAGAUACUGAAGGAGGCGAAUUCUUAGGAUAGUAGUAAAAGUUUGCACGAAGUAUUGGUAAGUAAGAGAUAUUGUUCGAUCCGGUUGUGGAGGAAGUCGAUGAGGCCCGCAUUUUUAGCCAAAGAAUAAAAGUCUUCAUAAAUCCCGGCUACUCUUAGAAAAUUAUCACAAGGCCAUUCACACUGCCGUACUUCCGCUACACGAGGAGGAUUAUACUUGGCCUUUUCUUUCUCCUUAGCUUGUUUAUCCUUGGAUCUUUGGCUAGAAGAGCCCCUCAAGAACAACCUCUUCAUCUUUUCUGAAAGUUUCAGAAAAUUUUAGUAACUUCAAAAUAAAAGUGAAUCAAACUAAACAAGAUUGAUAGCAACUACUCCCACAAAGUGCCUAGAGCCUAUAUCAUGCAUUAGAAUUACUUGGGACCUCAUAAAUUUGACAUGCAAGCUCAAGAACAGGGUCACCUAUGCAGCACUAGAACAAAAACUAAUUGGACCAAUGGAGGAGUCACAUACCAAGCAACAAUCUCCCAAAGAAGUUUUGUGAAUGGAGCUUUGAGCAAGGAGAUCGAAAAUCGCAGCAAAAUGAGCUAGAACUCGUGCUUGAGCUGGAUGGGGAUUUUUUUGGGAGGAAGAUGGAGUGUGUGGGUGCAGGAAUAAGUUGAGGGGGGGGGCACCAUGGGCCCACGAGGCAGGGGGCGCACCCUUGACCCUCGUGGCCAGGUGCUUGCCCCCCUGCUGUGUUUUCAGUGCCUAAAAUUCUCAAAUAUUCCAUAAAAAAUCAUACUAAAUUUGUAGGGCAUUUGGAGAACUUUUAUUUUCGGGAUAUUUUUUAUUGCAUGGAUAAUUCAGAAAACAGAUAAUACUAUUUUUGCUUUAUUUAUUUUAAAUAACAGAAAGUGAAAAGAGGGUACAGAAGGUUGUGCCUUCUAGUUUCAUCCAUCUCAUGAUCAUCAAAAGGAAUCCACUAACAAGGUUGAUCAAGUCUUGUUAACAAACUCAUUCCGAAUAACAUGGAACCGGAGAAAUUUCGAAUAACACUAGAUUACCUCAACGGGCAUAUGAACAUCCCCAAUAAUAAGAAUAUCAUAUUUUUCUUGACAGUACGAAGAGGAAAUUCAAAACCUCCAAUAAUGAUAGUUGGAAUUUUUCCAAUAGAAUUGAUACUACGAACUUGAGGUUGUUUUCUCAGAAAGUGUACCGUAUGCUCAUUACCAUUAACAUGAAAAGUGACAUUGCCUUUGUUGCAAUCAAUAAUAGCUCCUGCAGUAUUCAAAAAGGGUCUACCAAGGAUAAUCAACAUACUAUUGUCCUCAGGAAUAUCAAGAAUAACAAAGUCCGUUAAGAUAGUGACAUUUGCAACCACAACAGGCACAUCCUCACAAAUACCGACAGGUAUGGCAGUUGAUUUAUCAGCCAUUUGCAAAGAUAUUUCAGUAGGUGUCGACUUAUUCAAUUCAAGUCUAUGAUAUAAAGAGAGAGUCAUAACACCAACACCGGAUCCAAGAUCACAUAAAGCAGUUUUAACAUAGUUUCUUUUAAAGGAGCAUGGUAUAGUUGGUCCUCCUGGAUCUCCAAGUUUCUUUGGUAUGCCACCCUUAAAAGUGUAGUUAGCAAGCAUGGUGGAAAUUUUAGCUUCCUGUAUCUUUCUUUUAUUUGCAAUGAUAUCCUUCAUGUAUUUAGCAUAAGGGUUUACUUUAAGCAUAUCAGUUAAGCGCAUACGUAAGAAGAUAGGUCUAAUCAUUUCAGCAAAGCGAUCAAAAUCCUCAUCAUCCUUUGUGUGGGAUGGUUUAGCAGGAAAAGGCAUGGGUUUCUGAACCCAUGGUUCUCUUUCUUUACCGUGCUUCCUAGCAACUAAAUGUCUUUUAUCAUAAUGUUGAUUCUUUGAUUAUGGGUUAUCAAGAUCAACAGCAGGUUCAAUUUCUACAUCAUUAUUAAUGCUAGGUUGAGCAUCAACAUGAACAUUACCAUUAACAUUAUCACUAGAUUCAUGUUCAUCACCUGAUUGUGUUUCAGCAUCAGAAAUAGAAAUAUCAUUGGGAUUCUUAGGUGUGUCUACAAUAGGUUCACUAGAAGCAUACAAAGUCCUAUCGUUUUUCUUUUUCUUCCUUUUAGAAGGACUAGGUGCAUCUACAUUAUUUCUCUAAGAAUCCUGCUCGAUUCUCUUAGGGUGGACUUCAAGAUACAAAGGUUCCUGAGUCAUACUACCAGUUCUAGUAGCCACUCUAACAGCAAAGUCAUGUUUAUUAUCUAAUUCAUCGAGCAAAUCACUUUGAGCUUUAAGUACUUGUUCAGCUUGAGUGGUGACCAUAGAAGCAUAUUUGCUAAUGAGUUUAAGUUCACCUUUAACCCUAGCCAUAUAAUCACUCAAGUGUCCUAUCAUGAAAGCAUUACUCUUUAAUUCUCUACCAACAUAAGCAUUAAAACUUUCUUGUCUAGCCAUAAAGUUAUCAAAUUCAUCUAAACAUGGGCUAGGAAAUUUAAUAGACGGGAUUUCAACUUUAUCAUAUCUAUAGAGAGAAUUUACCUCUACUACCUGUGUCGGGUUAUCAAGACAAUGUGUUUCUUCAAUAGGCGGUAAUUAAGACCAUGUAUUUCUUCAAUAGGAGGUAAAUUCUUAACAUCUUCAUCUUUAAUACCUUUUUCUUUCAUUGAUUUCUUUGCCUCUUGCAUAUCUUCAGGACUGAGAAAUAGAACUCCCCUCUUCUCCGGAGUUGGUUUAGGUGUAGGAUCAGGAGUUGGCUCAAUUGGCUCAGGAAUUGGCUCAGGAAGAGUCCAACUAUUUUCAUUAGUCAACAUAUUAUUCAAUAGUAAUUCAGCUUGGUCGACUAUUCUUUUUCUGAAAACACAACCAGCACAACUAUCCAAGUGGUCCUUGAAAGCAUCGGUUAGUCCAUUAUAAAAGAUAUCAAGUAUUUCAUUUUUCUUAAGAGGAUGAUCAAGGAAAGCAUUAAAUAAUUGGAUAAGCCUCCCCCAAGCUUGUGGGAGACUCUCUUCUUCGAUUUCCACAAAAUUAUAUAUUUCCCUCAAGGCAGCUUGUUUCUUAUGAGCAGGGAAAUAUUUAGCAGAGAAGUAAUAAAUCAUAUCCCGGGGACUACUCACACAACCAGGAUCAAGAGAAUUAAACCAAGUUUUAGCAUCACCCUUUAAUGAGAACGGGAAUAUCUUAAGGAUAUAAUAAUAGCAAGACUUCUCAUCAUUAGUAAACAUGGUGGCUAUAUCAUUUAACUUGGUAAGAUGUGCCACAACAGUUUCAGAUUCAUUGCCAUAAAAAGGAUCAGAUUCAACCAAAGUAAUGAUUUUAGGAUCAAUAGAGAAUUCAUAAUCCUUAUCAGUAACACAGAUAGGUGAAGUAGCAAAAUUAGGGUCAUGUUUCAUUCUAGCAUUAAGAGAUUGCUGCUUCCAUUUAGCUAAUAACUUCUUAAGAUCAUAUCUAUCAUUGCAAGAAAAAAUAGCUCUAGUAGCUUCUUCAUCCAUAACAUAACCCUCAAGAACAACAGGAAAUUCAUACUUAGGGGGAGAACCUUCAUCAUCACUAUCAUCGAUAAUUUCAUCUUUGAUAAUUUCAUUCUCUCUAACCCUAGCAAGUUGUUCAUCAAGAUAUUCACCUAAUGGCAUAGUAGUAUCAAGCAUAGAAGUAGUUUCAUCAUAAGUAUCAUGCAUAGCAGAAGUGGCAUCAUCAAUAACAUGCGACAUAUCAGAAUUCAUAGCAGUAGCAGGUUUAGGUGUCGCAAGCUUACUCAAAACAGAAGGAGAAUCUAGUGCAGAGCUAGAUGGCAGUUCCUUACCUCCCCUCGUAAUUGAGGGAAAAAUCUUAGUUCUUUCGUCUUUCAAGUUCCUCAUAGUGAUCAGAAGAUAUAAAUCCCAAGUGACUCAAUGAAUAGAGCUAUGCUCCCCGGCAACCGCGCUAGAAAAUAGUCUUGAUAACCCAAAUUUAUUGAUUCGACACAAGGGGAGACAAAGAAUAUUCUCAAGUAUUAGCAGUUGAGUUGUCAAUUCAACAACACCUGGAUAACUUAGUAUCUGCAGCAAAGUAUUUAGUAGCAAAGUAGUAUGAUAGUAAUGGUAACAGUGAUAAAAGUAACGAUAUCAGUUUUGUAGUAAUUGUAACAGUAGCAACGGAAAAGUAAAUAGGCAAAGCACAAUAUGUGAAAAGCUCGUAGGCAUUGGAUCAAUGAUGGAUAAUUAUGUCGGAUGCGAUUCCUCAUGUAAUAGUUAUAACAUAGGGUGACACAGAACUAGCUCCAGUUCAUCAAUGUAAUGUAGGCAUGUGUUCCGAAUAUAGUCAUACGUGCUUAUGGAAAAGAACUUGCAUGCCAUCUUUUGUCCUACCCUCCCGUGGCAGCGGGGUCCUAAUGGAAACUAAGGGAUAUUAAGGCCUCCUUUUAAUAGAGUACCAGACCAAAGCAUUAACACGUAGUGAAUACAUGAACUCCUCAAACUACGGUCAUCACCGAGAAGUGUCCCCAUUAUUGUCACUUCGGGGUUGUCGGAUCAUAACACAUAAUAGGUGACUAUAGACUUGCAAGAUAGGAUCAAGAACUCACAUAUAUUCAUGAAAACAUAAUAGGUUCAGAUCUGAAAUCAAGGCACUCGGACCCUAGUGAUAAGCAUUAAGCAUGGCAAAGUCAUAGCAACAUCAAUCUCAGAACAUAGUGGAUACUAGGGAUCAAACCCUAGCAAAACUAACUUGAUUACAUGGUAAAUCUCAUCCAACCCAUCACCGUCCAGCAAGCCUAGGAUGAAAUUACUCACGCACGACAGUGAGCAUCAUGAAAUUGGUGAUGGAGGAUGGUUGAUGAUGAUGAUGAUGACAACAAAUCCCCCUUUUCGGAGCCCCGAACGGUCUCCAGAUGAGCCCUCCGGAGAGAGAUUAGGGCUUGGCGGCGGCUCCAUAUUGUAAAACGUGAUGAAACUUUUUCUCUGAUUUUUUUCUCCACGAAACGGAAUAUCUAGAGUUGGAGUUGAGUUCGGUGGAGCAUCAGGGGGCCCACGAGACAGGGGGGCGUGCCCACGGGCAGGGGGCGCGCCCCCCACCCUCGUGGACAGGGUGUGGGCCCCCUGGCCUUGAUUCUUUUGCCGGUAUUUUUUAUAUUUUCCAAAAGUUAUCUCUGUGGAUUUUCAGGUCAUUCCGAGAACUUUUGUUUUCUGCACAAUAAAAAACACCAUGGCAGUUCUACUGAAAACAGCGUCAGUCCGGGUUAGUUUCAUUCAAAUCAUGCAAGUUAGAGUCCAAAAUAAGUGCAAAAGUGUUUGGAAAAGUAGAUACGUUGGAGACAUAUCAACUAGCUCGUUGAUCAAAGAUGGCUGUGUUUCCUAGCCAUAGACAUGAGUUGUCAUUUUAUUAACGGGAUCACAUCAUUAGGAGUAUGGUGUGAUUGACUUGACCCAUUCCGUUAGCUUAGCACUUGAUCGUCUACUAUGUUGCUAUUGCUUUCUUCAUGACUUAUACAUGUUCCUAUGACUAUGAGAUUAUGCAACUCCCGUUUACCAGAGGAACACUUUGUGUGCUACCAAACGUCACAACGUAACUGGGUGAUUAUAAAGGACCUCUACAGGUGUCUCCGAAGGUACAUGUUGAGUUGGCGUAUUUCGAGAUUAGGAUUUGUCACUCCAAUUGUCGGAGAGGUAUCUAUGGGCCCUCUCGGUAAUGCACAUCACUAUAAGCCUUGCAAGCAAUGUGACUAAUGAGUUAGUUGCGGGAUGAUGUAUUACGAUACGAGUAAAGAGACUUGCCGGUAACGAGAUUGAGCUAGGUAUUGAGAUACCGACGAUCGAAUCUUGGGCAAGUAACAUACCAAUGACAAAGGGAACAACACAUGUUGUUAUGCGGUUUGACCGAUAAAGAUCUUCAUAGAAUAUGUAGGAGCCAAUAUGAGCAUCCAGGUUCCGCUAUUGGUUAUUAACCGGAGACGUGUCUCAGUCAUGUCUACAUAGUUCUCGAACCCGUAGGGUCCGCACGCUUAAAGUUCGAUGACGAUCGGUAUUAUGAGUUUUUGUGUUUUGAUGUACCGAAUGUAGUUCGGAGUCACGGAUAUGACCACGGACAUAGCGAGGAGCCUCGAAAUGGUCGAGACAUAAAGAUCAAUAUAUUGGAUGACUAUAUGUUCGGACACCGGAAGUGUUUCGGGAGGUUUCGGACAUAUACCGGAGUGCCGGGGGAUUACCGGAACCCCCCGGGGGGUUUAUUGGGCCUCAUGGGCCCUAGUGGAGAUGAGGAGGGGCGGCCAGGGCAGGCCGCGAGCCCCCUCCCCCUCUAGUCCAAAUUGGACAAGGAGGGGGGCGGCACUCCCGCUUUCCUUCCUCUCCACUCUCCCUUCCUUUCCCCCUCCUACUCCAACUAGGAAACGAGGGAGUCCUACUCCCGGUGGGAGUAGGACUCCUCCCUCGUGUGCCCUCCUCCUGGCCGGCCACCCCCUCCCCCUUGAUCCUUUAUAUGCAGGGGCAGGGGCACCUCUAGACACAACAAUUGAUCUCUUCAUCUCUUAGCCAUGUGCGAUGCCCCCUCCACCAUAUUCCACCUCGGUAAUAUCGUCGCGGUGCUUAGGUGAAGCCCAGCGUCGGUAGAAUCAUCAACACCGUCAUCACGCCGUCGUGCUGACGGAACUCUCCCGCAAAGCUCUGCUGGAUCGUAGUUAGUGGGACGUCAUCGAGCUGAAUGUGUGCUGAACUCAGAGGUGCCGUACGUUCGUUACUUGAUCGGUCGGAUCGUGAAGAUGUACGACUACAUCAAUAGCGUUGUGCUAACACUUCCCCUCUUGUUGCUAUGCAUCAGCAUGAUCUUGCGUGUGCAUAGGAUUUUUUUUGAAAUUACUGCGUUUUCCAAUAGGCGGGUCAUUGCGGCCCGCAGGCUCCAUCCGGGCGACGCGAGCUGCCCGGCGCUCCGCAUGCAUGCGACGAGCGCCAGCCAUGGUAUUGGUAAAGCGGGAGCUGAAACUGAGUAGAAGAACAACAACACACCCCUACCUGGGGCGCCAAAUGUUGGAAUCCAGUCUCCAGGGACCCAAGAGGUUCGAACUCUAGGGUACGUUAGUUCCUACCGCCCUACUCUGCCCUCACAACUUCACGGAGACACUGUGGUAAGCUCGAGCUAAGGUAGAGGAACAAUGAACACGGUAGUUACCCAGGUCCGGGCCACCUUGCAGUGUAAAACCUUACUCCUGCUUGUCUGGGAUUGCUUGGCAAGAGAGAGUACAAGUGUUGGGUUCUAGUUGCUAAACGAGUCGACACCCUCUAUGGUGGCAUCUCGCCCUCUUCUUAUACUGCCCCUGGUCCUCUUCCCCCGAAAAGACAAGGCAGGAAGGGUUGCCACAACGGCUAGUUUGAAGGGGGACAAGGUCACAGCUUAUCCUGACUAAAGGCGUUCUUCGCCUACAAAAGACUCCUACCGUGACGAGCUGGUGGGCACGGGAAUGACGACAGCCCUAGCACACCCAUUGUCUUAUUCAUCUUGCACCGAUCAGGCAACCUUUGGAGAUUGCUUUGGGAGCUGGCCUCGCUCCCUUAGCACGAAAGAGGAAAGCCUCCUUAUCUGCGUCCGCUGGCGCGACCUCUGGCAUCGCUUGUCGCCUCGCUCAUCACCCACGUGAAGACUCUGGACUGCAUGACCGGGCCUGGCGGCUCUUGACUUGUUUGCCUCCACAAGGGCCUUGGGAGGAGACCUCGCAAGACUGCCUCGCGAGAGGGCCUCCUGAGGUUCCUGGCGGCGCCUCCGAUCUGCCUGGGGCGCUGCUAACGUAUGCCUCGCGGGCGAGGGCCUCGCGAGAAUCUUGCUCAUGAACCUUAGUUUUGGUUCGCGCACUGGGCCGAAGGAAUACAGGCCUGGGUACCCCCAGUCCCACAGCCCCGACACAUGGCUUGCCAUGUUUUUUUUGAAAAGGAGGGUGACCCCAGGCCUCUUCAUCUGGGAGAUGCAUACAGCCAUUCAUUGAUUAUUCUCGAGGACCUUACAAAGUAUAACAACAAUAUGCCUUAAUCCGCCAUCUUGGCAGCAUCUGCCGCUACUCCUAUCCAAAUGAUGAAGGUGUGCAAGCUGGGCCACAUACACAUACCUCUCACCUAAGCCUAACAUCUAAAGCCGGAUGCCUCGACCGAGCCAUCUGCCAGGUCCGGGACUCAAAUGGUCUGACGCACUCACAUGUGUCAUCGCCGUCAUCAUCCACUGGUCCAUAUUCAAAGCAGAUUGAGGUGACAACCUUGGCAGGUCCUCCGUCAUCAACGCCACCAUGACACCAAACGACGACCUCCACCUAUGUGAGCCUUGGCAAGUCCUCCGCCAUUGACGCCACCAUGAUGCCAGCCGACGACCUCCACCUACGCGAGUCCAUCUCCAAGCAACGGACGUAAAUCCAUGCUAGGAAAGGGCCGCACGACCGCCGUCGGUGAAAGAACUAUGUGGCGCUUUGGCUCAUCGUAUGAUCCAUUCGCUUCCUUAUCUUUUCUUUUUCUCGGCCUGGUAGACAUGUCUUUCACAUAAAAAACCUGCGCCACAUCAUUGGCUAGGACGAAUGGUUCGUCUGCAUACGCAAGAUUGUUGAGAUCCACUGUUGUCAUUCUGUACUACGGGUCUUCCGUUACCCCGCCUCGUGUCAUAUUGACCCAUUUGCACCGAAACAAAGGGACCUUCAAACCACCUCCAUAGUUAAGUUCCCAUAUGUCCUCUAUGUAACCAUAAUAUGUUUCCUUUCCCGUGUUGGUUGUUGCAUCAAAGAGGACACCAUUGUUUUGGUUGGUGCUCUUCUUAUCUUGGGCGAUCGUGUAAAAUGUAUUCCCAUUUAUCUCGUACCCUUUGAAAGUCAUUAUAUUCGAAGAUGGUAACUGGAACAACGAGUACAGGUCAUCUUCAACAUCGCCAUCAUGCAUGGCACAUUUCUGCAACCAACCGGCGAAAGUCCUCGUUUGUUCAUGUGUAAUCCAGUCGUCAGACUGCUCCGAGCGUUUGGAGUGUAGAAAAUUCUUGUGUUCCUCCGUAUACGGAGCCACCAAGGCAGAAUUUUGUAGAACUGUGUAGUGUGCUUCAGUGAGAGAAUGCCCGUCCAUACAUAUUAUUUGAUCCCCUUCUAGCAUGCCUUUUCCAUCCAGUCCACCCUUAUGCCGCGAUUCAGGAACACCAAUCGGCUUAAGGUCAGGAAUAAAGUAAAUACAAAACUCAAUAACCUCCUCAUCUUCAUGGCCCUUCGAGAUGCUUCCUUGUGGCCUAGCAUGGUUAUGAACAUAUUUCUUCAAGACUCCCAUGAACCUCUCAAACAGGAACAUAUUGAGUAGAAAUACAGGACCCAAAACGUUAAUCUCUUCGCAAAGGUGAACUAGGACGUGCGUCAUGAUGUUGAAGAAGGAUGGUGGGAACACCAACUCGAAACUGACAAGACAUUGCACCAAAUCAUUCUGUAACCUCAGUAUGAUUUCUGGAUCGAUUACCUUCUAAGAGAUUGCAUUGAGGAAUGCACAUAGCUUCACAAUGGCUAAUCGAACAUUUUUCGGUAGAAGCCCCCUCAAUGCAACCGGAAGCAGUUGCAUCAUAAUCACGUGGCAGUCAUGAGACUUUAGGUUCUGGAACUUUUUCUCUACCAUAUUUAUUAUUCCCUUUAUAUUCGACGAGAAGCCAGAGGGUACCUUCAUACUGAGCAGGCAUUCAAAGAAUAUUUCCUUCUCUUCUUUGGUAAGAGCGUAGCUGGCCUGACCCUGAUGUAUGCCGUCUUUUCCGUGCAUACGUUGCUGGUCGUCCUGGGCCUCUAGUGUAUCUUUUGUCUUCCCAUACACGCCCAAGAAGCCAAGCAGGGUCACGCAAAGAUUCUUCGUCACGUGCAUCACGUUGAUUGUGGAGCGGACCUCUAGGUCUUUCCAAUAUGGCAGGUCCCAAAAUAUAGAUUUCUUCUUCCACAUGGGUGCGCGUCCGUCAGCGUCCUUCAGAACAGGUUGUCUGCCAGGACCCUUUCCAAAGAUUACCUUCAAAUCCUUGACCACAUCAUAUACAUCAACACCAGUACGGUGGCGAGGCUUCGUCCAGUGAUCCGCCUCACAUUUGAAAUGCUUGCCUUUCUUUCUUACGGGAUGCCUGCUCAGAAGAAAUCGAUGAUGUCCCAAGUACACAUUCUUCCUACAAGUAUCCAAAUAUAUACUGUCGGUAUCAUCCAAACAGUGCGUGCAUCCGCGGUAUCCCUUGUUUAUCUGUCCUGAAAGGUUACUGAGAGCAGGCCAAUCAUUGAUGGUCACAAACAGCAAUGCCUUUAGGUUAAAUUCUUCCUGUUUGUGCUCAUCCCACGCACGUACACCUUUUCCAUUCCACAGCUCUAAUAGUUCUUCAACUAAAGGCCUUAGGUACACAUCAAUGUCAUUGUCGGGUUGCUUAGGGCCUUGGAUGAGCAAUGGCAUCAUAAUGAACUUCCGCUUCAUGCACAACCAAGGAGGAAGGUUAUACAAACAUAGAGUCAUAGGCCACACGCUAUGGUUGUUGCUCUGCUCCCUAAAAGGAUUAAUGCCAUAUGCGCUUAGAGCAAACCAUACGUUCCUUGGGUCACCUGCAAACUCCUCCCUGUACUUUCUCUCGAUUUUUCUCCACUGCGACCCGUCAGCAGGUACUGUCAACUUCCAGUCUUUCUUACGGUCUUCUCUGUGCCUUGCAUCGCCUGCACAUGCUCUUUGUUUUGGAACAAACGUUUCAACCAUGGUAUGAUAGGAGCAUACCACAUCACCUUGGCAGGAAUCUUCUUCCUGGAGCGCUCGCCCUCGACAUCACCAGGGCCAUCGCGACUGAUCUUAUAACGCAAUGCACUGCAUACCGGGCAAGCAUUCAAAUCCUCGUACUCACCACGGUAGAGGAUGCAGUCAUUAGGGCAUGCAUGUAUCUUCUGCACCUCUAACCCUAGAGGACAGACAUCCUUCUUUGCUUCAUACGUACUCUCGGGCAAUUCAUUGUCGUUUGGAAGCCUAUUCUUUAUCAUUACCAGCAACUUUCCAAAUCCCUUGUCAGAUACACCAUUCUCUGCCUUCCAUUGCAGCAAUUCCAGUGUGGUCCCAACUUUUUUUUGUCAGCUUCGCAAUUCGGGUACAACAAUUUCUUGUGAUCCUCUAACAUGCGCUGCAACUUAUUCUUCUCCAAAUCACAUGUGCAGUUACUCUUUGCAUCGGCAAUGGCCCGACCUAGAUCAUCAGUGGGCUCAUCUGAUGCCUCUUCUUCAGCUUCUUCCCGCAAUUCCGGCUCAGCUUCUUCCCCCAUUGUUGUAUCAUCGUAUUCAGGAAACCGAUGUCCACAAUAGCUAUCGUCGUCCUCUUCUUAUUCAUUGUCUUCCAUCAUAACCCCUCUUUCUCCGUGCUUGGUCCAAACAUUAUAGUGGGGCAUGAAAGCGGACUCAAAUAGGUGGACGUGAAUGGUUUUUGACGUAGAGUAAUUGUGACCAUUCUUACAGCCAGCACAUGGACAAUGCAUAAAACCAUCCACCCGCUUGUUUGCCUCAGUGGCAAGCAGAAAAGUAUGCACGCCAUUAAUGAACUCGGGAGAGCAUCGGUCAUCAUACAUCCAUUGUCGGCUCAUCUUCAUUACACAACACCGAAAAGACCAAAUUAAUACAAGUUCAUACAUAAAGUUCAUACAUAUAUAUAGUUCAUCAACACUUAAAUGCAACAAACAAAUAACUCUCUAGCUAAAGAAUUUAAAUGCAACAACAAAUGCGAUCAAGAUUGCAACUAAGGUAACAAUUGAUCCAACAACAUAAUGAUACCAAGCCUCACUAUCAAUGGCAUAUUUUCUAAUCUUUCUAACCUUCAAGCGCAUUUUCUCCAUCUUGAUCUUGUGAUCAUCGACGACAUCGGCAACAUGUAACUCCAAUUCCGUCUUCUCCCCCUCAAUUCUUUUCAAUUUUUCUUUCAAAUACUCGUUUUCUCUUUCAACUAAAUUUAACCUCUCGACAAUAGGGUUGGUUGGAAUUUCCGGUUCACAUACCCCCUAGAUAUAAAUAUCUAUGUCAACUUGAUGGGCAUAAUUUGUCAUAAACACGAAAUGCAACAACUAGUUUUAAAAGAGAAUAUACCACAUCCGAAUCAUAACAAGGACGAGGGCCGACGGGGACGGAUAUCAAAACCAUGGCACUAUGUAUAACAAACAACAUACAGGUAAGAUAAUUAUACGAGUAACUAUAUAUCCAAAUCACACAAACAUCAAUUUGGUAAUGUAAAACAUUCAUGAACAAGAGCCUCACCACAAGGUGGUGCCGGCGACAGGACAGUGCGGGCGAUCGAUGAUGGUCAUGAUGGAGAUUUAGAAGGCACUAAGUAAACCACACCUACAUGUGCAAACUAAGUGUUAUUUUUGACCUCAAAUUGCAUAUAAACCAAAUACUAGCACAUAUAAUUCCUCCCAAAUUACUAAACUCACAAAUUAAUCACUAUACAAAGCAUUGCAAGAGCUAAUCGCCCGGGAGUUAGGGCUUUCGCCCGGGAGACCUAGUGGAAUGUGAAGUAAGGAGAUCAAUCCAUACCGACGCCUCCAAGGAGGGAAAUGGUGCCCUCAGGCGUCGCUGUCGAUGCGGCCGAUCAUGGCCGGCCAGGGAUUUUGCCUGAACUAGAUCUCCGCCACCAGCAACACCUCCUGUACAGAACGUUGACCAAGAGGAAGCGCGGCCCGACCAGGCUGGCCCGCACGCCGAACAGGGGAAGAAGGGAGGUGCCAGAUCACACACACCGACCACCGUAGAAGCUGCCGUCGGCCGCCAACGACCACCGGAUCCACCACCCGCACGGCUGUUAGCCGAUCAUGCCUUGCCAAUGGAGCCGCCGCUCCAGAUCCAGGGUUCCCCACACAGGAGUAGGGCAACCGAGGCCCCGCCGCCAUGUAAUUAAGAAAAUGUUUAUUUAGUCUAAUACAUAAACUGGCCCAUGGCACAACAUAUGAUUAACUAGAAAUUAGAAGGGGAUUUCAUGCAUCUUCUUUAUUUUCUAUGUGUAGUCACAUUAACCAUUAACCCUUGAGCCGUCACCAGGUAGUGGUUAGGUUUGCAUCCUCAUCUACAAUGUCUUAUCCUAGUGGUGUGUUCCAGAUCCCAAGUAAUUGACAGUGUCACAUUUAUCCCACAAUAAUACAUAUCAACCUAAGACUAAUUAUACCAAGUUAUGAUUGCAUGUUAUGAUUAUAAAUGAGUAAUUUUAUAUGCAUUAUACCCAUAUCCAUUCAAACUUAUAUAGAAGUGAAACUGUGAAAGGCACUCCCAUUUUCAUAUGUGAAAAAUGAUAGUAGCAUAAAAGGCCUACCCGUUAUGAACCUUAAACAUGUUCAAUGUUUGGUUUUUUGGUUGGAAAGAAAUGUGUGUUUGUUUCUUUCUUAGAGGAAUAUGUGUUUCUUUCUCUUCGUCGCGAGUCAUAGAGUAGUGAAUAGAUUAGUAACCGUGGGUUCUUGAACCAACGGCUGAGAUGGGCAAGGUGAGAUGCGAGUGCUUAUCCUCCCAUUUCCAUGUCAUGCCUUGAUGAGUCAAAUGAACAUAGGGGUGGCCGCGCCUAAGACCGCACAGGGAUAAUGGUGCCUGCCUAUUCUGCCAAAAUAAUCCCAUUGAAUUCGAAGGUAUUCCCUUAGUCACGGUUGUGCCACACCCUCAAUGUCGCCUCGUGCUGCGGCCUCCUCCUCCAUUCCUCGACUCGGCCAUGGUGACGGGGACCAAGAUCUGGGGCAGCACGCCACUAUGAUAAACUGCAGGAAGACUCUCCAGUGGGCCCCUUUAUGCACCAUCGUCGAUGGGGUUCGCCGGCCAGGUGAGGAUGUGAAUUUCCCUCUUCCAGCUCUCAUUCACCGGUGUGGCCACCAUUGGCCAAAUCUUCACUACCUUGGGUGCGCUCUUUCCUAGCCGCCCUUAGAUCUCUCUACUUCUCCCUAUUUCUUGUUCCAUCGAAUGGCGACCUCCUCGCUGGUGCGUCCGAUCAUGGAGGUUCCAAACAAGCAUAGCCUCCAAGGCACUGCACACCCACAUCUCAGAAGGCACACCAUCACCUAAUUACCUUGUUAGGCUAAAUUUACUACCCACGGGUAUGUGUAUGGGCCAAAUGUAGUCCGCACAGGGUGUCGGGGGGAUGGGUACAAUCAAGCGCUCCCUGUAGCUGAUUCCUGUGGGCCCAUCAAUUAGGCCAGAUAUGUGUGCUCUAUCAUUUCUCCCAUAUAAAUAUACCACACCCAACCUUCUCACACUAGAACCCUAAAUCAAACCGCACAAUAGUCCUCUUUUCUCCGCUAGCCGCCGCCAACCCUCUCUUCUCCCAACCCUUCCCACUUCCUAGAUCGAGCCUCACGCCAUCAUGACAGGCCGACGGGAAGCCUCUCUGGAGGAGCCAUCUAUGCAUCAACGUCGAUGGGGUUCGCCGACCAAAUGAGGGUGUGGAUCCCCAUCUCAUGCUGUCAAUCAUCGGCACAGCCACCAUCAACCAGAUCUUCACUAACUCAAGUAUGUGUUCUCUCUCUCUCCUUCUCUCUCCUGGUCGCCCUUGGAUCCCUCUCGUACUCCUUAGUUUCUUGUUACACUGAUAAGUGACCUCAUCGCCGAUGCUUUCGACUAUGGACAUGUCCAUCAAGCAUAGCCUCCAUGGCACCGCACACGCAUGUCCUAGGAGGCACGCCAUCAGCUAAUUACCUUAUUUGUGCUCAAUUUGCAACCCACAGGCAUGCGUAUGGGCCAAAUGUUGUCCCACCAGGUAUCAUGGGGGUGGGUACGUUCCACCACUCAUGUACCUGAUAUCCAUGAGUGCCGUCAGUUAGGCCCGACAUGUGGGCCCUAGCAUUUCUCCCGUAUAAAAUUACUACAUCCAUCCAUCCCACGAUGGAACCCUAAAUCAAUCCACAUUUGACUCCUCUGUCCUCUCCUAGCCGCAACCAACCCUUCUACCUUCUCCAAGCCUCUCCCUCUUCCCCAAAUCGAUCCUCCUACCAUCAUUCACCACCCGUUAACUAAGAUGGUGUUGCAUAGCCUCGACCAUGUAGAUCUAUUCUCCGCUCGUCCCUAUCACCCUCACCCAUCAUAGGCGCAUCUCAUCUCGUCGCUCUUGCUGCCGAAUCAAUUGUGGGGACUGCGAUGGUGUGCCACUUAGAGUCCAAGCCCUACUGGUCAGCUACUCGCGCGUCACGACAGCCUCCUCCAGAUCCACCCCUCUGCACGACCACGAUUGACUCUGAUGAGAUCGCACAUCACUUUUGCCUCUCAAAUCCCAAGGUAAUCAUAGGCCAUGCCAUGGCCAGAAUCUCCCUCUCGCCGCUGCGAUUUUGCUCCUGGCGUUCUUCCCGUCUCGUGUUCUGUGUUGUUCGUUCCUUCCUACCGAGAGAUCGAUUUCGAGUUCUUUUUGUUUUGUUUGCGGUGGACCUUUCUUUCGGUGUGUGUCUGUUUUUUGUUUUGCCUUGAGCAGAGUUUAUCUAACCUUCAGGUCGCCGGUGCUCCGUCUGGUUCCUGAUAUGGUUCUAUUACCUGCUUUACUGUCUCAUCUCACUGUUGGAUUCAUUUUACCAAUCUUUCCCAGUUUGGUUGCCGGCCAAAAAUUCUUUACUUUUUCCCCACUCGGCGGCUGUUGUGACUGAUUCCAUAGUUUCCUUUCGAUCUUGUUCUGUUUUAGUAGGAUUUCCGUUUGGUCUGACUUCGCAGCGACAACAUGAUCAUGGCAGAAGAUUCAUGCUUUCGCCCGAUUGUUUCUAUACGGAUUUUUAUCGAACAAAUCUUUGAAUGUUCGAGGUUCAUAAUUCAAUUUCUCAGUUCGUAGACAUGGUUGCUUUUUGGAACUGAUUUUGGUUUAGAUAGAAUUCUCGCAACAAGGGGAAGAAUUUCUUUACUGUUUGUUUCAAUAUGUAUCCCAAGUGUUCAAACUGGUUCUCAUACUCGCUAACACAGUCUGUGGAUUGUCUGAUUUUCAUUUUCCAUGCAGGUACCACAGGAUCAACUCGGAAUCUGUCCAAGUCCCCAAUGGCGGCGGCAACGGCAUCAGAGCCACCAAGAAGCCAACAGAACCAGGCGUCACCCACACCAAGCAUGGACGAGCAUGACAGCGCCCCAGCCGUGGAUGCCGACAGGUCGAUCCUCACGUCCUACCUUGCCCGCGCCUCGCUCAAGCAGUGCCCGCCACAAGGGCUUCCGUCGUCCUCAUCUACUGCCAUCAUGAGGAACCACCAGCUGUACAACGCCACCGCCCUCUCCUCCCAGGGACUCAAACUCGGGGAUGUGUUCUACAACUUGGCCACCCAAACCUUCGAGCCAUCCAAUAGCCUCGACGGAGCGGUCUACACCUUCGCCGCACAAGCCUCCCAGGCAUACAACAGCCUAGGCAGCGGGCUCUACAACCUUGCCGCCCAGGCUACCCAGGGAGGCAACCUCGGCGGCGGGCUCUACAAACUCGCCGCCCAAGCCACCUAGGUAGCCUACCUCGGCGGCGGGCUCUACAACCUUGCCGCCUAGGCCACCCGGGGAGGCGACCUCGACAGCUGCAGCGGCGGCGAUGUUGAUACCGCCGCCGCCGAGGUCACCUCCUUGAGUGACCUGGGUGGAAAGUUUGUAGAGCCCGCCGUCGAGGUUGGCUCCCUAGGUGGCCUGGUCGGCGAGGUUGUAGAGCCCGCCGCCGAGGUCGCCUCCGUGGGUGGCCUGGGCGGUGAGGUUGUAGAGCCCGCCGCCGAGGUCGCCUCCCUGGGUGGCCUGGGCGGCGAGGUUGUAGAGCCCGCUGCCGAGGCUAUUGUAUGCCUAGGAGGCUUGUGCGGCGAAGGUGUAGACUGUGCCGUUGACACUGUUGGAUGGCUCGGAGGCUUGGGUGGCCAAGUUGUAGAGCCCGCCAACGAGGUUGAGUCCCUGGGACUGGGAGGAAUGCGUGGCGGCGUUGUACAGCUGGUGGUCCCUCAUGAUCGCAGCAGAUGAGGACGACGGACGCCCUCGUGGUUGGCGCUGCUCAAGUGAGGCGCGGGCGAGGUAGCACGUGAGGCUCGACCUGUCGACAUCCACGUCUGGCGUGCCAUCGCGCUCGUGAGUGACGACGCGGGUUCUGCUGGCAUGUCGCCGGGCCAUCCUAAGGAUCAAGAAACGCCCGACGACGCAAGGCCAGGCCCAGCCGCGCGCGAAGGCGAGAAGCUAAUGCGCCGCCGAGCGCCCGUGGCCCGGUCAUCCUCGACACCUCGCAAGAGACUCCUCGCGCUUCCACUCUCUCGCCACUGCCACCUCGCACCGCCACUCUCUCACAGCGCAGAUACGUACGCCACGCACCAUUCUCUGUCGAAGCCAGGUAACGUAGCCACUAUGGGACCUGCCCGUCGUCCAUGGCCACAGCGUCCCCACUCCGUCCAUGUUGAGUUGCCUUCGGCCGUCAUGGUUGGGUCGGUCCGGCCCUACCUGCUGCUCGUGUGCUUGAGCCAGGGCCGGGCCCGGUCUCGUUUGCGUGGCGUUGCGGAUCCCCCUCCCUUUUUAGAAAUAGUGGCGUGUUUCUUUACUCAAUUACACCUUUUGUAUUCUUGCCCUUUAUACGCGUAAGUAACGCCACACACAUUAAUCGGCACCUCAUUAUCUCCGGGAUAGAGACUGAUAAUCUGGGCGAUCUCCAGCGUCGUCUGUGUUGUGCUGUGAUCACUCUACACGCAAACAAUAGUGUCUUUUUUUUGCAGGGUGCAAACAACAGUGUCUGUCCUGGCACUAAUGCCAUUAAUAGUUUCCUUCCAUUGUUUGUAUAUGUACGUGGUGCAGGCCAGAGGAACUGCUGAUAUCACCGCUGAGUUCGUAUUAGGUUGGUCAUAAUGAUAGUAUUAUAGUUAGUAUCAUGCAUGUCAACUAGAUAAAUUUUGAUAAAGUGUCAUAGAAUUAAAUGAAGAAAAAAAGCAUUGAGUAUUAUAUCGUGAUACCGCAUUAUAACAAAUUCUAUGCUAGCAAUAAAUAAGGUACUACAUUACACUAAUAUAUGAUACUAUGGGAUGCAGUAUCGUACAUUAGUAUCAUAUGCAUGAUACUAGCAUAUGAUCCUCCCAGUAGUAGAGAUUUGACCGCAUUAGUGGCAUUAAUUAGUCUGCUUGCUUGUGCAUAUCCAACCAUCCAUCUAUCCAUCUGUAGAGUUGAGGUCUCCUUUUAUAUAUAUGUUGUGUACUUAUACUGGCUGCGCAGGCUACAUCCCAUAGACAUUGUUCGGUUUGGGUCAUGUCUGUCCUCCUUGCUUGCUGACGAUGCCGAACAUGAUGGUGACCAGAUCAUCCGCGGAGGACCCUCAUGUCGCUGCCGGAGAGCAGCAGCAGCCGCAGCGGCAAGCGGCGGACAAGGUACCUCGCACCACUGAGGAGGAGCCAGCGGAUUUUACCAAUCUUUCACGGUUUGGUUGCCUGUCUCGUCUCACUGCUGGAUUUUACCAAUCUUUCUCGUCUCACUGCCUCAAAUUCUUUUCUUUCCCCACUCGACGGCUGUUGUGACUGGUUGCAGAGUUUUCCCGUCGAUUUUGUUCUGUAUUAGGAUUUAUGUUUGGUCUCACAUGGCGUAAGAUUCAUGCUUUCGGCCGAUUGUUUCCAUGUCGUCGCUGCAGGCAGUUCCGUGUGUGCUUUUUUGUGCGGAUUUCCGUUGAGCAGAUCUUCGAGUGCUCGGGUUUCGUAGUUCAGUUCUGCAGUUCGUAGAUGUGGUCGCGUUUUAGAACUAAUUUUGGUUUUGGUUUACAGUUCUCGCAAUGAGGGGAAGAAGUUUUUUCUGUGGCUUUCAUGUUGUAUCCCAAGUAUUUGACUUGGUUCUCGUGCGAUCCAAAUCGCUGGCUAACAUCGUAUCUGGAUUGUCUGAUCUCGCUUUUCGUGCAGGUACCAGACGAUCAACCCGGAAUCCGUUCCAGUCCCCAAUGGCAGCGGCAGUGGUAGCGCCGCCACCAUGAAGCCAGCAGAACCCGCGCCGUCACCCGCACCAAGCAUGGACGAGCACGACGGCACCCCGGCCGUGGACGCCGACAGCUCGAGCCUUGCGUCCUACCUCGCCCGCGCCUCGCUCGAGCAGCGCCGGCCAGGAGGGCGUCCGACGUCCUCAUCCGCUGCCAUCGUGAGCGACCACCAGCUGCACAACGCCGUCGUGCACUCCUCACAGGGACUUAACAUCGGCGGGGAGCUCUACAACUUGGCCGCCCAAGCCUCCGAGGCAUCCAACAGCCUAGGCGGGGCGGUCUACACCUUCGCCGCCCAAGCAUCCCAAGCACACAACAACCUCGACAACGGGCUCCACAACCUCGCCGCCCAGGCCUCCCAGGCAUACAACUGCCUCGAUGACGGGCUCAACAAACUCGCCGCCCAGGCUACCCAGGGAGCAGACCUCGGCGGCGGCGGGUUCUGCAACAUCGCCGCCCAGGGAAUCGACCUCGGCGGCAGCGGCAACAGCAGCGACAUCAUCAUCGCCGCUCCGGAAGGCACCGCACCGCUCAAGUAGGGCCGCAAGAAGCGCUCGCGCGCACGCUGCGAGCCGCACGCGCCCGUGCCCGCUCCCAGUCCUACACCCGCACCGGUGCCUACUCCUGCGCCAGCACCGGUGCCCUCUCCCACCCCCGCGCCUGAGCCCGAGCUGAUCCCCGCUCAAGCGCAUCCCCGGUCAAUCUUAAAGAUCAAGAAACGCCCGGUGGCGCAAGGCUAGGCCCAGCCGCGCGCAGAAGCGGAGAAGCUGAUGCCGCCGCCAAGCGCUCGCGGCCCUGUCAUCCUCGACACCUCGCCACAUACUCCUCGCGCUGCCACCCUCUCGUCACUGCCACCUCGCGCCACCACCACCCUCUUGCAGCACAGGUACGCACGCCACGCCCACAUUUUCUAUCGACGCCAGGUAAGGUAGUCACCAUGGGACCUGCCCGUCGUCCCGGUCCGGUCUAGUCCGAGCCGCUGCCCGUGGGCACGGGGUCAGGGCCGGGCCGGGUCUCGCUUGCGUCGCAUUGUGGGUCCCCCUCCAUUUUUUAGAAAUAGCGGGGCGUUUCUUUACACAAUUACACCAUUUGUAUUCUUGCCCUUUAUAUGACAGCAGUACAGCAAAGUCAGUAACGCCACACGCAUUAAUCGGCACCUCAUUAUCUCCGGGAUAGAUACUGAUAAUCUGGGCGAUCACUCUACACACAAACAGCAGUGUCUAUCCUGGCACUAAUGCCAUUAAUACUUUCCUUCUAUUGUAUGUAUACGCGGUGCAUGCAGGCCAGACGAAUUGGUGAUAUCACCGCUGAAUCGGCAUAGUAAUAGAGAUUUGAUGCAUGCAUUAGUGGCAUUAGUGUGCUUGCUUGUGCAUAUCCAACCAUCUAUCCAUCCAUCUAUAGAGUAGAGGUCAUCUUGUACUGACAGGGCAGGCUAGACCGCAUACACAUUGCUCAGUUUCUACUUUUUAGAUCACACCCAUCUGAAUUCUCGUUCGGGUCGUGUCUGUCGUUGCUGCGUGCGUACAUACUGAUGCCGAACACGACGGUGACCAGGUCAACCGCGGAGGACGCUAACGCCGGUGCUGGCGGUGAGCAGCAGCAGCCAGCGCCCAAGGAGGAGGAGCCCAAGCAGAAGCAGACGCCGCAUCGGCAAGCGUCAGCCAAGGCGGCCCACAGCAGCGCCGACUCCGAGCAGGAGCCAGCGGCCAAGGCGGAGCCUAGGCAGCCGACGCCGCAGAGGCAGCAGCCACCGCGCCAGGCGUCGAUGAAGGAGAAAGGCAAGGCGCCGAUGGUGCAGGAGCUCCCCGCGGUGGCGCCGCACGUCGCGGCCAAGGUGGCGGCGGCCGCGGCCGACGCGGUGGAGACCCUGGCCCGGCCGCCGGUGCCGCUCGUCGCGACCCAGCUCACCCGCAAGGAGAAGGAGGAGGACUGGUUCGCCAUGACCGGCACCAGGCUGCCCUACCGCCCCCAGCAGCGCCGCCCCAAGGCCGUCGAGGACAAGCUCCAGGUACGCCACGCACCGCCAUUCUUUUUUUGUCUGUCUUUCAUGCACGCGUUCGUCUCGGUGUUACUACGAGUGGUAAGGCUGACAUGAUCAGCGAUGUGUUGGCGCAGAAAAUGUCCCCGGGGCAGACGCUGCCUGAGGUGACCAGGGCCAGGUACAUGGUGCGCGUGAAGAAGCAAAAGAAGGUACCACUCCAUCUCCUGCCACUGCACACUUUUUUUUACCAGCCAACUUUAUUUUUACUUACAUUUACACAGCACCGUCAUUUCGUCAUUAGAACAAUGGCAUUAGUUUUUAUAUGAUUAUUUAGACUUUUCAGAUAUUUGGAUGAUACUUAUAAGGAUUAGUGCUAUACUGAUACUAUACGUAGAUGAUUGUAUACUUAUUUGUAUAGAGCUGGGAGGGUUUGCGCUUUCUAUUUAUCGUCCUAGCCGAUGUCACGUGGGCCCGGACCAUUGUUGACUGUGCAUGCGAGGUCGGGCUGCCGUGUCUAUGUGGCUGGCUGCCGACGUGCAGGUGUGUCCAGUACUGAGAUUUUGUCAUGUCUACACAGGGCCAGCCGUCGUGGAGGUCUUGGUAGCCAAGGCCCCGUNNNNNNNNNNNNNNNNNNNNNNNNNNNNNNNNNNNNNNNNNNNNNNNNNNNNNNNNNNNNNNNNNNNNNNNNNNNNNNNNNNNNNNNNNNNNNNNNNNNNNNNNNNNNNNNNNNNNNNNNNNNNNNNNNNNNNNNNNNNNNNNNNNNNNNNNNNNNNNNNNNNNNNNNNNNNNNNNNNNNNNNNNNNNNNNNNNNNNNNNNNNNNNNNNNNNNNNNNNNNNNNNNNNNNNNNNNNNNNNNNNNNNNNNNNNNNNNNNNNNNNNNNNNNNNNNNNNNNNNNNNNNNNNNNNNNNNNNNNNNNNNNNNNNNNNNNNNNNNNNNNNNNNNNNNNNNNNNNNNNNNNNNNNNNNNNNNNNNNNNNNNNNNNNNAGCCAAGCUUGAUAAUCUUUGUGUUGUUUUGCAGCGCCCCGGCCUGCGAGCAAUGGCGGAGGAGGACGCCCUGAGCUCCAAGAGGCACGACUCAGACGAUGACGCGGCGGGAGAAAAAAACCAUUUCGGUGUCGCCGAUGUAGAGGAGUGUGGUAGCCGGAGGAAGAGGGGUUGAUGGCAGCAGUAGAUUCAUGGGCAUUCAAUGAGCGUCAGUCGAAACAAAACAAAAACAAAAAAAAACUCUAUCUAGCGUUCGGCUCUUUUCCUUUUCUUAAAACUUUCGUUCGUUCGUGUCGUCGGUGACAGACGGUUCGUUGGUCUACAAAUGGUUGGUCCAAGCCCGCCGCCGCUGUUUCCGCACCUCCGUGGUGGGGGCCGGGGUGGCGGCGGGCUGUGCGUAGUACCAGACUUGGGUCCAGACUUGCAUAGCUUGGGGAAGAGCUUGGAAGAGGAAACAAACCUUUUCGCUCCAUUUCAUCGUUGUUGUUCGGUUUGCAUCGUUUUGCUUUUUCUUGGUUGAAUUUUGCACUGCCGGUUUUGUGCUUUGUGGGCGCUGUGUCCUGCCGAUAGCCGCCAUGGAUUUCUGUUUUGCAGGGACUGUUUGCCUCACUUGGGCAAGCGAGAUUCUCAAGUGGAUGGAUGAGAUAUGAUGAUGGGAUAUGGGCGCUGCUGGAGGCAAAAUUGUGCUAACUUGGCGAUGAGCUUUGCCACAAUGCCACACCUGCAGCUACAUGACUCAAAUCAGGGUACGCUCUUUACCACACCGUGGCUCUAAGAUUUACUGCUAGUGCUUAGUAGAGCGGCCUCCAUUUCGAUUAGUUUGAGCCGGAGCGAGCCUCUCAUUCCUUUUCCGUGCAUGCGAUAGCAGUGCAAGUCGGAGAGACGGGCCCUUCUCUAGAAUAUGCUCCAAUUCUCAUGGCGUUCUAUUAGGGCAUAUUUGGCACUUUAGUUAGAGAACAAGUAGAGUGCAAUGGAUUUAGUGUGUUGGUAUUUAAGGCCUGAAAUUGAUUUGGGCGCCACUCAAUUCCUACGAAAAAGAGAAAGGCCAGGCACCUAGCUAGGCGGCGACGACCCAACCAAUGAGGCCAUGCCAAGUACAGUGCCGGAGACAAGGGACAACAAUGGCGAAGGGCU